GAAGACUCAAACCGAGCACUAGAAGUGUUGACCUGGUUUGACUUGGGGAAAAUCAUAUCAUAACUAUCCCGACGUAAAGUAUAUCUCCCAUGAUCCGAUGGAGCUUCGAACCACAGUGGCUCGUUCACACGUAACAGCUCAAGAAGUUCGUUCAUUGCAGCGACAGCUGUCUCGAUAAUGACAGAUUUAUCCACAUGCGUCACACUUGUUGACCAAUGUUGUGACAUAUAUUGUUGACCAGGUGCACUAGCACUGGGCUCCGUUCCAACGGAAGGCAGAAUUAGAUUUCCCAUGUAAUUGGUUAAGAAGUUGACCGCUCGUUCGUGCUGAAAGAAAAGGUUUACGAAAAUCGAUAAUUAAUAAAUGUCCCAAAUAAGUAAUCUCGUAGUGAUUACAUGUUUCUUGAAUAUAUGCUUCUACUCGUGCAAUUAAAUAAACUCGGACAUAAGGAAAACGACGAAACUUUUCAUGUGCAAAAUAUAAAGAUCUCGAUUAUUUAGUAUAUAAUAUAUCGAUCGAUCAAUCACACCUCUUCUUUCAGACGUGCAUUUUCGAUUCUCAAUCUCUGCAGAUUUUCGCGUUUCUCUUCUUCACAAACGCCUGAGCUAUUGCAAGAGGGACAAAAGGCGUUUUUCAGAGCCUCGUGCAUCGAAAGGUUCUCGAAAUGAAUUCUUUCGUUCUCCGAGCGGAGGGAAUUGCUGUCUGCUCUCUCGUUUUGAGCCUACAAAACAUAAUAUAGAAACAUGUAAAUAAAUCGUCGUAAAACGACCGUAGAAAAAUAUUUGCGUGCUCUGUAUAAAGAAUAAAGCACCUUUAUCUGAGUUCUUUUAUUUUGAAACCAGAACUUUAUCUGCUUUUGGUCAAGGCCGAGUUCUCUGCUCAAUUGUUGCCUCUGGUUCUUGUCCGGGUGCGGACAUUCGUUAUAGAAACUGCGUAAAUAUCAUAAAUCGGGAAACGGAAAAAUAUUAUAUAGAGAAAUUCUAUUUCAAGUGUCGUGUCUUUCGAAUGUACAGAGAAAUUUUCAGCCAUGCAAAUGAAGGUUUAUGAAAAAUCGAAAUGUAAAUGGAAUAAAAUUAUUUAGACAGAAAUUAUUCGUACGCCUCGAGCUGCUGAAUUUGUUCGGUAGUGUGACGGUGGUAUUGCUUCUUGCCCUCUCGUGAGUUGCAGUUUUCUUCGUCGCCCGAUCCAUUUCCUCUGUUAGACAAAUCCAUCUCUUCGUAUCAAACACAACAGCUCUUUUUUUUAUUCCUAAAAUUUUUCUUUAUAUAUUUAUAUACAACGCCUUCGUUUAGAACCCAAGAAAACAGACUCCCCUAAGUGAAAAAACUCGGGAGGACACAGUAUGAGUGAAAAACAAAUAUGUUAAUAAUUCUGCUAUAUGAAAAUAUGGGUGUCUUGGACUCAAUAUAUAGCUUGACGUAAACGAGAGGGAACGAGCAAAAAAAGAAUUCGAUGACGAUAUUCGAAAUAAUUUCAGAUACGAGAUACCCUACUGAAGGUGGGCGGGAGCUCACGGUCAACAAAAUCCUGCUGGGUAGAAAAUAUAUACAUCAUAGAAUACAAUUUACGUCUUUAUUCGAAAUAUCAAAUGCAGAUGCUAAUGAUUAAAUAAUGAUUAUGAAUGUAUGGCAGGAAUUCAAAAGCUUCCUUUUAUUGCAUUAGCUUAUAUGGAUUGGUAAUGAAUUAGUAAUUGAUGGUUUGAAUAACAAUUAUUCAGAAUCGGACAUUUCUUUAUUCUGAUGGUUCUUAUCNNNNNNNNNNNNNNNNNNNNNNNNNNNNNNNNNNNNNNNNNNNNNNNNNNNNNNNNNNNNNNNNNNNNNNNNNNNNNNNNNNNNNNNNNNNNNNNNNNNNAAAAGAAAAAAUAUAUUUAUCGCGUAUUUGUUGUCAUGAACUCAAUAUUACGGAGAAGACCUCAGUUUCCUAUUGCCGAGUGUUGUUCAGUUAUCCUGUAAAAAAAGUGAUUUCCUUUUUUUUCAACUAGUUCUUCGAGAAUAAUAAACAUACCUAUAUAUAUAUGGCCUUCGACUUCCUAAAACGAAAAGAUCGAAUAAAAGUUAAGGUUUAGUACCAACAAAUGAAUCAUUUAACAUCAUGUUCCAUCUAAAUUGAUACAUUUAUUUCCUCGAUGCUCCAUGCACGUAAAUCGGGAACAAGAACUUCCUUCUUUCUAUUAAAUAACAACUCAGUCCAUUCAGUUUCAAUUAAAUAUACUAUUAGUUCCAACAUAUUAUGCUGGAGUACUUUACCCCGGAAUAUCUUUUCCGAGGUUUAAAAGAUAAUAACAAGAUCUUAUGCUAUCAUACUUCAAUAAUUGCAAGUUAGUAACUAAGAUUAUGAAAAAAUGAAUUUGAGCCAUAUUUUUUUACGACUUUAUAACAGUCGAGUUGUCUGAACUUUCGAUGAUUAAGCCCUUCGUUUCAUGCAAGGUCACAAAGAGUAGCAUAUAUUCUCUGAUUCUUGCAUCUACCAUGCACAAAUCAUACCUAUAUUUUUUAGCAAAAUUUAAUUACUAACUUACGGUGAAACAUUGAAAUCUAAUCAUAUCCCACAUAGAAAAAUGUAUCAAUAAACAUAUUCCCAAUCGCGAAACACUUCGACAAGCAACGAAUAAUUAAUCGGGGUUUCAGCUGAUGGAAAUAGUUAUAUGCAAAUAUGAAUCAUGCAACAAGUAGUAUUGCAGUAAAAUUAUCACUACCUAAGUAAAAAACACAAGCUAGUUUCUGAAAACAUCUAUUAAUAGACAUUUACGUACCUUGUGAACGAAGUUAUUUUCUUUCUUUAUUUUACAAUUCAUCAAGAAAAAUCAACGUAGCUACGCAUUCGACUUUCCUAUAAUGAACAAGCCGUAUACAUUAUCUCCAACAUGGCUUUAAUUAACCAUUAAUUACACAUCACGCUCCAUCCUUUUGUAAAUUGAUACAUAUCUUUUUUUCCUCAAAGCUCCUUGCAUGAAAAUCGGGAAUAUACUUCAUUUAAACUAUCCCUUAGUCCAUCCAAUUUCGAUUAAAACUAACAGUACGAAACACUAUGAGUUCCAAUAUAGUAUGCUGAAGUCUAAUCGUAAGGUGAAAACGUAAAAACCUAAUCCCGAGAUAUAUAUUAGUUUAUCAAAUUUAUCAAAAUUUCACUAUUAACCUAAUUAAGGUGAAAUGUUGAAAUCUAAUCUCCUCCAACGCAGAAAAAUGUAUGCAAUGUCCGUAUCAAUAAAUUCUCGAUGACGAAGCACUACGACACGUAAUGAAUAAUCGAUCGGGGUUUCGGUUGAUGGAAGUAGUUUUAUUCGAGCAUCAAUCAUGUAACAAAUAACUAUUGCAGUAAAAUCAUCACUACCUACGGCACACACACACACACACAAAAAAAAAAAAAAAAAAAAAAAAACUAACAAUAGAACUUCAAAGUAGGUAGUGAUGUAAAAUCUUCACUUUUUCCCUUUUAUUUUUCUUUCCCAUCUCCGUUCUGGCAGCGUCUAAUAGGCAUUUCAAAUUAGGAAGAUAAAUUGCAGAAGAGCUCGCAAUGCCCAAAGGUACAACCUGUUGCAGCGCGAUGUACAAACAUCAAGCAGCAUUUUUCCCUCUUUUUUCUUCUUCAUCUUCACUUCUUCGCUUUUAUUUUUCUUUCCCAUCUCCCCCGCGGAGAAGAAACUGAAAAACACAAAAAAAAAUUACCGCGACAAUAGGGCAAGGGCUGCGCCACCGUUCUGGCGGCGUCCAAUAGGCAGUUUUCACCACUGCGCCGCCAGUCAGCGGCUUCUUCUUCCUCCGGCUGCCUCAUCUCCAACAGGUGAAAAAUGGACGAUUAUAAUUAUGCUUUGUUCGACACGACAAAAAAACUUCGAUCGUUUUGAGUAACAUUCUAAAACUCUAUUAACAAUUAAAUUUAUUAUUGUUUUUAUUUUUUCCCUUUUUAAAUUCCAAUCCGGACCAAAACCCCAUCCAUAUAUUUGUCAAAAUAAAAAUAUAGAUAAACAUCUAUAAAUUAAUAUAGUUAGAAUUGAUAAAAUUCUAUUAAUUUAAUGGAAUUUUAAAUACCGAACUAAAAAUUUAAUAUGUCUUUUUACGGAAUGAGGAUUAGAAAAAAAUAUUAUUUACGCGAGAUUAUUAAUGUAUCGAAGUUCUACUAUAAAACAAAGUCAUACGAGUCCAGUGAAGUAAGCAAAUCAGGUCUCCAUAUCGAACUUCUGCUGUAAACCAGAAUUAGAGCAUCUCCAAUGGAGAAGCAAAUCGAGUCUUUAAAUUCUGUUUUGGAGACUCGAUAGAUUUUUUUUUUCUUAGUAAAGACCCGAUAAAAUUUUAGAGUUUCUAAAAGCAAAAUCUCACAAUGAAGGAUCUGAUUAUAAGUCUCUGAAUCAUGUUACGUAGUAUUUUAUAUGGCAACGAAUAUAUGCAAGAUGGAAAUUACUAAGUGCAAGACCUAAAUAUAAAUAAACUUACUAAGAUCAAGAUUGGAAAUUACAAAUAUAACCCCAAUAUUAAUUUAGAUAUUAUUAAUUCAAAUUAGGCUAAUUGCUAUUGCAAGAUCAAAAAAAAACAAAAAAAAAAUAGAAUAAAAAAAAAGGAAAAAACGAGAGGGAACUCACUCCCCCAACAAAACCCCAACAUCUUCUUCUUCACACUCACUUUACACACUUUUUUCCACAAAAAAAUCUUCCAUAUUCUCUAAAACCCUCAUCACACAAAACCCUCAAAUCUUACUAAAACUUGAAAAGGACAUUAUGGAUACAAAAGACAUAUAUAUGGAGGAUUCUAAGGUCGAAGAACACAAAGUGGUAAGAAAUAUUGUACUUUGUGAUCGUUUUUCUCGUUUUUCGCACCUCAUUUCACGUACAAAAAAUUCAACGUGUACAGGUCGAAAUAUGCUCCGAAUAUCGACACACUAGUGUCGAAAAUUUCAACAUAAAUCGACAGUACUCUUUUACUGUCGAUUUUUAUUGAAUUUUCCGACACUAGUGUGUCGAUAUUCGGAGCAUAUUUCGACACUGGUGUGUCGAUUUUUCACUGUUACAAUUGUGUAACCAAAUUUCCGAUUUUUCUUGCAGAGUUUUGUACCUAGCGCGUGUAGUGGACCUAAUGCAUGUAGGGAAUUAGCUUUGGAUUAUUCACAUGAAUUUACCAUCCAUGAGGAGUUUGCAACAAGGGACAAUUUAGUCACAUGGGUGCGCGAAGUUGGUAUGCGACUAGGAAUGAUAAUGACGGUAAAGUGGGUAUGCGACUAGGAAUGACAAUUUAGGACUCCCAUUCCUAGAGAUUGUGGGUAUUACUUCUACGAAUAAAACGUCCUAGAAAAGGGUUCAAUUGCUUAUGAAAUUGCGGGAGAUUACUCAGCCCGAGAGUAACUCUCUCAUUGAGCCAAUGCAAAAGGUUGUUACCAAAUGUCGUCCCGGAAAAAUAUUGCGUAUUGAUAAAUCAACCCGACGCAACCCAUCCAAAUUUGAGUACGAGCUUAAUUCAAGCAAAGAUAGUUGUUCCCCAAAGAUAGUUUUUUUGAAGUUUUUAUCUCAUAGUUCAUUUUUUGGUUUCUCAUUUAGUAAUACGUGAUAUUGGUUAAACAUUGUAGAUUAUGACUCCUGAGAGUUGCACUCCUAUUUCUGGUAUCCAAAAGCAACGUGAAUAGCUUAUGCUGCAGCCGAUCACUGUAUCAAUGGUAACCGACAUCUUCAAUCGAAGCACCGGUAAAUCGACGGUGUUGGAAAAACUACCGGUAAUAUAUAGUAAGGCGUAAAAAUAUAUCAGUAGAAUAUCGACACCUCCGUGUCGAAAAAAACAACAAUUCUCGACGAAUUAGCGUCGAAAUAUGUCACAUUUUUCGACAUCAACAUGUCAAUAUUUAUCAUAUUUUUCAACAUCAAUAUGUCGAUAUUUCACUGUAAUUUUUUUUCCCAUUCUAUAUUACUAAUUUAACCUUCUUUUGUGCAGGUUCGAAAAAAAACUACCAAUGAUAUAUAUAUUAAACAAAUACAUCUGAAGUUCCGAAGAUAUGUUGGAGAUAUAAAAAAUGUUGCGUCGAAUGGUCAUUGUGGAUUUCGGGCGGUUGCAUCAAUGAUGGGCUUUGGGGAAGAUAAUUGGAGUCUAGUACGAAGAGAUUUGGUCGAUGAGCUCAUUAUGAAUGAUGCUAUCUACAUGAAUAUCCAAAAAGUUCGAGAUACGCUUGAUGAAUUGGAAGCGAAAAUGAGGUGUUCGGUUACACCUGCCCCUUAUGAAAAUUGGAUGUCGUUUCCGGAUAUGGGUCACUUUAUUGCGUCUAAAUAUGACAUUGUGCUCGUAUUGAUAACGCAGCUGCAGUGUCUUACAUUUCUCCCACUCUCUAGUGACCCCGUGCCAGAUGAGCAAAGACAAGAGCAUGGGAUAGCGCUUGUUGAUGGAAAUCAUUUUGUGCAUCUUGUUUUGAAGAAGAAUUGUCCUCUGCCCCCUGUAGCAGAUUAUUGGAGGCGAUACCACCACCCUAGAGCUAGUGCUUGGAAAACUAUUGAUAUGGAGUCUAGAAUUAUUGCUUUUAAAGAGUUAGUUAAUCGUAAUUACGUAUCACUACAAGAGACCAUAUGUAUUGAUAUGUAGAAUUGGUGCAUUAAAUAUAUUUUUGAUGAAAUAUAUAUAUAUAUAUAUAUAUAUAUAUAUAUAUAUAUAUAUAUAUAUAUAUAUAUAUAUAUAUAUAUAUUUUUUUUUUGAUGAAAAAAUUAGUUAACUCGUCCAUUAUAAUUUUUUAUCCAAAACAUCCAAAAUCAAUAAAAACAUCCGAAAUCAACAAAAAUAUCUAAAAUCAUCUAAAAAUUAAAAACAUCCAAAAAAUAAUCAAAAUCAUCCAACUAUCUACUUCUUUCUAAGUUUAUUCCUCUGAAAUGUUAGUAACGGUAGUGGAGCGGUCGACGAUGGUGGAGCAGUUUGGGGAAUACGCGGUUCCACUGAAAAAUUAUAAAUAAAAUAUUAAUCAUUUAUAUAGAAUAAAAAAAAAAGUUUGCAAAAAAAAAUCAGUUUACCAGUCUUUUUUCGACAUCUCAAUGUCGCUAUUUGUACAAAAAGUCGACAUAAGCUCUGUGCCGAAAAUUGUAAAAAAAAUCGACACAGCAAUAUCGAAUUUUCUCUCAAAACACGACAUUAGGUUUAUGUCGAAUUUUUGUACAAAUAUCGACAUUGAGAUGUUGAAAAAAGUUCCAAUAAUCAACAAUUGUGUGUUGUCAAAAUUAGAUGAAAAAAUCGACACCAAUAUGUCGAAAUAUUUCCAAAAAAUCGACAAGUACAGGUCAUUUUUUGUAAAACCGCAACUCCUUCAACAAUAGUGUUAGAAUCGAACCCUAAAAUUAUCAACUAUGUUCUAAAAUGACUUGUAUUCAUUAUUCUAACAAUAAAAUUAUGUUUAUCACAUUUUAUUUCUCAAAAAAGUUAAUUCAAAAAGUAAUUUCCUUACUUGCUUUUCGUGAUAUUGUUGUGGCGGGGUUGGGACAACAACAGUUGCAGGUGGGAGGUUCUAGUGGUUGUCGACUGCAACGGCGACGUGGAAGGUGGUGGACUUCAACGACGACGGCGACGGCGACGGGGCGACGACGAAGGGCGACGGCGAGUGCUGCAAUUGAUUUUUUUUUUGUUUUCUUCCCUUCUUCCCUCCUCCUCGUUUUUCAAUUCUCGUUUUUCAAUUUGUUUUUUCUUUCUUUUUUUAUUAAUUUUUCUUUUUUUAAAUUGGUCUUGCAAAAGUAAAUUAAUAAAAUAAUUUUUAUUUUGUUUGUAUUUUAUUAAGGUUAUUAUAGUCUUUUUAUACUUAAUUUGAUAAAAAAAAUUAAUUUGGUCUUGCCCUAAGUAAAUUUGUGAUUCCAAAUAGUCGCUGCCAUUUUAUAUAGCCUUUAGAUUAUGGCUCAAGUUUUACUCAUAUACAAUGUUGUAGAAAAUUAAAUUUUUUUGAACAACCUUAAUUAUUUAUAUAUAUAUAUCGAUCCAAAAAAAUAUUUUUUUUAAGAGAUAUGAAAUGUUGAACUACAACCAUUAGAUAUGGUUUCAAUUAAAAUAUUAGUAGCCCCCAUGGGUGUAGCUCAACUGGUUCCGGAGGUAUCAAGUUGGUGCAAGGUCCUAGGAUCGAAUCCUGGCAGCCCCAAUAUGGGAAUUUCAACUCCAAUGAGGGUUGGUUCCUUGUGGGCACAAGGUCCGGAUCCGCUACCUUAACGAGCCGUUUAGUUACCAGGGCCAAGGCCCUGGGGGCGAGGAAUUUCGCCUUUUGGUGCAAUUAUCCCUCCUGCCCUCAAUUCAUUUUUCUCCAUGUUCUUCGCUAUAAAACUUUUCAAGUAUUGACAGCCAACUCAACCUUCUACAUAUGGAGAUCAGAAAAAUAAGAGACCGUCGAAGCAGGAAGUUGGCCGAAGUGGUGAGGCCUGGGAGUGGUGGAAAUACGCCUGGAAACUUCAAAUUCCCCCAAAAAUAAAAAUCUUUCUCUGGCAUUUCUGUUCAGAUAUAUUGCCCACGAACGAGAAUCUUUAUCGUCGUAAAAUAUCUUUUUCUCCACAGUGCAUGAGAUGUAGAGUUGGGGUUGAAUCAGCAUUACAUGUUCUCCAAUCUUUCCAAUCUUGUCGAGCUGUGGGCGAUAUUUGGAUAUGCCCGCCAUUUGAUCAACUAAAAGUGCAUUCAAUCCAAUCUUAUUUGCAAUUAUUUGAGCUUCUAGUAACCAACCUCGACUAGGAUUCGCUAAACUUGGCCACUACGAUUAUGUGGAAGUGUUAGGACCAACAAAACAAGGAAAUGGACGGGGAGAACAGUCUACAAGCGGUCACAGUUUUGGGUUAGUGUAGAGACUACCUCAAGGAGCAUUCAGAACAUCAACUGUGUUCGUCUGUCACACAACCUCAACGACUCCCUAUGAAGUGGAAGCCACCGGACUAUGGAGUGAUCAAAAUUAAUGUGGAUGCAAGCUUUCCGCAAGGUGAGACAUAUUAUGCUACUUCACUUGUCGCUCACAAUUCUAGGGGCGAAUGCGUGUUUUGAAUGGUUCACAAGUUCGUCGGAUGGCCUACGGUGGUAGAUGGAGAAGCCCAUGCUAUUCUCAGGGCAUUAAUCACAACACAAGAAAAGGAGUGGCCGAACAUUAUUGUGGAAGGGGACAAUUUACAGGUGAUAACAGCGCUUUGGGACAAGAAUCAUUCGGUUCUUCCCGUAUGGGCCAUUCAUUGAACAAAGUCUGUCUUUAUCUAGAGUCUUUGUAUCUUGUACGUUUGAUUUUAUUCGACGAUCUGGUAAUAAAUUGAUUCAUAUGUUUGUGUCGAGCUAUGGUCAUUCUUGUAGCGAGGGAGCAACCCUACCUUCGGACUUGGCGGAUAUUGCCCAAUAAUAUUGAUCGAUUAUUCUCUAAAAAACUCAACCUUCUACUUCUAAUUUCUUCAAUUCUCAUUCACUACACCUAAAUCCAAUCAAAUUCCCUUAAAUUUCUACAAUCAUUGAAAAGAAAAGAAAGAAAAUAAAACUCACAAUCUGAAAAUUUAGAAGUGGUGAAGAAGAUCAAGAACAAUUAGAGUUAUUUAUGUUUUUUUUUCAUUUUUUUCUUACCGUUGAAAACCAACAGUCAUAUUUGCAAAUCAUUCAAAUUUUAAUUUUUAUUUAUAAAAAAAAAGUCGGAAAUCAGAAGUUUAAUCAAAAUUAUAAGCUUAACAUUUAAUUAAAUUAUAUAUAUUGCCGAUGGAAACUAUUUUAUCAUAACUAUCUCGAUGCAAAGUAUAUCUCCCGUUGCGCAAUGGAGCUUCGAUCCACAGUGUCUCGUUCAUACGUAAGAGCUCCACAAAUUCGUUCAUGGCUGCAACAGCUGUCUCGAUAGUGACGGAUUUAUCCAGCUCGUGUGUCGCACUUGUUGACCAAUGUUGUGAUAGUGAAUUGCAUGUUUCUUGAAUAUAUAUGCUUUUACUCGUGCAACUAAAUAAACUGGAUCAUAAGGAGUUGCUUAUUCAAUAAAAUUCCUGAUAAUUACGAAACGAAGAGAGUACGAAUUCAAGCUAAAUGCAUUUCAGACCAUUGAACAGUAAGUUCUAAAUAAAUAUAUAAAUGAAUAUUAGUAACUGUUUUAACGGUAUAAAAAUGAAAAAAAACAAAACAAAAAGUAAGAUUUAAUGAAAAAAAAUAAAAAUAAAAUUCGAGAAGAUAAAAAAUCCGAAUUUAAUCACGAUAAUCAAGCGCCGCCUUGAUCUUUUUAACGGUGGAGCUGAUUAGGGUAUGCACGGUGGCGACGGACUCCAUAUUCAGUUGCGGUGCCAAUUGGUUGUGACAAAUUAAUAUCUGGAAAGCAACUGUGAGAAGCGAGCCACCGCUACUGGUGUUAGAACUGGUCGAAGCUCCGUUGGUGCCUCUUCUAGCACGGCCAUUGGUAGAGAUCACAAAACCCGACGGCAGAAUCGAUAUUUUUGUUGCGUCGUCCCCAUUCACCGCAGAGAGGAGCGCUUUUAAAUCCAUCGGGGCGUAGAUUAUUGCUGCCCCUAGUGAGUCGAUGCUACUCUCUUGCAGCACCACCAUCUUGUUUUCUUUGGGUACAAAAGGCUGCAGAUUUAAAAUAAAUAAAAAAUUAGUUCAAUGAUAUUAAAUUAAAGUUAAAAAGAUAAUAACAAAUUGUUAAGUAAACUUUAUUGUGCUAAUUGUGUGUUUGAUAAAUUGCGUCGUGUCUACACUGAAAAUGCACAAUAGUUCCAGUUUUGGUAUUGCAAAUGCAGUGCGACGACAAUUUAUGAUGAAUUCUGCACCGUAUUUGAUCUAAUAGUGCACACGUAAAUAUUUAUUUCAAUUCCGUUUUAGUGCAAAUGUAGGUGGAUAUCAAUUUAUGAUAAAUUAACAAUUAAUCAAACUACGCUGUUCGAAAUCAAUUCACGAGUAAACGAACUAUAACACCCCAGCAUUUAUCAAGGCACUAAUUAAUUUUAUUUUCAUACUAUCGAUCACAUUGACUGAGAAGCUUAUGGUACAUUUAUCGGCCUUCAAAUAAUAAAUAAAUAAAUUAAAUAAAUCGGUAACUAACCUGGAUAAUGGAAAUACGAUUUCCGGGACGUGUCCCGGUUGAGAUAUGUGCAACAGGAAUUACAGGAUUCCCAUUGGAUAAGACAUCCCACUGCAAAUAAGAUAUAAAUACAUUUUAGUUUUUCUAUCUCAUUUCCAAUUAUUUAAUGGCUGUGAAUGAGUUCCAAGGUCCUGCUAGUUCCUGCAUGAUCUGUGUUCUUGUGAGAUGUCCGUACUUGUUUUCCCAGAGGACAGUCACCACAUGACUCAGGUGUGUCAGUCUUCAGUUGUGGUACCCCUUUCACGCAACCUGUAUUAACGAGACGGAUUAGAUCAUGAAAAUUUAAAUGACCUAGUUUUCGAUGCCAGAGAUCAGUGAGAUCAGAAGAAGUGUGAUGACAUUGAUCCGAUUUGUCAAUCUGAUCAAUUUUGUAGCAAUUGUCUGACGACCUGUAUCCGGUUAGAACACAAUUUUUGUUUUCAUCAAAUCCCUCACACUUACGCUUUGUGAACAAUACAGAGUCGUAUAGAUCACACAACUGACUUACACUCAGAAGAUUUGAUUUCAAACCUUCCACAUAUAGAACAUUGUUCAAGUUUGGCAAUCCUCCAACAUUCAAGUCUCCUUUUCCCUUUACAUAAGCCUUAUUUCCAUCUCCAAAAGUAACCUGUCCACUAGACAUGUUAUGCAGAUUUGAUAAGAAAUUCCUUUCACCUGUCAUGUGUUUGGAGCAUCCACUGUCAAAAUACCAAGAGUUAGUAGCACAUGCAUUUAAAGAUAAAAUAGCUGACCAGCAGUUAGUACUAUCAUUUGUCAUCCUUUGUUUAUAAGAGUUGUUACUUUGAGAGUAAGUAACCCACGCAGCGGAUUUGGAUGUCUGAUAUGCUAACUGUUUAUUUAUCAAUUUCCAUCUUUUAAAGCAUUUAGGCCUGACAUGCCCUAAUUUGUGACAGAAGUGACAGAUAGGAAUAUACUUAGUAGGAAAGGUUUGGUUGUUCACACAAGAAGAUGUGGAAUUGACAAAUCAGAUUUUCUGUUUUGACCCUGUGUUAGCAUUAGAUUGUCCAUCACUAUACCCUAAUCCAACUCUUUUGGAAUUGGAAGGAUGAGCAUUUAUGAUUUCAUCUAAUCUAUUUGAGGGAAGAAAUGCAGUGCGAUUUAACUUACUGACAGAAGCCUCAAACAUUGUGCUAACAGGCGGUGAAACAUCUUGGUAAUCAUCAGCAUGCACUUUUGGAAAAAGAUUUUUCCUCAUUCUUUUUGCUCUUUCACCAUCGUAGUCCUGCCAAUAUUUCAACAAAUCUUUGAGAUUGUCGAUGUCUCUUUGUGCAAAGUCCUGUUCCACUUCAAAGACUUCAAUCUCCAUCUCAAGUUCAUCAAUCCUGUCAUUCAGUUUUGUGAUAACUCCUUUGUUUUCUUCCUCUUGUUCUAUGAUUCUUUCUUUCAGGAGUUUAUUUUCAUUACUAACUUCAUGACAUUGCUUCAGGAGGUCAUCCAAUUGUUUUUGAAAUUGUUGGAUGGACUCUUCACCUUCAUCUUCUGAUUCGUCACUCCCUGUGGACAGAAAGGGCAUAUUUAGAUUUUCGUAAUUUUCAUUUUCCUGUGUGACAUACCUGAGAUGUGGCGGUUCUGUGCACGUGAUGUCCUCAAGUGUGGCAUCUGUGAUUCUGCAAGUUCCACAUAAAUCAUUGUUUGUAUCAUCGUCACUAGCUUCACUUUCAUCAUCAGACUCUGAGGUGUCAUCACUCCAAGUUGUGGCAAGUGAUUUUCCUUGUUUUUUCAGAGUGUUAGCACAUUCUGCUUGGAUAUGACCAUAACCAUGACAUUCUCUACAUCGAAUUCCCUUCUUGACUUCUGGCUUAUCUGUAGAGAUCCUGGGUUUUCUCUCAGAGAUUGUAGGAUGUCCAUUUCUCUUGAUGAAUCUCCCGAAAUUUUUUGCUAUUAAGGACAUGGAUUUUGUGAGCUUGACUUCAAGUGCUGACAUAGGAACAGUAGGCACAGAUGUUGUGGUGUCCGAUACAGUUUGCAGAGCGAUUUUCCUUUCCUUGUCCAUUCUGCUGAUGUUCAACUUGUUUUCAAAAGUUUGUAGAUUUCCAAUCAGAUCCUCAAGUCGCAAUGAGUCCACAUCACUUGCUUCCUCUAUGGCAGUGAUCUUGUACGCGAAUCUGUCUGGCAUAGAUCUGAGCACUUUUCGUACAAGUUUAACUUCAAGAUAAGUUUCACCGAGGCCAUGAGCUUCGUUUGAUAUGUCACAUAAUUUGGAGUUAAAUUCGCUCACGGUCUCAUUUUCUUCCAUGCGAAGAUCUUCAUACCGGGUGGCAAGCAUUUGAAGUUUGGAUAGUCUGACUGAAGCAGUUCCCUCGUACGCUGUUUGGAGUUUCUCCCAUGCUUCUUUAGCACACUCACACGCAGAGAUUAUCUUGAAUUGAUUGAUAUCAAUUCCAUUGAAUAUAGCAUUCAAGGCCUUGGAAUUCAUGUUUGCUGCAAUUUGUUCGGCUUUGCUCCAGUCUUUCUCAUGCUUCUCAGUUUCAAUCCCUUUCUCAUCUGUGGCAACGGGUCGCUUCCAUCCAAUUAACACCGUUCGCCAUGCAUCUUCGUCCAUUGAUUUUAUGAACAUCUUCAUCUUAGUCUUCCAAUAGGAGUAGUUGGUUCCCGUGAGUAGUGGUGGGCGAGUCGUGGAACCUCCUUCCAUAUGAGAACUCAUAGUACCUACGAAUAAUAAAUGGCAAAUAAAUCAAAUUCCCAAAAUCACACACUAUGUAUAUCUAGUGAGAGGCUCUGAUACCAAUUGUUGAUUUAUAUGCCUAUAGAAAUCAGUUGACCUAAGUUGUAACAGUUAAGUUGUGGAAACAGUAUUUAGUUACAACUGUAAAUCUUGUGUUGGCACAGUUAUACUCUACUUAAAGUAAAUAAACAGAACACAAGAAUUAAUGUGGUUCAGACACAAUUGUGCCCUACAUCCACGUGGACCUGCAAACACGAUUUCACUAGUUCAGAUUUACAGUGUACAUUAAUAGGACUUAUUAAAAACACUAAAGACUCCCUCUUUAUGUAAUAUGCCGUUCUUGUACACAACUCGAACUCCGUGUUUCUUCCAACAGCAGCUCCACACCGCGUGCCUAGAACUCCUUUCUGGCCUGAACUCCCUUCAGUGACGCGGUUGAUCUCCCAAGAGAUCUAUACAGCCAAUCUGUAUAUGUUGACACAUCCAACGAUGGCACAGUUCUGUUCAGCAGAACGUUUCAGCGAUUCUUCAAAGCAACGGAGUGAUUUUUCUCCCAACAAAAAGUGUCACGGUCUUUGUGAGGUGAGGAGCCUUAUAUAGGCGUGAGAUCGGCCUCAAAAGACCUGUCUUCCAAAGGAAUCGAAUAACUAGGAAACAAAAUCCUAGUCAAUAUCUAGUUCUAAUCUAGAUAGCUAUAAAAGAUUCCUAACAAGAGUAAAGUACAAGGAAAUAAAUCUAAGUCCUAAAGUAUUACAAAGGUAGGACUCUAAAUUUCCAAAAUAAACAUGGGAACAAAUCUUUAGCCAAUCUUUACUUCCCAAGUAAGGCGGAUUUCUUCCUUCGUGGAAAUCUGGCGCCAACAAAUAAGUCCCAAAUAAGCAAUCUCGUAGUGAUUGCAUGUUUCUUGAAUAUAUGCUUUUACUCGUGCAAUUAAAUAAACUCGGACAUAAGGUGUUGCUAUACUUGCUAAAUACGGAAAAUGACGAAACUUUUCAUUUGCAAAAAUAAAGAUCAUGAUUGUUUAGUAUUUAAUAUAUCGAUCAAUCUCACCUCUUCUUUCAGACGUGCAUUUUCGAUUCUCAAUCUCUGUAGAUUUUGGCGUUUCUCUUCUUCACAAACGCCUGAGCUAUUGCAAGAGGGACAAAAGGCGUUUUUCAGAGCCUCGUGCAUCGAAAGGUUAUGGUUGUCUUGGACUCAAUAUAUAGCUUGACCUGAACGAGAGGUAACAAGCAAAAAAAGAAUUCUAUGACGAUAUUCGAAAUAAUUUCAGACACGAGAUACCCUACUGAAUGUGGACGGAAUCUGAGGGUCAACAGAAUCCUGCUGAAUAGAAAAUAUAUACAUGAUAGAAUAUAAUUUAUGUCUUUAUUUGACAUAUCAAAUGCAGCAGGGCCGGGCCUGACCUUUUUAAUGCCCGGGCCGAAAAAGAUAAAUUGUGCCCUCGAUUUUAUUUUUCUAUAAAUCCUUUUAUAAAAUAAUGAUAAAUUAUAAAAAAAGAAAUUUAAAUAUCAACAAAAUGCUGUUUAAAAAUAUUCAACAAUAGAAAAAACCCACAUAUUAAAAAGAAAUUGUCAUAACAUUUCAAUUUUAACACAACACAAUGAGAUAAAAAAAUGUUUGAACUCCCAUCCCAGCAAAAAAAUGUUUUUUCUCCCAAUCUUCCAUCAUCAGCUUUCAAAGAAAUUAUCACCUCAUGUUAUAGCUAAACACCUGCAUAUCAAACAAAAUAAGUGAAAUAAUUCAUUGAAAAUGUUUUCGAGUUGCACUUUUAGAGGCAAAGUCAUCAAUGAUAUCGUCGUACUCAAUAUUUUCCAACAUAUCUUUUUCAAUAGUUAAAAGUGCUAACCCAUUCAACCUUUCUUGAGACAUUGUGGUCCGUAAAUAAUUUUUUAACAAUUUUAAUUUUGAAAAGCUUCUCUCUGCUGAUGCCACAGUGACGGGUAUUGUCAACAAAAUUCUAUAAGCAAUCAUCGCAUUUGGAAACAUAUCAAUUGUUUUUACAAACUCUAAAAUUUGAAAAGAUGUCCAUGGCUUAUUUGCAUCACAUGCUUCAUUCGGUAACAUCACUUGCAACACCUCUAGUUCAGAGCAUAAAUAUUUUGCAUCAAUAUCAGAACUCUCGCCAUGUCUUAAAGCAUUUUCAAGAUUCACACAAGAACUCAUCAACUCAUUACCAUCCAAUGAAAUCAACUUUGCAACAUCAAAUAAAAAACCAAAUAUUGAUUCAAAACACUGCAUUUGUUCAAACCUGCUUCUCAAUUGACCAAUAGCAAUAUCCACUACUAGAAGAAAAUAAUCAAUUCUAAAAGAUUCUUCCGCAGAUUGAUUUUCCCUUUCGGUAUUAGAAAUCUCAUCAAAAUGUCUCUUUCUAGCAAUUCUACGUUUCUCGAAAAAAAUUGGUUCAAUUUCCAUUUGAGAUGCUAUUUUUUUAGCGUCAAUCAUAGCAGAAGAAAAUCCAUUUUCUCUAUACAUUUCAAAAAAAGAAACAAGCCCAGUUAAUUGUUUUAUAGCAAUAUCAAGACGCAUAUCCUCGGAUUGUAACUUUUUGCUAACUAAAUUAAUUUUAUGCAAUAUAUCAUGCCAAAUAACCAAGCUCAAAAUAAACUCAAAACUUGAAAGUUCACCGGAGGCCAAAGUGUAAGCAUCCCUACUUAAUUUCGCAUCUUCACUAAUUUCUGCUAAUUUAAAUAAAACUUCUCUUAUUUGGGAGACUUGGGACAAUAUUGCCUUAACAGAUACAAUAUGACUUUCCCAUCUUGUCAUGGACAAUGAUUUCAAAGUUAAUUUAUCAAUAUAAUCAAGCAAAACAUUCCAUCUAUUUGUUGAAUUAGCAAACACAUUAUAUAUACAUUGACAUGCUCCAAAAAAUGAUUUUGCUCGAGUACAAGAAUUUGCCAUAUCACAAAUAGGGGUGUAAACGAGCCGAGCCGACUCGUGAGCUUGAAGAGCCGGCUCGUAAAAAGCUCGAACUCGGACUCGAGAUUUUCGAGCUCGAGCUCGAGCCGGUUUUCAGUUGUUCAUGAGCUCGCGAGCCGGAUUUAUUAUUAUUUUUUUAUUAUUAUUUUUUAUUUUUUAUAUGUUAUUUUUAUUUAAAUAAUGUAAAAUAUUAUAAAAAUAAAUACAAAUAUUAAAAAUAUAUAUAAUUACAAUUUAGUUUUUAUUUUUUAUUUUUUUAAUUAAUUUUUAAUAAUAAAAUAAUAAUUAAAAAAAUAUUUAAAAAAAUAAAAAAAAAAUAAAGACAAUGGGCUCGAGCUCGAGCUCGACAAAAUUGACACGAGCUCGAGCUCGAGCCAAAAAAAGAGGAGCUCGCGAGCUCGAGCUCGAGCUCGAGCUCAACAAAAUAAACUCGAGCUCGAGCUCGAGCCAGCCAAAAGAGGCGAGCUCGGCUCGAGCUCGGCUCGUUUACACUCCUUAUCACAAAUAACUAAAUUAAGACAAUGAGAACCACAUGGCAUGUAAAAUGCUCUAGGAUUAAUAUCAAGCAAUCUUCUUUACACACCUUGAUUUUUACCUUUCAUAUUAGAUCCAUUAUCGUACCCUUGCCCCCUCACAUUAUCAAUAUCAAGUCCUAAAGAUUGUAAGACAACUUGUAAUUCAUUAAAAAGUCCUAAUCCCGUUGUAUCGUCAACAUUUAAAAAUUCUUGAAAGUACUCUUCUAUUUUAAUUGGAGAAGAUGAGACAACUACACAUCUCAAUAUCAGAGUCAUUUGUUCUUUAUGACUUGCAUCUGGUGUACAAUCAAGAAUCACUGAAAAAUACUUUGCUUCUUUGAUCUUUCUAAUUAUUGCAGUUUUUACCUUAGAAGAUAAGAUAGAUAUCAGCUCAUCUUGAAUUUUAUGACUGAGAUAGUGAUAAUGUAUCUUUUUAUUACGAAUUAGGCGAAAAUGCUCUUGCAUUAUUGGAUCAAAAUCCGCAAUCAUUUCAAGCAUGCCAAAAAAAUUACCAUUACUAUCUUCAUAAUUUUUUUCAUGUGUACCACGAAAUGCCAAAUUGUGUAGCAAGACAUUUAACAACGGCAAUUAUUCUCAACAUUACAUGUUUCCAAUGUUUUGUGUCUUUUCUAAUCUGUUCUUGCAAAUCUUUAUCAAUUGUCUUAUUUUUAUUUAAUCGCAUUUCUAAUUCAACACAAGCUCUCAAAUUAGUAAGGUGUUCAACACUAUGUUCAUGUUGUUUCAACUUAUCACCCAAAUGUUUCCAAUCGUUAACCCCCUCGCUUGCUAAAUUACUUCUAGUGUGCAUUACUUUGAACAACUUGCAACAAAAACAAAAUACUUUAUCUAACUCCUUUGAGUAAACCAACCAUUUUCUAUCCCGAGUUUCACCGUUUGGUAGCAUCUGCACAUAAUAUGUAUAUGAAAAAUGUCUAGAUUCUUUAUCCAAAGGAAACUUGAGAUCGUAUUCUUUUUUGGGACCCUUUUCAACAAGUAAAUCUUUCAUUUUUGUAUCCAAACCAUCCCAAACUCUUGGGUCAAAAAUGUCUAACACAUAGCUUGUUUUCAAAUGGUCAUUUUCAUUCCCAUCAUUCUCAUCAAUAUGUUUAUUUUCUUCAUUUUCAUUCACAUGAUUCUCAUUUUCUACUAAUUCCGCAUUCACAACAUUCUCAUUUUCAACAAAUUCAGCAUUCACAACAUUUUCAUUUUCUACAAAUUCAACAUUUAUGGCAUCUUCAUUAUUUAAUAAUUCUUCAUUUGCAUCAAAAUUAUUUUGUUGACCACAAACUAAAUUUGCAGGACCAAAAUAUCUGUUCAAAGAAUACUCUAAACUUUUGGCAAUCUUUUCUUGUUUUUUUUUUCUUUGCUUUUUUCGAGCUCCAGAUAAUUGUUUCAUGCUUAUAGAAGUAAAUUAAACAGUACAACCCAAUCAAAAGAAGCAUACAUAAAAAAGAAGCACACAGAAAGAAAGAUGAAAAAAAAGACACCACCAAAAAAAUAUUAAUAAAAAAAUAAAAGAACAAUAAAACCUGAUGUACGCAGCCUUCUUGUAUUUAACCAGUAAAUUGUGAUAGAGUCAACUUCUUACACUUUCAAUUGUUGAAUAUGUUAAUAUGCAAAAUACAACAAAUAAUCAAAAAUACAUAAAUGAUAUUAAGAAUAAAAGUAAAUAUAAAUUAAGUAGUGUAUUUUAUUAAUAAAAACAGUGAGGGUAUUGGUUACCUUUCCCCAUUGAUGAAAUCACAAUUUACGCAAGCUUUAGAAUUGAGCACUUUGAACACACAGAAUAAUCUCCAUGGGUUUGAAAACAAAUAAUAUAAAAUCAAUAUUACAGUCACCCAAUUUCAAAGAUUUCGAUUUUGAGAAAGAUGUGGAAAACUCGAGAAUGGCUUGGAACGGGAGAAAAUCAGAGAAGAUGGAGAAAUGUUUAGUUAAAACGACUAAAAAUAAGUGAGUAAAAAUUGAAAUUGAGUUCAUUUAAAUUGACAGAUGGGUGCAAAAAUAUCGGUAAUUUAAAAGAUGCACGUUGGAAUUGAACAAAAUUAAAGAGAUUUAUGGAGAUAUUUAUGGAUUUAGUUGGAGAGAUUUAUGGGCAGAAGAUUAAGAGUUAUACUGUAUGUUUGGGGUUGCAACCGUUUAAUGUGGUUGAGAAGUUUAGGGAAAAAAUAUAAAUAAAUAUAAAUAUUUAUACGUAUAUAUAAAUAUAUAUAUAUAUAUAUAUAUAUAUAUAUAUAUAUAUAUAUAUAUAUAUAUAUAUAUAUAUAUAUAUAUAUAGGAAAACUACAUAAAAAUUUGGGCCCCCUAGCACUAAUGGGCCCUGGGCGGUUGCCCAGUUUGCACCGGCCUAGGGCCGGCCCUGAAAUGCAGAUUCUAAUGAUUAUGAAUGUAUAGCAGUAAUUCAAAAGUUUCCUUUUAUUGCAUUAGCUUAUAUGGAUUGUUAAUGAAUUUAGUAAUUGAUGGUUUGAACUUUGAAUAACAUGUGGUAUGAAAUUAGAAAUUAGGUAUAUAAUUCCCUUAUGGUUUUGACAUUUUGCAGAUGACCUUCCUUGUGGUUUUGAAAUUUCGCACACGGCCCCCUUAUGGUAUGAAAUUAGCACAUAACCCCCUUGAAUAGAAAACUGGAAAAGACUAAAUUACCCCUAUCAAGUCAAAAAUUCUUGUUUUAAUUUAAAAAUAAUUAUUCUAUAAAAUGAAAAGCUUAAUGUAUUUUUUUUGUAAAAUGAGAAAUAUAAUAUAUUAUUGUGUUUUUUAUUUAAUUUUACAACACAAAAGGUAUAUGAUACUAGUUAUUGUAUGAUUGACAAUUUAUUCGAUUUUAAAAUUCAAAACCACAAAGGGGGUCAUAUGCUUAAUUUCAUACCAUAAGAGGGUCAUGUGUAAAAUGUCCAAACCACAAGAGGGUUAAGUGCUAUUUACCCUUAAAUAAAUAAAUAAAACGACAUAAUAUCCAAUAAAUUAUCUAGCAAUAGUUUAAUAUGUCAUCUUGUGACUUGUGACUUGUGGCUAUUUGAAACUAUGACUCUUUGGAUGAUAUAUAGCAAAUGAAAUACUUUGAUUCUUCAACGAGUAUAUAAAAUAAGGGGAAAAUGAGGGAUAACCUCAUCGUUACGUAAAAUAAUAAAAUGUGGGCCCAAUUUAUAAUUGACCAUUUGUAAACAAACACAUAUAAUAUUUUAUGAAUUUUGUGACCCCCUAAUCUUAGGUUAAUACCCAUUAUACCAUUUCUUUCCAUAUUGUUUUCCUUUAUUUUCUCCUAUUUCUCUCUCUUUUUCGUUCUGUUUCCUUCUCUUUGUGCCCUUUUUUCCUCUAUUGUACGUUCUAUGCAUCUCCUUGAUGCUUGAAAGGCUCAAACGGUUCAAAGAAUGCUAAAAUCAUAUCCCAAAUCACUCACUUCUCAAUGCUCCGUAUUAUAAAUUUCCUAAGGUGAGCUCUACAACCGAACAUAGCAUGAUUUAGCAUAAAUUAAUUCCAAAAUUAAAAUACAAAACGUCCAACAAAAGCAAUGCACAAAGUGUGAUUUCUAGUAAUAAUUCAUUUCUAAUUAAGUUCCUUUAAAUCGAAAGCUAGCCAAACAUCUGGUCCUCGUCACAAAAAAAGAAGCAAUCUCAUCAUCAAACAUUGGUCAUCUCUCAUCAUCACAACUCACCGACGCAUUCGACUCAAGUAAUAUUUUUUUUUAUUUAAUUUUUUUUAUAUAAAACAACUGAAGAAAUAAAAACAUCUAAAAUAAAAUAAAACCUAAGGCAUGCAAAUUAAACUCAAAUAAAGUACAAGUAAGUGUUUUACCACCCCCAAACUUCAAAUUUUCGUUGCCCUCGAUGAAAUUAAGACGAAGUUCAAGGAUAGAAACCACCUAAUUAAUCGCAGUCAACGUGAUCAGGGUGCUCCUCUCCAUCUCUCGCAUGUUCCUCAUCGUUGAAAGGGGGCACGGGCUCAAGAAUUGGUGCCGGUAAAGGUCCCGGCUCCACACAAUCGGUCGUCCCACAUCUCAUGUAUCGUACGGUGGCUUGUAGCAUUUUGCCCGACCACCUUUAGAGCGCCUCCACUGUGUUGACCUUGUGCUUGAUAGUCGCUAAUUUGUUCCUCGUGAUUGCCAUCUCUCACUCUAUCUUUCUCCAGAAUCAUCGAUCGGUGUUGGAGCUCGAGGCUUCGUUGUCGUUGCUUACUUGUGGUUGAGAAGCGGCUUCUGCCAAAGCUUGUGGCUCGUUGUGGAUGGCUUCCUUGAAUUGUGAGGCGGCAAACUCGUCGAUUGGAUUUCAGAGGCUUAGCACGAUGUCGUUCAAUUAUUUGGGGACUUUCUCUUUGGUGCACAAUCCUGUGAUGAUGCUAGGGAAGAAAAAUUCCCUUGGAUUUGUCGUGCAUGGUCCGCCAUAGUUGAUCGUACAUAAUGGACCCUAUAUCGAUCAUUUUUCCCGUGAUAAUGUAGUAGGCGAGAGCACAUCGUUGGUGGUUGAACCGACUAAAAAAGAUAGUCGGAAUCACGUUGGCGCAAAUUAAUGACAACCAUGAUUUUCCCUCGUAGUUGACACUCUUCCAACUUAGCUCGUAUAUCUUUUUGUCCAAAUAUUCGAUCCACUUAGGGUGCCCACCACAUAACACCACACCAAUUUGUUUCUUGGUAACUUCAUCUCGCAUGGCAUCCCAAUUUUGACCAAGGGUGCGGAGACCAUAAUAGUGGUUAAUGUCGUUCGUCCUCCGAUUGAUGUAAAUUUUACGUACCACACUUGAGGCGUGGUUGGGAGGUUUGAGUAUCAACGUGUUGGUAUAGAAUUCGCGGACGAUCGAUAUGUUGUAAAAAGGUUCGGGCUCAAACAACUUUUGCCACCCUCGGUUGAAGAUUUCUUGAUUUAGGUUGGCGAAGUGUGAUAGAGUGACUGUUAGUGCUCGUUCCGUGAUGAUCGUUUUCUUCGUUUGUUUUUCGAAGAGGGCGGCGGUUCCUUCGACAGUAAAGGCGUCUUUGUCUGGUUGCGGAACACUCGUCUGCUUGGUGGAUCCUUUCUUUUCUUUCUCUUUCCCCUUUGGUGGAUCCCUUCUUUUCUUUCUCAAGUCUUCUUCGUUUGUUUUUCGAAGAGGGCGGCGGUUCCUUCGACAGUAAAGGCGUCUUUGUCGGGUUCGGGAACACUCGUCUGCUUGGUGGAUCCCUUCUUUUCUUUCUCUUUCCCCUUUGAAGAAGAUGCCUUGCUCGUGCGGCCUCUCUUGUUGGACGACAUGGUUGGACGGAUUUGACUAACUUUGGUGAAAAAUUGAUGAUAAUCGAACCCCCAAACUUGGUUCAAGCAAACUAUCGAACAUCUUGUGGGCGUGACUUGAAGAAUUAGGUUGUGGAGAGUUUUGUCGAUUCGUGAGCCUAGCCUACCAAUACCAACAUGAAUGAUCAAAUUUACAUGUUUGAGUGUGUGGGUUUUGAAAUUUGUACUUACAAUUUCCAAGAAUUGAGAGAGAGAAAAUAGGGCUUGAGAGAGGAUUUAUAGGGGUUGUGAAUGUUAGGAAAAUAUGAGUUUCUGCCCUUUUUUAAUAUGCCCGUUUUUCUCUUCGGACGACUGUCCCAGAUUUUGUGCUUCGUUUGUGACGGCCAUUCCAAAAUGCGUAGGUUGAAAUUCAACUUUGAGCAUUCUAACGACCAUCUCAAACUGCGUGAGUUGAGAUUAGGGCAUCAGGCUUUUGGACGGACAUCUGGAUUUCUACUUGUAUUUUCGGACGGCCGUCUGGACCUCCUGACCAUAAUUUCGACCCUGAAAAUUAAAAAUCAAAUAAAGUAAUUAAAAUGCAUGCCUAGGAAAAUAGAAACAAAAAUGAAAACUUAAAUAAAAAUACAAAAAGCAAUAAAGCUCGGGUUGCCUCCAAAAAGUUGUAAAGAGAACAUCAUUUUAAGGUUGUAAGACGUCGGUGUUGUAGCAUGGUACAUUAGUCACAUCAUAACAUUCACGUUCAUGCAUGAGAUUGGGCAUUAACUCAUAUAGUUUUGCAUUACAGGUGAGUUUAAUCCAGGUUAACCUCUUGCUCGAGAGGCAGGUUGUUGGAGCUUUAGCAAGAUUCCGAUGAUCAAUGUGUCUGGAUGACGACAUUGUUUUGGAUUGUGUCUGUUGUCGCAUGGUCAUUUUUUCAGUUGUUCUUGUGGUUUGUAGUUCUUGUACAGUUGUGGAGUAAUCAGUUAUGUUGGUAAAGAUAUGUACAUAUGUUUGACUUUGAAGUAUUAUCCUUACUAGGGGACACUUAUAUUAGUGGAUGUGUAUAUAACUGGUGUUUUGGUAAAGCAGGUUGCUCUCUUCAUGUAUUUAUAAAUAGGAUCUUAUCUUUAGUACGAGUCUACAAACACUUGUCUUGUCAAUUCUAUAAAAAAAAUGAUAGAGCAAAAUUGCUCUUUUCUAUUUAAUAAGUCAUUUAUGCGGAAGUAAAUUGGGGGUGUUUCAGGAAUGAAAAGAGCCGUGAGUUACAUUACUAUUCCAAAUAUUUAUGUCUUUCUCCAUUUUGUUUUCUUUCUUCCAACAAUAACUUCCUGUGUUGGCCCUAAAAAUAUUAUAUUGUCAUAGAUUAUUUUGCAAGCUUCUUUUAUUGAAUCUUCCAAGGUUCAAUAAUAAAAUCGAAUUUUAUUAGAUUAUUUAAUCAUAUCUUAACAACUAAACGAACCAUAUGAUUAUUCUAUAUUGCAAUCUUACAUUUUUCAUAGUGCAAUUCCUAGUGCCCCGUAUCUUAACAAGUUAAAGCAUUCAUAUUUACUAAAUUUUCUCUUUUUUUUUUUUUUUCUUUUUUGUUUUUUUCUUUUAUCUUCAGCCAAAUUUGUUAAAUUCCUACAUCUGUCAUAAAACACAUAUGCUUAGUCACAUUAGAAAGUAUGGAGGCCUUUCUAGGUGAUACUUUUCUCCAUGAAACCAUCCAAGAUGACACAAAAUAUCCGAGCAAGAUUAGUUAACAUAAUUAGGGAUUAAUCUGAAAACACACAAUAAAAGUUUACCACAAACUGUAGAGAAAGAAGAUAAAUUACGUUGAUAUUGAUUUCAUUGAACCUCUUUACAGAGAUAUAUAUACAAGAAAUUAUCAUAAUUGACUCUAAGGUAAAUCUUCAUACUAAGGAAAGUUAAUAAUACAAAAUCAAUUAAUGGAACUAUCAAAUAUACGGUUUCCUAAAUGAGUGGAUAUUGUUGAUUUCACAACACUCCCCCUCAAGUUGGAGAGUGAAUAUCGAGAACUCCCAACUUGACUAAGAUUGCGACAAAGUCAUCCUUCCCCAACGGCUUUGUGAACACGUCGGCCAAUUGGUUUCUUGAAGCGACGUAAGUAGUGGUAAUUGAUCCAUCUUGAAUUUUAUCUCUAAUAAAAUGGUAAUCCCUCUCAAUGUGUCGUGUUCUCUCAUGGAAGACCGGGUUUGCAGCUAUGUGUAAAGCUGCUUGAUUAUCACAAUAAAGUGUAGCAGCUUCAGUUUGUGUAGUUUCCAAGUCACUCAGGAGGUCUUUAAGCCAAGAAAUCUCACAACAUGCUCCUGUCAUUGAUCGAUAUUCCGCUUCAGCUGAAGAUAAAGAUACUGUCUUUUGCCGCUUGCUUCUCCAUGAAAUCAACGAUUUUCCAAGGAAAACACAAUAUCCCGUUGUUGAUCUUUGGGUUGUUGGGCAACCUGCCCAAUCGGAAUCGCAGUAGGCACGCAACUUUAAAUCACUUUGUGCUGGAAAACAUAGGCCUUGGCCUGGUGCUGACUUAAGGUACCGCAAUACUCGUUGUGCAGCAUCCAUGUGAGGUUUACGCGGCUCAUGCAUAAAUCGACUUAGUACAUGAACAGCAUAGGUGACAUCUGGUCUUGUGAUAGUAAGAUAAAUCAAGCGGCCUACCAAUCUUCGAUAUCGAGAUGGUUCAUUAAGAAGCUCUCCAGAAUCGGAAAGUUUGAGAUUUUGCUCCAUAGGAAAAGUAACGGGUUUUACUCCUAAUGCACCGCCAUCUUGAAGAAUAUCAAGACAAUACUUUCUUUGAGAAAUAUAUAACCCCUUAUUGGAUCGAGAUACUUCAAUUCCCAAAAAAAACUUCAAGUCUCCAAGAUCCUUAAUUUUGAACUUAGAGUGAAGAAAAUGUUUGAUGGACUGAAUUGCAUUAUCAUCAUUUCCCGUAAUCAAGAUAUCAUCCACAUAAAUUAGUAAGGCUGUAAAAGAUUUUCCCGUUUUACGCGUGAAUAGAGAAUAGUCCGCUUUGGAUUGAACAAAACCAGCAGUUAUGAUAGCCUCGGUAAAUUUGGCAAACCAUUGCCGAGAUGCUUGCUUAAGACCGUACAAAGACUUGUUAAGCCGACACACCAACUUCUCCCCCUGUCGGUGAAAACCAGGAGGAAGGGACAUAUAGAUUUCUUCAUGUAGAUCGCCAUGAAGAAAUGCAUUAUGAACGUCAAGUUGAUGUAAAGACCAAGAACGGGCUGAAUCAAUGGCUAGGAGACAACGAACUGUGAUCAUUUUAGCCGUCAGAGAAAAAGUAUCGUGGUAAUCGACACCCUCAGUUUGAGUGUAGCCUUUAGCAACUAGCCGAGCUUUGUAUCGCUCAAUAGAACCAUCAGAACGACGCUUAAUCUUAUAGACCCAUUUGCACCCUAUAGCAUCUUUGCCUAAAGGUAGAGUUGUAAGGGUCCAUGUAUUAUUGGUCUCCAAAGCAUCAAGUUCGACUUUCAUAGCCUGCUCCCAGUGAGGAUCUUUGGCUGCAUCUGAAAAGUUGGAAGGUUCGACAUCUCUACUAAUAUUGGCAAUGAAGGAAAGAUGAGAGGGUGAAAAUCUUUUAUAAGAAACAAAAUUACAAAGCGGGUACCUUGUUCCUUUGCUACCACCAGGCGACGAAGAUGACACAUGAUUGGUGAUGAAGUCCUUGAGAAGAACAGAAGGGAUUUUGUGACGUUGGGAUCGACGAAUAGGUUGAACUGGCGGACUAGAUCUUGGGCUUGAUGGCUGGAGUGAUACAUAGGAAGAAAGAUUAGAAGAAUCUAGAGUUUCCCCAGACGCUGGAAUUUCAAAAUGAUCAGACGGAACGCGUAACACGAGAUUGGUGGAAUCUAGACCAUUGGACUCUUUUAUUGAUGGAGUUUGAAAAGGAAAAGUGGUUUCGUGGAAAACGACAUCACGGGACGUAAAAAUUUUGUGAUUAAGAAGGUCAUACAACUUAUAAGCUUUUUGUCCGUGAGGGUACCCCAAAAACACGCACUUUCGUGCACGAAGAUCAAAUUUGGUGGAAUGUUGAACUAAGGUGGCAAAAGAGAGACAUCCAAAAACACGAAUAUGGUUAUAGGAUGUUUUUUUUUGAGUAAAGAGCUUCGAAAGGUGUUCUAUGGGAUAAUUUUUUUGUAGGAAAUAUGUUUAUGAGGUAAGUUGCUGUAAGAAUGCAUUCUCCCCAAAAUUUAAGAGGCAGAUGAGCUUGAAACGUAAAAGCUCGAGCUAUAUCAAGGAUGUGGCGAUGCUUACGUUCAACGACACCAUUUUGUUGGGGUGUGUAAACGCAAGUAUGUUGAUGAAUAAUUCCUUGAUCAGAAAAAAAAUGUUUCAUGGAAGCAAACUCCCCCCCCCCCAUUAUCAACUCGAAUUUGUUUUAUUGGUGUGUGGAAUUGAGUUGUAAUGAAGGCAAAGAAGGAUUUAAGACGACUUUGUGUCUCAUGCUUGUGACGCAUUAAGAAAACCCAAGUAUAUCGACUGAAAUCAUCCACUAUAGUCAAAAAAUAAUUUGCACCGGAAAGGGAAGAUAUUUUAUAUGGACCCCAAAUAUCAAUGUGGAUUAGAUCAAAAGGUUUGACAGUAGAUAUAGAACUAACUCCAAAAGGAAGACGAGUUUGCUUAGCCAGAGGGCAAACAUCACAUAUAUUUUCUAAACGACGAUAAAAAUUCGGUAAAAUUUUAGACAAGGUUUGCAAACGAGGAAAAGAUAAAUGUCCUAAAUGCUGAUGCCAAAUAUCGGCAGAAACUGAGGUAGAAAGGCAAACUGGUUGUUUGACGGGAGGGUGUGUUUGUGGUUUAGCAGAUACUAACGCCACAAGGUGAUACAAUCCAUCUUGCUGCUUACCCAAACCAAUCGUUGUCCUCGUAACCUGGUCCUGCAAAAUACACCAAGAAGGAAAAAAGGUUAUCGAACAAUUGAGACUUUGUGUAAGUUUGCUCACAGAUAAAAGAUUAACAUUGAAAUUUGGUACACAUAAAACAUCUUUUAAUUGAAUAUUGGAAUUCAAGGAAAAAUUGCAAAUAGAAGUCGUAGCGGCCUUCUCUCCACUAGGCAACGAAACAGGCGGUAAUGAUGGAUUAUUGGUGUGGACUUUCAAUGAUCGCUUAGAACAUGUAAUGUGAUCAGUCGCACCACUGUCAAUAAUCCAUCGGAGGUGAGUUGUCAAAGAUUCCAACAAACCUGUGGAAAGCUCGGUUGAAUUGGUCUGAGGAGGUUGCGAUUCACUUCCCUUUUCAGACAUAAACGAGAGAAUUUGUUGAUAUUGUGCUUCUGACUGAUUGGGCAUAGUAGUCUGUAAUUCCUUAACGGAAAACCCCGUUUUUACCGAAUUUGCAGAAGGAGUGUAUCCUUUUCUAUGGUGACCACCAUUAGACGAUUUCUGGAGUCGGUGUCCUUCUGCAUAGCCGUGCAAUUUAUAACACGUCUCAUUUGUAUGAAAGUCUUUAUCACAGUGGCUGCAAAAUGAAGUGGUUUUCGCCCCGAGUUAGUGUUCUUUGUCCACGUUCAACUGCCAUGGCUGCCACUUCACUUAUCCCACUUGUAUUUCCAAGUUCUCUUUGUUUUUCUUCUUGGGAUAUUAGGGAAUAAGCCUUUCGAUGAGUCGGCAGCGACUGCAUCAAAAGAAUCUGUCCACGCACAGCACUAUAGGAUUUAUUUAAUCCCAUGAGAAAUUGCAUUAAAGCAUUUCUCUCCUCACGUUCUGAUUGUGGCUUUAUUUUUCCACAAGUACAGUGACAAGGUUCAUUAUAGGAUGUUAAUUCAUCCCAAAGACCCUUUAGCUUGGUGUAAUAGGCUGAAACAGACAUUUGGUUUUGUUGCAAAUACGCCAUUUCAUGUUGAAGUUGAAAGAUUCUUGGUGCGUUACUUUGAGAAAAUCGUUCUUCAAGAUCCUGCCAUAUCUCAUGUGAUGUAGUUGAGUAUAUCACACUAUCGGCAAUAUCGGGUUCAAAAGAAUUUAGAAUCCAUGAAAGGAUCAUGUCAUUGCAUCGCUUCCAUGAGGAGUACUCUUCUGGUGACUUUAUUUGACAAGGAACUUGAACGGAUUCGUCGAUGAAACCCAACUUGUUCUUUGCGCUGAGAGAAAUUUUCAUCGAGCGGCUCCAUGUUCCGUAAUUAUCACCAUUGAGAGGUUUGGAUACGAGGAUCAUUCCGGGGUGAUCGGAAUGAUGAAUAAAGAAAAGAUAGGAUGGAUCAUUUUUGUUAAUGCACUUACUUUUAUUUGAAUCAUCCUCCAUGGUGAAGAAAUCAAAGAACAAGAAUUAUAAAAAGAAACGGAAGUAAAAGGCAAGGAUUUUAUCCUGCUCUGGUACCAUGUAGAGAAAGAAGAUAUAUUACGUUGAUAUUGAUUUCACCGAACCUCUUUACAGAGAUAUAUAUACAAGAAAUUAUCAUAAUUGACUCUAAGGUAAAUCUUCAUACUAAAGAAAGUAAAUAAUACAAAAUCAAUUAAUGGAACUAUCAAAUAUACGGUUUCCUAAAUGAGUGGAUAUUGUUGAUUUCACAACACAAACAGCUGUACCAAUUCAAUUUACUCAAUUGAGAAUGGUAAACAAAUACUUUUAUGGAUAUUUUUGGUUGAUCGAGGCGAUAGAGAGAAUGCGAAUUGAGGAUGGUUCGGAUUGAAGAAAUGUAAUAAUUUGAGGAAAAGAAAAUACGAAUGACUAAGUCAGACUGAGAGUCGGUGCCACAUACCUGCAGUGUCUUAGGGCCCCUAACUUCAAAGACCCCAAGAAGUUUUUUGUCAUUUAUAUAAAGUUUAACAAUUAGAAAUAUCAUUAAUGAUUUUUAGAAAACUAGCAAGGUGCACGUGUCGUAAUAUUAUUAUAUGGUGAAAAUAAUUUUUCUGUGAAAACUAAUACAACUCUUAUAACUAUCUGGUGGGACAACAAUGUACAACAAAGAUGCAUCAUCCAAUUGCAAUGUUCCUCACGGCACACCUAGUCCUUCUGCAACAGGUUCUGUUUAUUAUGGAUUACCCGCUCCUUAACCAAUUCCAUUUUUUUGCCUUAUUGAACGAUGAAACAUAUAUCAAAAAAAUAAACAAAAAACUCAGAAGCUUGGUGCAUUAACAUAAUUUCCAGCUAGCAAUGAGCAUGAAUGUAAAUUAUGUUCCAAACAUACUCUACACAAAUUUAGUUGGUCUAUAUGCUUCACAGUAGUGUAAAGAGAAGGUUAGCUCUCCACAUGAACGCAAGUCUAGAGUAGCUCUAUAAUGGUCUUGAUCGUUUAAGAGUUAGAGAAUUUGGUUAAAUUCGAAACAUUGAAGAAGAGAGGUUCUCAUAAACAAAAAAAAGGCUUGCAUAUUUUAAUAACAUACCUCAGUGUAUUUUGAUUUGACAUAUUAUGUACCAGGCCAUCAUCCUGUCAAAGUAAUGACAUAAUAAUUUCACAAAGUGAAACUAUGUCUAAUUAUAAAGAAUAAAUAAUUCAUGGAAGAACUUUAGAUAUUGUCCAUAAGUUUGCAUACAAUGAUAUAUUUGAUAUGUUACAGAGAUUGAAAGAUAUAUCUCAAGUGAACUUGUAUCUCAAUGGUAGUAAAAUGUGCCUUCUAUCUUCUAGAGCACUCAGUUGAUUGUCUAUUUGAAUGCAUUCUAAAAGAGCGUAUCAAGAGCAUAAUCUUGACUUUUAUACAGUAAAACCUGCUACAAUUCUAAAUAAAAUAAUGAAAUAUAUUAAUGAAACUAAAACAGUUUGUCUUCAACCAUUGGUAUGUCAUGAAAUAUCAAAAAAAAAACAUAUAAAGUAUACUGGCAUAAUUCUCUCUAGUAGCCCCUUGAAAUGCAUGUACAACAAUUUCUUCACUUAGCCUCCUUAAACUAACUAUUUAGUAAAACCCUUCGAGAAUACAAGAUUGAGCUGAAAUUUCUGCCUAUGCAUUUUGGGUGGCUUCAUUUUGUCCUUCAUCUAUCAAGUUCAUCAUCAUGUGACUACACCAUGGAUCGGAAAAUUCAUUUGUUGUUGACUUCACCUGUACGGUUGCACCUCCUCUGCCUACUAUGUCUAAGACAUAUGAUGUACAUCCAACAUUCUUAUCUUGUAGUUUUGACGGAUCACAUCAACUUGCUAUAAAGGGGAAAAAAAACCAAAUAAACUGUUGAAUGACCACCUCAACCAAAAACUUAAGUUAUUAUUAUUUAAUACUUAUAUCUUCAAUUCGCCCCCUAAAGUUCAAGCAAAUUACAUUUGAAGCCUUGCACUUGAAAUAUUUGAAAUGGAUGGCGGUGGGAUUCGAACUCAUGACCUUUCAUUUGGUCUGAUUCUGAUAUCAUGUAGAAUGACUACCUCAACCAAAAUAUUAAGCUAUUAGUGAAGUGUAUCAUUUGUUACUAAUAUCUCCAAUAAUAACAGUGAUAAAGCAUAUAAAGUAUACUGGCAUAAUUCUCUCUAGUAGCCCAUUGAAUGGUUCGUAGAUUUUCUAUAAUAAUAUCUCCCUGAAACUCACCUGAAUAGUAACGGGAACCAAAUCGAAGAUUUGUGUUAAAGGAAUUUAAUAUCUAAUAACAUUAAAUUUUUUUAUGAGAGCACGACAACGAAUACAAGUGUUUUACGUAAGGUGGGAGGCAUUGUCUGCAGGAAGGAGAAGGAGACUGAUGAUUCAAUCAGGGCCUAAAACUUAAGUCAUGAUUUUUAAUUUAUAGUAAAAUAAAACUUAUUAAAUUGAAAAGGAAACUAUCUAUAGCCACUGGACCCUAACAUUUAGAGGGAAAAAAUAUGAAUUGAAAAAUAUAAGAAGUUCAUGAACAAAUAAUAUCACUAAUAUUAUUUUGACUUGAGCUUACAAUACUUUAUUUUCUCCCAUAAAUAGAGAUGAUUGGAUUUUAUGAUUACACUAUGGCAACUAAGUUAAGAUCAAGAUUGGCAUUCUGAUUGCUCUAUCAUAACAUUUUUCAUUUUGAGUUAUUUCCGCUGACAUUUAUAUGUUGCUGAUUUGAUUUGCGGUGCCAAAAAGAAAAUUGGUAUAAUUUCCUUGUUAAAUAAAUUUGUUGGUCUUUGAAAAUAGUAUUUGUUGUUGUUUGUUACGAUUUGGCACUUAAUUUGUGUGUGUGUGUGUGUGUUUUUUCCUUUGUUUUUCGUAUAUUCGAUUAAGUUUGUACGUAGUCUUUUACUGUUUUUAGCAGAUUUUUAUAAUGGUUGAACCAUUGCAAUUAAAAUGCCAUUAAGGUCACGCAAAUGUAGAUUUGUUGUCUCACUUAAGAUUUUAUUUCGUUUUUAAUGUGUUGUUCUCCGUAGGAUCAAAUAGGGUUGAGUUCGAGACGAAAUUUUGUGAUUUUAUGAAAUUUGCGAUUCAGGAUUCAAAAAUACAGACCAAAAAAAAAAAAAGACUCCAAUUAAAAUUCUCAAAGAUGUCAGCUUCAUCAAGCCCUAUCAUCUCGGAAAGAUUUCAGUUUGGUGUUAUCCAUUCAACAAAUACAACAAAUACAUAAAAAGAAGUUAUUUAAGUUUUGUAAAUCUUUUGGAUAUUUGAUCUACCUUCCUAAAAUGAUAGGUAAGUCAGAAAGUUCAGACUCUGCAAACAUUUUGAAGCAAGUCAAAUUGUUUUCAACAUACGACAUUACUUCUAUAUGGAUGAUCAACUUACAUGUUUUGCUUGUGGUUAUUUGGAUUAUCAUUUGUAAGUUGGUUAUUUGUUUUCUUUUCAUCUCGAGUUUCCUUCUUUUCGACAGCAAAAGUUGCUGCAAUAAGUUUCACAUUUCCACGAUAUAUGUAGUUGUUCGAUAUAAAUUUUGUAUUCACUUAUAGUUCAAUUUUUUAAAUUAUGAAGACAUGCACCUUCAAUUGAGGGGAACAUAAAAUUAUUGAUGGUCAAUGUUUUUCUUAUUUAUUAGGUUCUCUAACAAUAUGAUCAAGUGCACGUGCGUUGCACGUGUCGUGUUAAUUAUUUUAUGUUUGCACGUCUCAAUUUUAAUUUUUCUAUGCAUUGAAAUAUUGGAAUAAUAUAAUCUAAUUUUAUUUAUUAUACAACUAUAAAAUCGCUUUAGUACUUGAGGAUUUACCAGUAUUUAAAUAAUGCUAUAGAAUGCUUGUUAUUGACUUACACCAUUAUGUAAUUUUGAAAUAUAUAAAUUCUAAAAUACUUGGGAAUAAAAUGAAUGAAUAUUAUUAUGAAUUUCUUACCUUGAAAAUAUUGAAAGUUUAUGAAAUUCAUGAUUAUUCAAUUAUUGUCAUAAUUUGGAUCUAAGCGCUACGAUAUAACUGUGCAACAUCGAUAACAUCAAAACUUGAAUUAGGAGUUAUGUCAUUUGGUUGGUGUCUGCAAAAGGUUUUAGUAACAGAUUCAACGCUUCUUUUCUGGCUCAUAUUGUUUUUGGGGUGUUUGAAGUAUGAGAUUUUGUUUUUGUUUCUUUUAAAAUAAGAUGAUUUAAACUUUAAUUUGAAAAACAUACAUGAACGUGUUUUUUCUAUAUAAUGACAUUUUUGUAAUUAAUUAGAAGUUAUUUUGGUAAUUUUCCAUCGUAUUUAUAAAUCCAUAAAACUUUAGUAAUAAGUACUUAAUACAAAUUUAAGUAGGUGGUGUUUGCAAAAACUUUUAAAAAGUGAUUCCGGAGCAUUUUUAUUCAAAAUCACUUUUCAAGUAUUUUACAAUAUUAAAUUUUGAUUCUACUUCUCUUGCUUUAUACUGAAAUGUGAAAAGCAUCUUUGAAGGAACUUCUCUUAAAAUAUAUUGAUUAUAGUUGAUUUUUCAUGGAGUUUGCAAACAUUCACACCUUUUAAAAAUAAACAUUUAACACUAACUCACAAUUUCAUUUUUUCUCUUUUUUUUUAAACCUCUUGCAAACACCACCUUACAAUUACUGAGUUCUGUUUCUUUAAGCUUAUAUGCAAACACUACCUAAGUCUUCCGAGUGUUUUGUAUUUUCUCUAAAAAUAUAAUGGGAUGUAUAUUGCAUGGCAUAUAAAAAGUAUAAGUUGUGACUUGUCAUUUUUCGUUUCAAACCAAAAUACUGACUAUUGGAAUGAAUAUGAAUACAUAUUAAAUUCAUAAUCGAACACUAACCUAAUAUAUAUAUAUAUAUAUUAUUGUAAACGUUUUAUAUUAAUUACUCCCUCCGUCCGUCACUUAUUAUAUGGCGUUUAUGAUAGUUACACAUAUAUUAAGAUUUUUUUUUAAGAAAUACGCAUAUAUUAAGAUAGUCAAUAAAUAUAGUCAAUAAAUAUACAUAGAUUAUACCGUAACAAAACUAACAUAGUAAAUACGAAAAUACUCAUGUUAUUAAUUAUUUUUUAAUUAACUAAGAAUAAUAUGGGGCAAAAUUGAUAAAAAUGCAAUUAAUGUCUUAUUGGAACUCUAAAAUAACAAAUAAUUUGGGGAAAAAAACACCCUUAAAAGACAUAUCAUAAGGGACAGAUGGAGUAAUUAAUAACAUUACUAAUAAGGGGAGCUAGAUGAUACAUCUGUUUAUUUAUACGAGAUGGAUUUCAACUGUAGAUCUGAUUAAAAAUUCAUCUACUAAGCACACAUACACAUAGGUCUGUUGUGUGUGAUUAUGUAUGAAUCUACAGUUCAAAUCCACCCAAUAUAAAUAACUAUGUAUUAUAUUUAAUUAUCCUAAUAAUAAUAACAUUGUUAUAAAUAAAAAUUAGUAAAAAUAAUGCUAACAUCUGGCAAUUAAUAAGGGAAAAUAAUGAUUUACUAAUUAAUAUUAAUAUUUGGUUAUUUAAUUAGUAUAUGAAUGGGCCAAUGAAAGUUCCAAUAUAAUUGUUCCAUUUACAAAAUAAAAAACAACAAUAACUAAGAUAAUUAAAAACUCGUUACAAACUAAAUUUCUCUUUAGCUACUCGCAUUGUUGUUGUAAAACGAACCCGCAUCGUAGAAUUAUGAACUCGACUUUUGACUCACUUUUUGUAGCCGAUAACAGAUAUUUAACAGACACAUACAGUAGAGUUUGAUAAUUUUAAUCGUUCGAUGUAUAAAUGGAUAUAUCGGUGAUUUUCAGUUUACUCAAACGUCGAUUGGUAUGCUGAUGUCGGUCAAUCGACUUUUUUAAUAAUAAAAAUGUAUUAUAAAUAUUUAAUUGUAAUUCUUAUUUUCUUGUUAAAAUAAUAUAUCAACGAAGUCAAACCUCAAAAAGUGAAAAUACAAAUUUAUGAACAUCUGUGUAUUAUUUCUAUAUUAUAAUUAUUAUUUUAUUUCCUUUAUUAUAUAUUUACUUAUUGUAGAAUUUAGUUAAAAAAACUCUAAAUUUUAAAUACAAUGUUUAUUCGAUAGUACCAACCAACCGACCCAUUAUUUAUCUGAUAAAGUCAUAUGUCAAUAAUUAUCCAACCCAUAAUGAUCAGGUCGGUAAUGAUUUUCAAUAUUCAGCAAAAUUGGCAGGUCAUCUAGUAGGUAAUUGACCGAUAUUUGCUCGAUCCGACCCCAUGUCUGACCGGACUUAUUUCUGUAUUUGUACUGAUAAAAUUAAAUAAUUUUCUUACAUGUUCUUUUGUAUUAAAAUACUCAUUAAUUGGAGAUCAAAAGUGAGCAAUUUGUUUGUCGAAUAGAUUCAUGUUUGCACUUAGGUAAGAUGAGUUAUAUAUAUGGGUUUUAAAUUAGACUAACAUUUUUAUUUUAGAAGUGAAAUAGCUGUUGGGUGCUAAAUACCUAACACGCAAGUGCACGUAUCGCAAACAAGUAGUAAAAGUGGAUUCGUGAGAGUCGGAUGUCGAUUCCACAGGGAAUACUCAAAUUAUCUAAUCCUAAGUACCAAUUUCUAACAACUAUGAUUUUUAUCCAGCCUACGCAAGUUUGUCAAAUUAAAUCAACUAAAACAAUUAAACUAAUUAUGAAAGCAAAUAAACACUAGAAAAUAUCAAUAAAAACGGACCUAGGAUUUUAUCUCCCCCCUAUGCAAGAAUUGCUCACCCAAAACCCCUCAAUUAUGAAAUACAUGAUUCAUGAUUAUUAACCCGAGACACUAAUUUACUCAUAACCCGCUGUCGCGUGUAUUAUGAGUCUAUUAUUCAUAAACGAUUCACUAUAUGUCUAUGCAAACCAAUUAUAAAUAAAGCAUUAACUAACAAGUCUCGUAAAUGGCUACCUAAGGUGAUAUCUGUAUGUCUACGACACCACAUGCAAUUGACACACUCAUCCGGUGAAAACUACUCGAAGGCUCUUCUACCUACCGUCUAAUUAUCAAAAUAGCUCUGUCGAGUCAAUCCCAAUAAUCACAGAUAAAGCACAUAAAUUGAUCAGGUUCAUGCACUAACAAUCAUAACAAGUAGAAGAAAUAAUCAUAAAAUCAUAAUUGCAUAAUCUCAAGAAAACGGGUUCACCAUCCCCACAUAGGGUUCCGACAAAAUCCUAGAUUAAAAACUUAGCUACUCGUAAUUCUUAUGAUAAGCAAAAUAGAAUAAAUAAAACAAAUAAGAAAAACUAUGCUUGAGUCUUCGUUGAUAUUCGUUCUUCGCGUUUUGGGGUGUAAAAUUUCGUGCUUAUAGUGUAGAGACUUGUUGCUUUUAUAGGCUUUUCUUGAUAAGGAAGUAGUGGAAACGUAAUAGGAAUCAAUUUUCGCCACUUUCCCCCAUCAGGGUUUGUUCUUCGAUUUUCGCCAUGUUGGAGUCCGAAUUUUGGAAUGUUUUGUAAAUAAGAAUUGUAGCCCUUGAAAUUAUCUUUCCAAUGCCGUAAACAUCACCUAAUUCGGGGUUCGUAUGAGAGAGAUAUGCUCGAAAUAGUGGACACUGUCAAAGCUGUGGCGAGAUUCCUUCUUCCAAUUUGAUUUGUUUCCUUAUUUGCAACUUUUUUCUUUCUUUUUGAUCUUUUUUCCUUCAUGAACACCUAAUUCUCGUUUUUCACCUAUAAAACACAAAAUCAAUCAAUUAAAGCACAAAUAUAAUUAAAUCUAAACAAAAGAUCCACGUAAAGUUAACGUAUUGAGUGUAUUAUCUACACUCAACACACCCCCAAACUUGAACUUUUGCUUGUCCUCAAGCAAAAUCUAAUCGUAAGCAAAUGACUCAACUACUGCAUCUCAUCACAUAGAUCAAUGACCAACUUCAUGUUUUCAGAACUUGUAAUUAUAAUGAAAAUUCGUAGGCAUUCGCAAGCUCAAAAUUCAAAAGCACUUAGUCACUUUCCAUCAUCAAAAACCACAAAUCAUGCAAUUGCUUCAAGCAUCCAAUAUUUGUAAAUUAAAGAUAGAAAAAAUUUAUGCUUACAUGCAUAUGUUUGACUCCAAAUACUCACCAAAUUAUUCUACUCUACUAAUAUCGAACAUUAAGCUAUUGGGGUCAUUGGGGCUUUUUGGCUUUCAAUUGUUAGGCUCUUUGGUCCGAGCUAGGUAAUAUGGGUAUGUGUGGCUACUUUUUCUGAAUUGAGGUGAUUACGCCAAAAUUUGAAAUAUAAGCGUUUGAAACAAUGAAGUCACCUCUAAGGACUUUAAUAAACUCGAUUCUUAGGAGUUCAAAAGUCUCCACUUUUGCUCUUAAGACAAUGGAUCGAGCUUUCAAAACAAUUCAACAACUAGUCCUUACUUCUCCCAUCAAGUCUCUUCUUCUUCUUUUUUUUUUUUUUUUUUUUUUUUUUUUUUUUUUUUAUUAUAUAUAUAGACACAUAUAUAUUUUUCUUCUUCUUUUUCUCUUCUCUAUUUUUUUUUUCUCUCUCUCUUUUUUUUUUUUUUUUUUUUCGAAAGCAAUAAAUAAACUAAAACAACUAAAAUAAAAAAAAAAAUCCUAAGCCAUGCAAACUAAAAAAUUAAAGCACAUAAAAACAAGCAAUUUUUCACCCCCAAACUUAAAAUUUACAUUGCCCUCAAUGUAAUUAACACGAAGUUCAAGGAUAGAAUACACCUGAAUAAGUCGUCUUGGCCGUCUCCGGUUUUCUCUCCACCCUCGCUUUUAUUAUGCUUCAGUUGAGGUUCGCACGGCCGUAUGAGAUUUUGAACUGUUUUCCGCACGGCCCUGCGAAACUUGAAUUCUGGGCAGUAGCCUAUUGUUUCUCGGACGACCCUGCGAGAAUUCAGUGUAAAUUCCGCACGGCCGCGCCCCUUCUCAAUUUUGGGCAGUAGCCUCUCCGAUUUUCCACACGGCCGUGCUGGAUUCAAGCUUUUUUUGGUGCGGCCGUGUGAAGUGCAAAAUUGCACUUUGACCCCUGAAAAUAAAAAAAAUUGCUUAUUUAAUUAGCUUGCAUGCUUAUAAAAUAAAUAAAUAAAAUAAAACAAGAAUCAUAAAUAAUAAUAAAAAAAAAAAAAAAAAAAAACGAAAAUCUCGGGUUGCCUCCCGAGAAGCGCUAAGUUUAUAGUCUUCAGCCAGACUUUGUUCCUUCUCUUCAAUUCCUUAGCUUUUGAACCCAUCUCCUAACUUCCUUUUGGAGAAAGUCUUGAAUAAAUGGGUUGAUCCGAUUCUUCUUUCGACUGGUUCGCUUAGGAAUGCCCUUUAAUUUAUUCUUUUUGAUGUCAUGAGGCGUGCCAACAUCGUCUUUUAUCACGGUGUUUUGAGUAGGUGUUGUAACCAACUCAACCUUUUUCUUUUGUUCUCCUACAUGCUCAUUAGUAUCCACAAAAAAAUUUAAAUCAUGUAAUUUAACAGGAAAAAGUUUAGAAUCACUUACCUCAUCAAGAAGAUAACAUCCAUUAGCCGUAAUAGGCUUUUCAUCCACCCGGUACACCUUGAAGAUCACUGUUUCUUCCCCCACACUCAUUCUUAGCUCUCUCUUUCCUACAUCAAUAAUUGACCUACCGGUUGCUAAGAAGGGGCGUCCUAAGAUAAGGGGAAUAUUUUCAUCUUCCUCUAUGUCUAGUACUAGAAAAUCGGCCGGGAGUAUAAACUUAUCUACCUUGACCAACACAUCCUCCACUAUACCUAAAGGGUGAGUAAAAGAUCUAUCGGCUAGCUGCAAGGUCACGGAAGUAGGCUUAAUUUCUCCUAAAUUCAGUUUCUCAUAAAUUGAUAAAGGCAUUAAAUUUACGCUCGCCCCUUGAUCACACAACGCCCGCCCAAAAUACCUAGUACCUAUUGUGCAUGGAAUGGUACAACUGCCCGGAUCUCUAAGCUUCGGUGGAAUUUUAUUUGCAAGGAUAGCACUACUUUGCUCAUUGAGGUCUAUGAUUGCUGCACACUCCGGAAUCCUAAUCUUUUUCGAUACAAGUUCCUUUAUAAACUUAACCCAAUUCGGCAUAUGCUUAAGUGCCUCAACAAAAGGAAUAUUAACAUGCAAUUUUUUAAGAUAAUCCAAAAAUGACUGAAAUUGCAUAUCAAGCUUAGAGUUUUGAAAACGUUGAGGGAAAGGUACCUUGGCAGUAGGUUCACUUACUGUGAUCUUUGUGUUGCUUGGCCCGACCUCGGUUUUUUCCUUGGGCUCCUCUACAAUAGGCGGUGGUGCAACGGACUUUUUAGGAACUUCCUCUAAUUGCCUCCCAUUUCGCAAACUCACUGCAUUGCACUGCUCGAUGUUGCUCUUUCGAGGAUCUUCCGUAUUCGACGGCAGUGCUCCCAACGGCCUCGCGUUUAGUUGGGUUGCAAGUUGCCCCAUUUGUGUCUCAAGGUUCCGAAUGGAUGCUUGAGUCGCCGUCAUGAAUUGUGCUAAGAUGUCAGCGAGGUCAACUCCUUGCGGUGGAGCUUGAGGUGGUGCUUGCCUUUGUCCUUGCUGAUUUCCUCCCCAUCCAAAGUUGGGGUGAUCUUUCCAUCCCGGAUUAUAGGUGUUGGAGUACGGGUUCCUCUGUUGUCGAUUAGUGUCAUGCACAUAAUUUAGAGACUCCGUUUCUUCUACCCACUGGUUGGGAACUUGGACUGCAUGGACUUGUUGAGUUUGCAAUGCUGCUACUUGCUUCGAUAGUUCUCCAAUUGGGCCGUGAUUGUAGUGACUCCGUCUAGAUCCAAAAUUCCUCCCGUCUUGACUGCUCCGCUAUUCGACCAGUCCGAUGCCCGCAUGUAUUUGUUUCGAGCGAUUCGCUCCAAGAGUUCGUAUGCUUCGUCAUAGGUCAAACUCAUGAACAUACAUCCAGCUGCAGAGUCGAGCACUGUCCUCGAGUUGUCUUGCAGUCCAUCGUAAAAUAUUUGCAGUUGGCGCCACUCUUGUAGUCCGUGAUUCGGGCACCUCCUUACUAACUGUUUGAACCGCUCCCACGUCUCGAAUAAUGCUUCACCGGCUUCUUGUAUGAAGUUUUGAAUUUCUCGCCGGAUUCGCUCAGUUUUUGUUGGGGAGUUGUAUGUGUUCAUGAAAAGUUGAGCUAGCUGGGCCCACGACGAGAUGGAGUGCAGUGCACGAGUUUGCAACCAUUCUCGGGCUGCUCCUUGUAGGGAGUGCUUGAACAGGCGGAGUUGCAGUGCUUCGGGUGCUACUCCGUUCAUCUUGUGCGAGUCACACGUUUCGAGGAAGUUGACCAAGUGGAGGUGUGGAUCUUCAUGAGCCAAUCCGCUGAAUAGACCAUUGUUUUGGAGCAUCGUGAGAAGUCCCGCUCGAAUCUCGAAAUUGUUGGCUUCAAUGGGGGGCUGCUGGAUACUUGAUUGAAACCCAUUAAGCGUUGGAAUGGUGUACUCCUGCAGUGCUCGUUGACGAGGUGGUGGAUUAAUUAGCUGGCGUUGUUCUUGCUCAACGACGACUUCCCCUGCCGCAUUCGGUAGGCGCCCUUGGUCACCUCCCCCACGAUUAUUUUCUUCUUCCAUUGUUGCGGGAGUGUUUUGAGCUAACCGUUGAUUUCUCAUGGCUUGCCUAAACGUUCGCUCAAUUUCGGGGUCGAGAGGUAGCAAGCUCGUGUCGUUUCCUCUUCGCAUAAAAAGUACCUAGAACAAAAUAAUAAAAUAAUUAAAUAAAAUAAAAAAAAUUUGGCUGAAGUAAGAAAAACUUGUUGGGUGCUAAAUACCAACACGCAAGUGCACGUAUAGCAAACAAGUAGUAAAGUGGACUCGCGAGAGUCGGAUGUCGAUCCCACAGGGAAUACUCAAAUUAUUUAAUCCUAAGUACCAAAUCCUAACAAUUAUGAUUUUUAUCCAGCCUACGCAGGGUUGUCAAAUUAAUUAACUAAAUAAAUUAAACUAAUUAAGAAAGCAAUUAAACACGAGAAAAUAUCAAUAUAAAACGGAUCUAGGAUUUUAUCUUCCCCCUAUGCAAGAAUUGCUCACCCAAAACCCCUCAAUUAUGAAAUAUAUGAUUCAUGAUUAUUAACCCGAGACACUAAUUUACUCAUAACCCGCUGUCGCGUGUAUUAUGAGUCUAUUAUUCAUAAACGGUUCACUAUAUGUCUAUGCAAACAACUUACGAAUAAAGAAUUAACUAACAAGUCUCGUAAACGGCUACCUAAGGUGAUAUCUGUAUGUCUACGACACCACAUGCAAUUGACACACUCAUCCGGUGAAAACUACUCGAAGGCUCUUAUACUUACCGUCUAAUUAUCAAAAUAGCUCUGUCGAGUCAAUCCCAAUAAUCACAGAUAAAGCACAUAAAUUGAUCAAGUUCAUGCACUAACAAUCAUAACAAGUAUAAGAAAUAAUCAUAAAAUCAUAAUUGCAUAAUCUCGAGAAAACGGGUUCACAAUCCCCACAUAGGGUUCCAACAAAAUUCUAGAUUAAAAACUUAGCUACUCAUAACGAAAAAUAUGAUAAAAGUAAUAAAAGUCAUAGAUUAAGAAAAGAUAGGUGAAAGAAGAAUUAUGAUGAAGAGUUGUCAAUUCUCCGUCUUCGAUUCUUCGUUCUCUCGCUCCUCUCGCUCCAAGGUUGUGUCAAAAGUCUCCUUUGAUUCGUGCUUGGUUUGGGCUUAAAUAGAUGUCCCAACUUGGUAGAUGAUUCUAGGUUUCCUUGUGUGUUUAAAAGUCCAAAAUUGCUUCCAGCGUGAUUUGGCACAGCCGCGCGAAAAUCAGUGCAAUUCUCGCACGGCCGCGCGAGAAUCGCCGAACCUUCUGCCCAAAUUCAGCAUUUGGCACGGCCGUGCCAAAAAUAGGCUGAUUUUGGCACGGCCGUGCGGGCCUGUUUUCAGCCAAUUUCAGCAUAUUUUUGAUUAUUUCACUUUUGGCCCAUAUUUUCUCCAAAUUUGCAGUUUUGACCCCAAACUUUUCCAAUUCUUCAAUUUAUACGUAAAAUACAAUAAAUCAACUUUUUAAGCACCAAUUAUCGUUAAAUCACACCAAAAGCUCAAAUAAAAAGAUUCGAUAAAGUGUAAAAAUAUACACUUAACACACCCCCAAACUUGAUCUUUUGUUUGUCCUCAAGCAAAAACUAACAACUUUCACAGCAACACUCUCAACAAAUGCCUCUCAUCACAUAGAUUAAUGGUCAAUUUCAUGUUUUCAGAACUUGCAAUUAUCAUGAAAAUUCUCAAAAAUUUACAAGCUCGUCAUUGCUAAAAACCACAAACCAUGCUAUCGCUUCAAGUAUCCCAUAUUUGUACAUUAAAAUUUGAGAAAAUUUAUACUUACAUAUUAAUAUUCAACUCCAAAUACUCACCAAAUAUCUUUACUCGGCUAGUAUCAAAUAAUUGAGCUAUUCGGAUCAUUGGGACUUUUUGGCUUUCAAAUGUUGGGCUUUUUGGUUCGAGGUAGGAGAUAUGGGUAGAGGUGGCUAUACUUCUUGAAUUGGGGUGAUUACGCCAAAUUUUGAAAGAUAGGCGUUUGAAACAAUGAAUUCACCUCUAAGGACUUUAAUACACUCGAUUCUUAAGAGUUCAAAAGUCUCCACUUUUGCUCUUAAGACAAUGGAUCGAGCUUUCAAAAUAAUUCAACAACUAGUCCUUACUUCCCCUUCUAGUCUCUUCUUCUUCUUUUUCUUUCUCUUCUUUUUUUUUUCUUCUUUUUUUUUUAUUUUUUUUUAUUUUUUUAUUUUUUUAUUUUUUUUUUUGGUAGAUGAAGAAGAAGGACCUUAUAAAAUUUUCCAACCGAACUCCUCCAAAGGGUAAUUCUUCAAGAAUGUCCAUUUAUUCUACCUUAUACACAUUGGCUAAAAGAAAGAACACCGUUUCUCCAAGGCUCAAUCGAGGUUCGAAUGAUAAAAAUUUAAAGGUAGGCUUGAAAGGCUCAAACGGUUCAAAGAUGGCCCAAAUCACUUCCCAAAUUGCUCAACAAUUUAAUAUUUCACUUUGUAAAUUCAUAAGGCAGGUUCUAAAACCGAAUAGCAUAUGAUAUAACAUAAAUUAAAUCAAAUUUUAAAAACACAAAACUUUCAACCAAAGCAACGCAUAAUUCGAGAUUCCUAACAAUGACUCCUUCUUACGACACUUUGAAUCAAAAGCUCACCAAAAUUCGAUCAAAAUCAAGAUAAAGCAAGCAAUUUCAUCAUUAAACAUCAACCAUCUUUCAUCAUCAUGAUUCAUCGAAACAUUUAUCUCAAACUUUUUUUUUUUUUUUUUUUUAAAAAAACAAUAAAUAAACGAAAAAAAAAAUCCUAAGGCAUGCAAACUAAAAAAUUAAAGCACAUAAAAACAAGUAAUUUUCCACCCCAAACUUAAAAUUUACAUUGUCCUCAAUGCAAUUAGAACAAAGUUCAAGGAUAGAAUACACCUGAGUAGUCGGAAGGUCCUUCUCCGGGAUGCACUCUUUGCUGUUCGUUUAAUCCACAUUUAACGUCUAAUCCCUUAGUGUUUGACUUUCGACCUAAAAAUUAAAACAAGAUUAAAUUAUUAGUUUGCGCAUGCUAUAAUCCUAAGAAAAAUAAAAAUAAAUAAAAAUACGAAAAUCGAUAAAUGCUUGGGUUGCCUCCCGAGAAGCGCUAAGUUUUAAGUCUUCAGCCAGACUUUGCUUCUUAAAACUGUUAUGUCCAAUCCAAAGCCUUGUAGAUUGCGCAUCCAUCCAUGAGCUCUAUCACUUCAAUUGCAACCAAGGCAUGGAUAGCAUUGCAAUAUAUCAGGAUCCACCUUAGCUUGUAGUCUUUCUUGGUUGUAAUCAAUCGGGACGAAGCUAAGAUGGGAUCUUCAUCACCCGCUCCCUCAAAUCGGUACACAAAAACCUCACGUCCGCGUAUAACCUCCACUUCAAACACAUUCGUCUUCUCAUCAACCUCUAUUGAUGCCUUCAAAUCUACAUUUAGAUCAACGACAGGGUCCACAACUAGAAUAUCUUCAAUCAUUACAUCCAUCUCCUUCUUCUCUUGUUUUGAGACAUCUUCGUGGUUUAGCUCGAUUGCCUUCUCAGAUUCAUCAUGCUCAAGUGUCUUCGUAAUUUCUAUUUCUCUCAUAUCGACACUAUUUUCUGGACAUGGAAGAUUUUUCUCACCGCAGGCUUCACCCGAAUUUUCUUUGAUAUAACCAUUGCCGAUUUCGUUUGGAAUAUUUUCAAGAGAUUUAAAUUUUAAUUUGAGCGUCAUCUCUUCCAGUUGCAUCUCCAUGUGUCGAAAUGAUGCUUGAGUGGACUUCAUGAAUUCGGCAAUGAUGGAUACCAAAUCAAGUUGUUCAUCAGUGGUCUGCUGCUGCAUUGGAUAAUAAUUUUGAAAAUCAUCAAUUUGUGGCUCUCUAUGUUGAAACUCGUUCAAAUCUUGGUCUUGAAAGCUUUGCUCGUAUGUGUUGGUGUAAGUGUUCCAAUAACCUUCGUUGGUAAUUUCGACGAAAUUUGUCGCCUUUGGUGAUCCCCAACAUUGAUCGAAAAAAUGAUUUCCACCACAUGCUGAACAAAACGGAGGCAUAUCAUAGGUGUUUAGGAGGUAUUCGUCAGAUGGAAGCCAUUCAUAUCCCGUUUGAGGUGCCCGAAGAUUGUAACCAGACAUGUAACAAAAACAAAAAAAAAAAUAAAAAUUAAAGUUAAAAAUAAAAAUAAAAAUUAAAUGGCUGAAGUAAAAAAAAUUGCUCAAAUUUGAUAUUAGAAUAAAUAGAUAAUUUAGCCGUAUUCCCCGGCAACGGCGCCAAAAAACUUGUUGGGUGCUAAAUACCAACACGCAAGUGCACGUAUCGCAAACAAGUAGUAAAGUGGACUCGCGAGAGUCGGAUGUCGAUCCCACAGGGAAUACUCAAAUUAUUUAAUCCUAAGUACCAAAUCCUAACAAUAAUGAUUUUUAUCCAGCCUACGCAAGGUUGUCAAAUUAAUUAACUAAAUAAAUUAAACUAAUUAAGAAAGCAAUUAAACACGAGAAAAUAUCAAUAUAAAACGGAUCUAGGAUUUUAUCUUCCCCCUAUGCAAGAAUUGCUCACCCAAAACCCCUCAAUUAUGAAAUAUAUGAUUCAUGAUUAGUAACCCGAGACACUAAUUUACUCAUAACCCGCUGUCGCGUGUAUUAUGAGUCUAUUAUUCAUAAACGGUUCACUAUAUGUCUAUGCAAACAACUUACGAAUAAAGCAUUAACUAACAAGUCUCGUAAACGGCUACCUAAGGUGAUAUAUGCAUGUCUACGACACCACAUGCAAUUGACACACUCAUCCGGUGAAAACUACUCGAAGGCUCUUAUACUUACCGUCUAAUUAUCAAAAUAGCUUUGUCGAGUCAAUCCCAAUAAUCACAGAUAAAGCACAUAAAUUGAUCAAGUUCAUGCACUAACAAUCAUAACAAGUAUAAGAAAUAAUCAUAAAAUCGUAAUUGCAUAAUCUCGAGAAAACGGGUUCACAAUCCCCACAUAGGGUUCCAACAAAAUCCUAGAUUAAAAACUUAGCUACUCAUAACGAAAAACAUGAUAAAAGUAAUAAAAGUCAUAGAUUAAGAAAAGAUAGGUGAAAGAAGAAUUAUGAUGAAGAGUUGUCAAUUCUCCGUCUUCGAUUCUUCGUUCUCUCGCUCCUCUCGCUCCAAGGUUGUGUCAAAAGUCUCCUUUGAUUCGUGCUUGGUUUGGGCUUAAAUAGAUAUCGCAAACAAGUAGUAAAGUGGACUCGCGAGAGUCGGAUGUCGAUCCCACAUGGAAUACUCAAAUUAUUUAAUCCUAAGUACCAAAUCCUAACAAUUAUGAUUUUUAUCCAGCCUACGCAAGGUUGUCAAAUUAAUUAACUAAAUAAAUUAAACUAAUUAAGAAAGCAAUUAAACACGAGAAAAUAUCAAUAUAAAACGGAUCUAGGAUUUUAUCUUCCCCCUAUGCAAGAAUUGCUCACCCAAAACCCCUCAAUUAUGAAAUAUAUGAUUCAUGAUUAGUAACCCGAGACACUAAUUUACUCAUAACCCGCUGUCGCGUGUAUUAUGAGUCUAUUAUUCAUAAACGGUUCACUAUAUGUCUAUGCAAACAACUUACGAAUAAAGCAUUAACUAACAAGUCUCGUAAACGGCUACCUAAGGUGAUAUAUGUAUGUCUACGACACCACAUGCAAUUGACACACUCAUCCGGUGAAAACUACUCGAAGGCUCUUAUACUUACCGUCUAAUUAUCAAAAUAGCUCUGUCGAGUCAAUCCCAAUAAUCACAGAUAAAGCACAUAAAUUGAUCAAGUUCAUGCACUAACAAUCAUAACAAGUAUAAGAAAUAAUCAUAAAAUCAUAAUUGCAUAAUCUCGAGAAAACGGGUUCACAAUCCCCACAUAGGGUUCCAACAAAAUCCUAGAUUAAAAACUUAGCUACUCAUAACGAAAAACAUGAUAAAAGUAAUAAAAGUCAUAGAUUAAGAAAAGAUAGGUGAAAGAAGAAUUAUGAUGAAGAGUUUUCAAUUCUCCGUCUUCGAUUUUUCGUUCUCUCGCUCCUCUCGCUCCAAGGUUGUGUCAAAAGUCUCCUUUGAUUCGUGCUUGGUUUGGGCUUAAAUAGAUGUCCCAACUUGGUAGAUGAUUCUAGGUUUCCUUGUGUGUUUAAAGGUCCAAAAUUGCCUCCAGCGUGAUUUGGCACGGCCGCGCGAAAAUCAGUGCAAUUCUCGCACGGCCGCGCGAGAAUCGCCGAACCUUCUGCCCAAAUUCAGCAUUUGGCACGGCCGUGCCAAAAAUAGGCUGAUUUUGGCACGGCCGUGCGGGCCUGUUUUCAGCCAAUUUCAGCAUAUUUUUGAUUAUUUCACUUUUGGCCCAUAUUUUCUCGAAAUUUGCAGUUUUGACCCCAAACUUUUCCAAUUCUUCAAUUUAUACCUAAAAUACAAUAAAUCAACUUUUUAAGCACCAAUUAUCGUUAAAUCACACCAAAAGCUCAAAUAAAAAGAUUCGAUAAAGUGUAAAAAUAUACACUUAACAAUAGCACACACUUAUUUUAUGUAUGUACAUUGAUUAUUCAGCCUUAGGACAUUUUAAGAAUACUAAGAUUAUUUAUCAUUGAAGUUUUACUCAUUUUCAUCUGUUAUGAUUGUUUCUAUUUGAUUUUGAAGUGUGAUUGUUAAACAUGUGUGGAUCUAUACAUGUAUAUAUAAAUAUGUGUAAAACAUGUAUGGCAUGAAUAAUAUGAUAUAUACAUGUAUACAUGAAUAAUAUGAUAUAACUCGUUAAAGUUCAACAAACAUAGCAUAGAACAAAUAUAGUAUUAAUAGUUUGAUUUUGUUCAAACUAAACACUUACAGUUACUAACUUAUGGAAUUGUAGCAGACAUGCAAUCUAAUUUUUAAUUAAAUAAAAUAACUUUCAUAAAUUAUAUAAAAUAUAUAAGAAUUCAUUAAACUUUAAAAUAAUAAUAAAUAAAAUUAAACUAAAAAAUAUAGACUUUCUAAAUCAUAUCAAUGUAAGAACAUUUAAUAAAUAAUAAGAUGAUUUUGUGAAGACCUUUUUUCAGAAAGAUAGUAACAUCAUGGUCAAGUGUAUUUGCUUAAGAGAUACUUUGAUAUUAGUAAAUAAAAUUAUAUUUACCUUUGCAAUUAGUAUUCUUAAUCUUCUACUUUAAUAAAGUUCCUGCAAAACUCCAAACAAUUAGAAAUUACAUAUAUCCAUGCUUAAUAAAAAAAAAUUACAUCAAAACAGCAAAUAAAUUCCCAUCAAUAUAUCCAAGAGGAUUCGAUUAGAUAAAUGCGAUUAUAUAGUUGCACGGUAAACAUAGGCCUUAAGACCCUGUUCUUUCGAAUCCUAUAGCGAGGUUUUGGGGCUGUUAACAAACUCCUCAAAUAAACACUUUGAUAUUUAUGGACAAAAGCAAGAAGAAUAGCAGGAGUUUUGGAUUGAUGGUCUUCCAACGCAGCUAUUAUUGAAUAUUAAUUAUUAAAUAUUACUCCAUUAAUUAGCAUUACGUACAAUGUAACACACACAUUGAUGUUCAAUGAAUUAAAAAUGAUAAAAUUAAGAAUUAAUUAAUAUUACUUUGUUGUCCCUCUAAUCAUACCUAUUAAAAGGAUAUUUUUGUCCAAACAAAAAAGGGAAGAAACCACUAACUACAUUCAUCCUUUUAUAAGUAGUAUAUAUAUAUAAUAUAUAUAGAUGAAAUCAAAAUAUAAUUUUAAUUUGAAAUAUAAUUAGUCAACUUUUGAAAUUUCAUUCUACAAAAGUCGAUAUUUCAUCUUUGUUCUUCUAAUAUACAUAUAAAAUAGGUUCGUCGUUUAUUGUAUACUAGUACUACACCCGUGGAAUGCAUGGGAUAGCAUUUUCAAAAGUGAAAAAGAAAAAUAUUUAAAUACGUCAUGAAUAAAAAUAGUAAUAAAACAAGAAAAUUUAUUAGUAAAAUUAAAUUGACAAAGGGUUAUAUGAACUUAAAUCGUCAUAAUAUGAAUUCAUCGUUAAAGAAAUGAAGUAUAUUGAACAAAACAAAAAUUAAUAAAUGUGUCAUACAUGUAUUCUUCAACUCCAGCAAUUGAUCACACCAUUAUUUAGUUCUUUAACAAAACCAAUUAAAAAUACGUAUAUAAAUACUCAAAAAUACGUUUCAUUUAAAUACAUUUUGUAGUAACAUAAAACUACUUAUAUACGAACAUCCGUAAACCAAUGUUUAUAGUUGUAUAACUGUAGUCGUAAUCAUAAGAUACAACAAUUAUAAACUACCAUUGUCGUGAUCGUACUAAAAACGUUUUCAGUAAUCGUAAGAAAAAUUAUACUAUUAUGUCCUUCCAUUUGUAAGAGUUUACAAAUUCGAGCACUGAUGCUUCGCCUCUGGAGUCGCUUAUCGAAGUCGAAAUUUGAAAACUUAUUGCCUCUUACUCCUUUCUUUUGGCAAAUGCAUCCGGAAUAAAAUCAAGAUUGACAUCUGGGGAAGCCCUGAUAAAGUUUUAAACGGUUGAGUUAGGCUUUUAAGUUUAUCGGGAUUCUAAGUCAUAAUAAGAUUUACUGUACGACUUGAAUCAUACUAAAUAGAAACAAAAAUAUUCUAAUGCAGUUACUUGCUCAACCUUAAAGAAUACUGAAAUAACAAAUUAUACGAUCAAAUUACUAACUGCAUAUUAUAGCUUUUCAAAUGUCAAACAUUUGAAUAAACAUGAAUUAAAAUCAAGCCCAUUUUUGUGAACAUCUUAAUUGAUUCCCAAAAUUUGGUUCUAAUGUAUAUCAUACAACCAAAAAUACUUAUAUAACUUUGAACUGUGCACUGGGAUUCGAAGUUGUAAUUAGCUUUAUUGAAAAUAUGGAAAUAAAAUUUCAAAAGUAUCUAAAAAAAGAGAUACCAAAACUAUAAGGGACUUUAAGAUAUAGGUCCCUAGUGACAAAACUUAUUAGAACUAAAUGACAAGUCUAACUAAACAUUUGCUUCACAUCCUUUAUAAAUUUCAUUCCAAAAAUGCCCCACGUACAAAAAAUAAAAUAUGCACCAAGUAAUAUUUAAACUGCAUUUAUAAUUUUUUUCAUUCGGCAUUUAACAUUUUUAUUUUCGUAUCUAGCAUUUUUGUUAUUAUUUUUUUUUCGUAGAACAAUUUUUUUUUCUUUUUGCAUUUUCGUAUUUUUUCCUUUUUUCUACAUAAUAUUGAAAGUUGUGAUUUUUUUUAUUUUUUUUUCAGUCGUAGUCUUCUAUAUAAACCCGUAGGAAACCGUAGUAGUCCGUAGUCAUGUAUAGACACUCGUAGGAACUGUAGUAAUCCAUAGUCACGUAUUCUUAAAACCAUAAUUCCUCCUUUGAACCCUAGCCGUCAGACACCAUAGACACCCAUACAUACUCAUAGACAUCUAUAGACAUUAAAUCGAAAAAUCUUAGAUCUGCCCCACCAAACUGUAGAUCUCCUCCACCAAAACUUAGAUCUGUGACGCCAACAUCACCACGCCGCUAAAGAUGCCACGAAACCCCGGCCCACCCACGCUGCCAUUACCCCCCACAACGUCGAGCACCACCAACACCAUCCCCCAGCCCCUGAGCGCCGCCCUCCGCCGCCGCCCUCAUGACCAACGUAACGCCGCUCACCGCCGUCGUCGCCGCCACCAUCACCAUCCCUCCCCCCAUGCCACCGCCUCCAACACCAUGCCGAUUCUAUCAUCACAGCCACCAUCCCCUCUCAAAUCAUGGGAUGGAGUGUGGCGAGAGAGAUAUCUUGAGAUUGAGAGAAAUAAAUCGAGAGAGCGAGACAGAAAGAACGAGAGGGAGAGAAGAAGAAUAAAGAGGAAAAAUAGAUCUGAGAAGAAACAUGAAUAUGUGGGUUAUAAGAUUUAGGGUGUAAGGGCAAGAUAGGGAUUAAAAAAUAAUUAAGGAUGUGGGUCAUAUAUUAUUUCAAUCUAAGGAUUUAAUUAAAAAAUUGGAUUUAGACUUGUCAUUUAGUUCAAAUUAGGUUUCGUAUGAGGGACUCCUAGCAUAUUACCCCAAACUAUAAUCAUUUUGUUCUCUCACUCACAUUUAAACUAAUGUAUUCUCUUCAAAACAAUUAAUAGUAUAUAAUCAUAUUACUUACCCUCUUACAUAAACUUCAAACAACAGAAAGAAAAUGCGUAAUCAAAAUGACUUUAGUUUUCCAAAACAAAUAAAAGAGAUAUUAAAAUAAAAUCCAUCAGUCAAUGUGGAACAAAUUCAGAAUAGACAUGUAAUUUCUAAUUUCUUAAUUUGCAAUCAAGAUGUAGUGCAUCGAAAAAAUUGAGUUGGUUAUUGGCAUUUGUAUGUAAAUCACGGAUAACCAACAUACCCGUGUUUGCAAAGUAUGCACGUCUGUAUAAACCAACAUUUCUCCCAAAUCUGAUAUAAUUGACUUGAACUAUCGGGCCACCGUAACCUCUUUCAUCACCAUAGAAAUUGCAAGCUUAAAAACAUAAUUUCAAUCCAUCAACCAAACAAUUUUAAUAUUAUAACACAACUAAAGAUAGAUUAAAAUGCAGAAAAUAGUACUUACAUUUUUAGGCAGCAGAGUAUCAGUAGUAUCAGCCCGUGCCUUUUUUGAUCAUGCCACAUCACCUAUCUACAUCAUAUGCUUUUCCACAGCCUUUCAACACGUUGUUAUAGCCCUUUUUUUGUUAAAUCAGCAAUAAAUAAAAUUGAAUAUUGUAACUGAAAGUCUUUAUUACUAAUAUUCUACUCCCAACCAACUCAAGUACAUAAGACAUGUCGCUUCAAAUAAGUCAAAAAAAUAUGUUAUCGAUAGAACAACACCAGAUGUUACUUCUUUGAUAUAUAAGAUUUACUCGUAUAGCCACAUUUUUUAUUACUUACCAAUUGUACAGGGUACAAAUUUUUUUUUUUCUCUAAAAAAAAGACCCCGUCUAUAAAGCCAUCGAGCAAUAACUCUUAUAAACUUUAAACAAUAACUCAAACUAAAUAUGAUCAAAAUUGAAAAAAAGUGAAUCGUUAUUACAAAUAAGGAAUUACGUAAGUUGACAAUACCAUCAAAGAGAUUCCCAUUAGACUAAGUCACAGACAUAAGAUUGGCAAGUUUCUCAAAAGUAAAUUUGCAAACCAAUAAAAAGAGAGGGGUUCACUUACAUUAUACAACUCCAUAUCUUGAAAGGAUGAUAGGGACUCAUGGAAAGGGGGGAAAAGAUUUAUCAUUGAGCGUUAUGGUAAUUACAGAAAUUCGGCAAACAUAGGGAAUCACAGACGCCCCUUGAGCUUCACUUUUAUUUUACACUCCCUUAUCAGUAGGUGAAAUUUAAAAAAAGAUAAUUAAAAUUGAAUAUUUUGUAACCCGUAAAACGUAAUUUGCCUACUGGAUUCUGAAAAUAAAAGUAUCAAAAUAUUGCCCAUCUACAAAGCAAAAUUAUGACAUCUAAAGAUUGUGAAACAUUAGCCAUGUACAUAAUCCAUGAUCAAUCAAUUUGUACAUGCUCUUGGUCCACGCCCGCAGCCCUUGAGCGAAUCCCGAUUCCCGUUUUUGGAGAAGACCUUAUUUGCUGAGAUGGAGACUAAAAUAGGGUUCAACAUACUUUGAUCAAGAAAUAAAAUUCCAUCAAAAAUAUGUAAAUGGUAGCAAUCACAAUCGUAAAAAAACUAUUUGAAGAUUAAAACUAACAAACUAGAGCACUAUGAAGAAUCAAUAUCUGAAAUUGUUUUGGCAUAAAUUGGAACACAAUAUGCAGGGCAAAUAAACUGAAUUUGAAGUAAAUAACUGAUAAUACCAUAGGUUAUUUAGAGGGAUGCAUCUUUAAUAUAUGUAAGAUUGAAAACUUAACAAGCACAAGUUUUCGAAAUGAAAAGAGAAAAUUCUUUGGGAAGUUUAACAAAUAUAUCUUUAGCUUUUUCAUGCAAGCAUUGGAUUAUUAUCAUGUUUUCCACCAACAUUUCAAGCUCCUUCGUGAACACAUCCAUUGCAUUUUCGGGUAAACAAAUGGAAACAACUAUUCCAUUAUCACCCUUGUUAUUUUUGUAGGGCAUGUAAACACUCAAUAGCUCAGGAACGAAACCAAUGUUUUCUUUGGCCACGCCUCCAUAAACGGCCUUUCCCCAACCGAAAUCCACAUCCUCGAAGCCCAAAUGCCUUGCAUUAGAUACAACAUAACCCCCAACAAACGAAAAACGGGACAGACGUUCGAUUAUCAUUGGAUCCGCCAUUGCCUCGAGUUUCGCCUUCCUCAAGAGCUCCAAUGCAUAGUGAUACGGGUUUUUCGAUAAGCAUUCACUCGUGGUUCUGGCUUUGGGGUCAAUGCAAUAGUUGUCGUAGUCCCCGACGGCAGAACAAUCCAUGUGGGGCCCACCCUGAGCUUAUGCUGCACAAGCAAUGGCUUUGGGCCCCACUUUCUAAGGGGCCCCUAAAUUAAAAUAUAUAUAUAUAUAUAUAUAUAUAUAUAUAUAUAUAUAUAUAUAUAUAUAUAUAUAUAUAUAUAUAUAUAUAUCCUCCUAUAGAUCAAAAAUAGUGAUAUGUCCAUAUCAUAAUUUUUCCUUUGUGAAAACCCCCUUGAAUAUAUUUAUUUCCAUUCUUACCCUCUAGUAGUUAUGACGUUUUGUUUUUAAUAAUUAUCCAGUAUUUUCAAAAUCUCUAUUAAUGAGACACCCAAUCCCACUAAUUAGGCUUAAUUAUAUACUUUCCCUAAUAAAACUGCUCUUAAUUACCAAUAAGCCCAUGGUUCAACCCAAAAUCUUUUUUACAAAAUUAUGGAUAAGGUCCAGAGAUUGUAAAUUACUAAAAGACCUCUCAAAUUUAAUAUACUCCGGUCUAAUUUCAUAUAUUUAACCCCAAUUUCAUAAAUUAUUGAAUUUUGACCCUACUCAAUUUUGACACUAACUUAACUGACGCCGACAUUGAUGUCAAUCAGACAAUCGUUGACCGGUGGUCAACACUAGUUGGUCUCCGUGUUGACUUUUCUUCAUGGGGUUUUUUUUUUCCGCCGCCCCUUACCACCGAUCAACGCCGGUCUUGUUGUUUUUUUUUCAUCAACUUUUUUUUUUCAAAACCUUUCUUUUUACCCGAUAAAACAAUAAUAUUAUUGUGGUUGACAGUAAUAUAACUUAUUGUUUAACACAAGAAUAAUAUUGCUAUAUUAUCUAGCACAUUAAUAUUUAAUAACUAUGUUAUAUAAUAAAUUAUUGUGUAAUACAGUAAUAUUAUAAUAUAAUGUUGAGCGGUCAACAAAUUCAAACAGAAUAAAAGACCAAAAAAAUUAUUAUUGUUAUGGUUGGCAGUAAUAUUGACUAUAAUAUUAAUGUCAAGCAUAGUAAUAUUAGAGAGUUUGAAAGUAAUAUUACUGUCAACCACAGUAAUAUUAUUAUGUUAAUCGGCCAACAAAACAAAUAAAAUUAAAAAAUCCAAAAAAGGGUAAUAUUAAUGUGGUUGACAAUAAUAUUAUUGCGUUGGCGGUAAUUUUAAAGGAUUAGGGGUAAUUUCGUCAUAAAUAUUAAAAUUAUCUUUGUUUAGAGCAACCCCAAUGGAGUUAUAAAAUGGGGUAUCAACACUCUUAAACACCAUUCAUACACAAAAAAUAGAAAAUUUUAAAUUCAAUGGAGUUGUCAAAUGAGGGUUUUAUUUUGAUAAUUCACCUUUUGGGAUGUAAACUACAUCGUGCAAACAUAAUUAUAAAAUGUGAGUUAUGAAGUUAACCACCUCAAUGUCCAUAUAGAAAAUGGCAUGUGACAAUUAGAUAUACAAAUCAAUUUAAUUAUUUUUGAUUAACAACCAUAUGAUACCUAUGGUUGGAGCAAAUACAUUUAAAUAAAUAAAAUAUAAAAUAUUGAAUAAAUAUUUGCUAACUCAUUUUGGUAUUUUUUUCAGGGGUUAUUUUACAUACUCCUACCCAAUGUUAUUAGAACCGGACCGGACAUAAAACCGGAUGGACAUAUGGGUCACAGUUGGACCGGUUCAACCGGGUUCGACCCUGGUUUUUUAAUUUAAUUUAAUAUAUAUAUAUAUAUAUAUAUACAUACAAACAAACAUUUACCUCAUUAAACAACAUAUCAAAUACUCUAAUUUAAUCAAGAAACCAUCCGUAACAAUAAUGUAGUCAAAACCAUCCUCAUCACAUUUUUAAAAUAUAAAAUAUAAAAAUCAGUUAAUUUACUUUAAAAAAUAACAAAGUCACAGACAUUCAAGUAUGUUUAUCAAACACAAAUUUUAAAUAUAAUAUAAUAUCACCUCUUAAUAAUAACUGUAUUACUUUCAAUUUCAUGAAAACAAUUGUGGAACUUGAUUUUAUUUUGAAUUUGGUAUUAAUUUUAUGUUGGUAAACAUCCAACUUGCACGAGUAUUGAAAUAAAAAUCAUAAUUCCUUACAAACAAAAGUCAAAAACAAGAGAAAUCAUACACCUUUAACCUUUACGUCAAUCAAUCCUUUGAUUUUGUGAAUGGCAAAUUGCAGUGGCGGCGUAAUCAAUCAAUUCCAGUGUCUGGUUUUGUUUGCAGCCAAUGAAACGACUACGUUUAGAGGAAAAGAAACAAAAAAAAAAGAAAAAAAACGCGUUUUGGAGCAAAACUGGGGUCAGUGUCCGGUUCGCCGGGUCCCGGGUUUUCCCCAGUUCGACCGGGUUCCUGUCAUUUGAACCCGGUUUUUGAUUUCUCCGGUUUUGAUAGUCAAACCGGACCGGUUUUAAGGUGGGUCGCGUCGAAUCGGUCAGACCGGCCGGUCCGGUCCGGUUUUGACAACAUUGCUCCUACCCACCAAAUAAACUAGGGAUAAACUCAAGCUCAAAUCAUCAUUUUAUUACAUACCCCGCUGAGAAGCGAAAGUACUAUAUUACCCUUAUAUGCAAUUUUCGGCCAAACUGCAUUCAACAUUUCUGGUCCUGCAUUUAUCAUUUUCGCUGAUUUAUUUAUUUAUUAUUAUUAUUAUUAUUAUUAUUAAUUUUUUUAAUAAACCUGUUUGUUAUAUGGGAUUAUUUUGUAGACCCCCCUUAUUCCCAAAUUAUAUAGAACUAACUACCAAGUGGAUUACACUCUAAGGAAACCCCCCCUAAUUUCGAAAAUAUUUUGACAUACCCCCCUGGGCCCAUCUGAAGUACCUAUAAUACCCUUUUAAAAUUAGUUUUAAACCCUAGACACUCACAUUUCGGUCUCUCUUCUUCUCCCAGAUUCAAAAUCCCGCCUCCACAAACCUCCCACCGGCGAAAUUGCUUCCCGGAGCCAUAACUCUCUCUCCGGUGGUCGGAAUUCAAUGGUUUAACUAUCGUUGGAAUCCUCUCGUCGAGGUCUUUCUUUUGGUGGUGAUUUCAUUCAGUUUGGAGAGCAGAUCUGAUUCUGCAAUUUUUUUUCAUUCGACGACGGUGGUCUUGCCGGAGGUGUUCUUUGUGUUCCACCAGUCGAAAUUCGACGGGCUACCCACCGUUGGAUUCCUCUCGUCGAGAUCUAUGUUUUGAUGGUAAUUUUGUUUAUUUUUAUGUUUACAGAUUUAUUUCUAUAAUUUUUUGCAUUUGUGGGUGCGCGAAACUGUGGGUGGUUAGUAGCGGCGCCUAGGGUUUUGGUAGGAGGCGAGGGGGGUGAGGAUUCACUGUAUGUUUGAUUUAAAAUUUGUAGCAUUUCCCAGCAAUAACCUCUCUCUCUCUAUCUCUCGAUCUUUUAGUAUUUGUUGAUUUUUGGAGUGUUUUGAUGUUUCAUCAAAUUUUGUUGAUUUACAACUAAGUAAUUUUUUUUUCUUUUGAUUUUGCAAUUGCAGCUUAUGAAAGCCAUUGAUCCUCUCCUUGAAGGUGUCACAAAUUUGGUCGAAGUCACUUGUGAAGCAGUGUUUGAAAAACUGUAUACAUUACUAUACAUUACUAUCCAUAUAUAGUAACAUGUAGUUAUAUAUGCAUAUAUUUGUGUAUUUUCAAUUUUUUAUCUUUUUUGGUUCUGAGGUGAUUUAUAAUAAAAAUAUUGACAUUUGUAAAUUUUUUCUGGGGUUUAUGAAUUUCUUUUGUAUAAGCCAGUAUUCGUGUGUGUAUACAAUUGAUCGACUAAAAAUAUGGGGAAAAAAACGAACAUAACUACGAAUUACUAUAGGUACCAUAGUUACAUGUAGUUAUUUUCAGUACUGCGGACGUAUUGUUUUGAAAAUUAAAAAAAUUAAAAAAAAUUAAAAAAUUAAAAAAAAAUAUAUUUUUUUUAAUUUAAAAAAAAGUUAAAAAAUAAAAAAAAAUAAAUAUAUAUAAAUUUAACAAACAGGUUUACUAUUAUUUAUAAAAAAAAAUAAUAAUAAUAAAUAAAUCAGCGAAAAUGAGAAAUAAGUACCAGAAAUGCUGAAUGCAGUUUGGCCGAAAAUUGCAUAUAAGGGUAGUAUAGUACUUUCCCUUCUUCAGGGGGGUAUAUCAAAGGAUGAUUUGGGUUUGGGUUUAUUUCUAAUUUAUUUGGUGGCUAGGGGGUAUGUAAAAUAACCCCUUGUUAUAUAUAUAUAUAUAUAUAUAUAUAUAUAUAUAUAUAUAUAUAUAUAUAUAUAUAUAUAUAUAUAUAUAUAUAUAUAUAUAUAUAUAUAUAUAUAUAUAUAUAUAUAUAUAUAUAUAUAUAUAUAUAUAUAUAUAUAUAUAUAUAUAUAUAUAUAUAUAUAUAUAUAUAUAUAUAUAUAUAUAUAUAUAUAUAUAUAUAUAUAUAUAUAUAUAUAUAUAUAUAUAUAUAUAUAUAUAUAUAUAUAUAUAUAUAUAUAUAUAUAUAUAUAUAUAUAUAUAUAUAUAAAUUUAAUUUUUUUAAUUUUUUAAUUUUUUAAAAUAAACAGGUUUGACUGAAAAUUGCGUAUAAGGGCAGUCUAGUCUGUUUUUCUCGCAGCCGGAUUACGACGUUGACUUUAUUUAUUUAUUUAUUUUUGUUUUUUUCGCGGCCGGAUUCUGGCAUUGACUUUUUCUAGUGGGUAUUUUUUUACGCCCACCGCUAAACGUUGACCGUAAUUGUGCUGUCAGUAACGGUAAUUAUACUGUCACUGACAAUAAAUUAACGUAAUUAUAUUGUCACUGAUGUGGUUGACAGUAAUAUUAUUGUAUUUACAGUUAUUUUACUAUCAACGACAGUAAUAUAAUUACAUUGACUUGUCAACAAAUCAAACAAAUUUAUCAAAAUAUAACAAAAAGAAAAACGGCAGUACAAUUACAUAAAUGUAUUGUCAACGGCAGUACAAUUACGUUAAUGUAUUGUCGGUGACAGUAUAGUUACGUUAAUUUACUAUCAGUGACAGUAUAAUUACCUUUAAUGACAGAACAAUUACGGUCAACGUUAAGUGGCUGGCGUAAAAAAAAAAAAUUUGAAAAGUCAACUCCGGAAUCCGGCGGCAAAAAAAUAUUUAAAAAAAAAAGUUUUCGAAAAAAGAGAAGUCAAUAGUACAUAAUAAUAAUGACUUUUGUUGUGUUAAUAUUACUGUGUUAAACUGUAGUAUAAUUAAUGAUAUUACUGUGUUUAACAGUAAUAUAGUUAAUAUUAUUUUCAACCACAACAAUCUUGUUGUUUAAACGGGGGGCAAAAGGAUGUUAAAGAAAUUAAAAAAAAAAUCGAAAAAGUCAACGUCGGAGACCAGCGUUGAUCGGACGGUCAACGCUGGAAACUGGUUGCGAAAAAAUCAGGAAGAAAAAAAAAAUAAUUCGAAAAAUUUGAAGCUGAAAACUGGAGGAAAAAUUAGGAAGGAAAAAAAAAUCAACGCCGGAGACCAGCGGUUAACGGCGGUGGCGGACGAAAUUGUCCAUAAAAAUGUGUUUUGGGUCAAAAUUAAAUAACCUGUGAAAUUUGUGGUCAAAUUAAGGUUAGAUUAAAUUAAAUGAUGAAAUUGGAGCAUAUUAAAGUACGAGGGGCUAUUCUAGUCUUUUACAAACCUCUGGAACAUGUGUGUAUUUUUUUGUAAAUAAGUUUAUUGUCUGAACAUCUUUAUGAAUAAAUGCACAUUGAUGGACUUAUUUAUAAAGUGCCUUUAAAAAAAAAAUCCGGCAGUGGGUUGUCGGAGCUCCGGUUAGCUGACUGGUCGUUAGUUAACUUCAACAUUAGUUGACAUUUCAUAUUUUUUGUGUUUUGUCUUUUUUUUCUAAUUUUUUUUCUCUAACGGCGGAUCGUCGGAGCUUCGAUUGGCUGACUCAGCAUUAGUUAAUUUUAACAUUAAUUGACAUUUGACAUUUCAUUUUUAUUUUCUUUUAUCAUUUUUUCUUUCUCUUAAUUUACUUGGAUGAUAAGCAUAUUAUUCUGAGCCCGUUCUUUUGGUGGAAUCAAACCACCCCUUUAUCUAUAGUAACUAUGGUUGGGAUGCCGGCCCCCCGUAUCCCGACUUAUCCAACCCAAGCAGUCCAUUAACCUUUCCUUUCGUAAAAAUGAAAUCUCUUUUUAUGCAAGACCAUGAGACGAAUGAGACUCUAAAACAAAAAUGACCACUUUACGACAUCACAAAUAUCAAUCAACGAGCAUUCAAACAAAAUCCAAUUAUACGCAUAUAUACACGGCAAUCACACACAAUAUCAUAUACAUAACCACUUAAGUAUAGCACAUAAUUCACAUAAUUAUUAUAGCAUCAUAUUAUAUAUUUAUAUAUCAUAAAUUACACACACAACAGCACACACACACGGCACACACAUAUACACACAACAUGCAGCCCCAAAACACACUUUAAUUAGCAUUAAAUUAUCAAACCAUGCCCUUAAAGCACCAACAUUUUUAUCUUUUCAUUAAUGGGAUUUCUCCCACUUUUAUUCAUUUAAUGAAUUAAAAAUUCUUACAGCCCCUUAACAUAGUUCAACUGGAGAUUUUUAACCAUAAAUUCACAUUCUCACAAUUAAUACUCAAGGCAUAAUGAUUAAAACACGAAAGUUCCAUUUAUGAUACAUGCACAGCCAAUAUUUCGAAAUAAUAGCAAAUGGCAUCUAAAUGUUCUCAAAUUAAAUUAUAGGCUGCCUAACUGACUAAGUGAACAGAUGCAAAAAGAAUUUUGCAGUUUCCUCAGAAAUUGGAUUUAUAAAAAAUAAAAUACUCGGCAAGUAGUGUUGAAGCCAAAAAUGAUUUUUCCAACAAAUAUUAAUCCCAAACUAUGGCCAAAUAGAAAAUAACAAAAUUCCACUUACUCCUACUGAGAUUUUAAAGGUGAAAACAUUUUUCAUGCUGAAAUUUCAAGAAAUUGCAGAUUAGUCCUAAAAAUUCAUAUACUAUCUACACAUGCAACCCCAAAAAUCUUGAAAACUCAUUUUCUUUUUCCAAAAUUCCCAAAAAUUCAAAAUAUUAAACCUUUAAACAAAAAAUGCUUAGAUUCACAGAUUAUAACAUGGAUUAGACAUGCAAGAACACAAAUACCAAGAUUAGCACAAGAUUUCAGAUUUUACACAAAAAGCCCUAAUUUUUCGAAAAGUGAGGAAAUCUUUUAAGUAGUUUUGAAAAUCCUUUUUCCUUACUAUGAUACCCUUUAAUUGGAGCAAGAUAUUCGAGAUUUCUUACCUAUCAAAGCGUGUUGGCCGAAGAAAGAAAAACCUUCAAAAGAAAAGAGGGUUUUUAGAGGAAGAAAAGGAGGAUGAAGAGAAAUGAAGAAAACGAAGAUACAAUGUUACCUCCUUCAAGAAGUGGCUCCAAGAUUGAACCAAGCUAGUUGAAUGGAGAAGGGAAGAGCUUUGAUAUCAAGUUGGGAGGAGUUGAGAUCUCCCGUAAGAGGGCAAGUGUUUUUGAUGGUGUUCUUGGCAUAUUCAAGGGUGAAACUUAUAUAGGGGAUUUGCAUUUUGAUUUCUAUAUUUUUUUUCUUGAAGAAAUUUGAGCUGGUGGCCGAUGGAGGAGGUGGUGCUUCGGUGGUGAUGGUGGAGAGAGGACAAGUGGGAGUGUAGGUGUAAAAAAAAAGAAGAAGGUAGAGUGUCUCUUCACAUUACUAAUCCACAUUGAGUGUUGGAUUAGUGUAAAUCAUCACACUUUGACAUGUGGACAAGCAUGCAUCUCUUUUCUAAUUUUAUUUCUUAAUUAAUAAAAUAUUAAUCUCUCUCAUACACACAAAACCGAACACACACAUAUACACAUAUACAUGUACCUAUAUUACCUAUAGUCUAGAGUAGGUUAUAGCAUAGGCAUAUAUGUAUGCAUACAUGUACGUAUAUAUGCAUGUUUUAUGUAUGUAAUUAUGAUUAAAUCAUGAAAUCACAUAAUUAAAUUAAUUAUACACAUAAGUCACAUAAUUUAAUCUAGCACACAAUUAUCAAUAAUUAAUCCAUUUAAGCACAUAAUUAUCGAAAUAAAGUUGGCACAUAAUUAUUCAACAAAUUCCUAGCACAUAAGGCAUAUAAUCAAAUCGGCAUAUAAGGAUUAUUAGUCUAAGCAAAUAAGGCACUUAAAGCAAUUAAGUUGAUAAGGUAAAUAAAUUCCUAAUAAUUCCUACGUGAGAAUUUUCGGUUAUGGAAUUUUGGUUAGGGAUUAGGGUUUCGAAAAUGUGGGGUGUUACAAUCUUCCCCCCUUAAAAUAAUUUUGUCCCCAGAAUUGUUACCUGACCCGAAUAAUUCCAGAAAGUGUUUACGCAUUUCCUCUUGGCGUUCCCACGUGGCUUCUUCUAAAGUAUGAUUAUGCCACGAGACUUUAACUAAGCGAAUGUUUCGGUUACGUAGGAUUUUGGUUUUGUAUUCGAGGAUUUGGGAGGAUUUUUCUUCGUAGGUUAACUAACUCAACAUUAGUUAACUUUAACAUUAGUUGACAUUAGACAUUUUUUUCCCUUUAUCUCCUUUUUUUUAAUUCGGUUUCGGUGGUGGGUCGUUGGGGCUCUCAUAACGAUUUUAACUACUACGAUUUUAUUUUUAUUAUUAUUAUUAUUAUUAUUAUUAUUAUUAUUAUUAUUAUUAUUAUUAUUAUUAUUAUUAUUAUUAUUAUUAUUAUUAUUAUUAUUAUUAUUAUUAUUAUUAUUAUUAUUAUUAUUAUUAUUAUUAUUAUUAUUAUUAUUAUUAUUAUUUAAAAAAAACUAAUUUCAUUUAUUUCUUUUUUAUUUUUUUCUAGUAGUGGCCUGGAUGGUGGGAGCUCUAGUUAGCUGACUCAAUAUUAGUUAACUUCAAUUAGUUGACAACUUGACAUUCAUUUUUUUUUCUUUUAUAUCAUUUAUUUUAUUUUAAUUUAUUUUUUCCGGCGGUGGGUCAUUGGAGCUAUAGUUAGCUGACCCAGCAUUAGUUAACUUCAAUUAGUUGAAAUUCAUUUUUUUUUUCUCUUUUUAUUUUUUUUCCUUUUUUAAUUUUCUUUGUAGCACCCCCCUCGGGUCGGGCGAUAAAUCGAACCGGUUUAUCGGAAAACUUUAGAUAGCGGAAGCAAAAAGGGAUCUCUUUGUAAUUUUAAAACUUUCGAGUAGGACCAAAAUGUAAUUUCUAAAAAUAUCUUUUUGGGUCAUUUGAAAACCUUGGAAAACCUUAAGAAUUUCGAAAACUCCUUAGGGUUAUUUUGGUCGUUUAAAUUUCUCGUUUUAGAAAUAACUUUAAAAAGGCAUAUAAUCAAAUCGGCAUAUAAGGAUUAAUAGUCCAAGCAAAUAAGGCACUUAGAGAAAUUAAUUUAAUAAGGUAAAUAAAUUCCUAAAAAUUCCUACAUGAGAAUUUCCGGGUUAUGGAAUUUUGGUUUUUAUGGUUUUUUUUAAAAUUGUUUUUAAUUCCUUCAAUUAGAGCCAAUGACCUGAUGACACGUGGCAGUCUUUGGCUAUAAAUAGCUGGAAAAUUGAAUUAGCUGUAGCUAAGUUGAGGUUUAUAAUGAUGAAUGGCUAGGCUAUAGCAGGUUUCUUUGUAUGUUUGGCACGAACAAAAAUUAUUAAUUUAAAAAAUGUAGCAAUGGAACUCAUAUAAUUGUUCAUGAUUUGACAAAUAAAUGCCUAAUGAAAUUUUUCUUUUCCCUCAAAAAGUAAAGAAACCCAUUUCUGGAAACUCCAAUACAACUUCCAUAUUUUUCAGUCACUUUCCAAAUCUAGGUUUUGGCCUUCUUCCCUCUUUCCCCUCUUUCAUUCUUCAGAGCCGCCUCCACAGCUUAGCCAACCUUCUGUUAUUGGUGCUGUUCAGGGUAUGAUUACUGGUCUUGCUUGCAUUACUCCUGGUGCAGGUACCGUGCUACCACCCCUCUAUUUCUAUUUCUAUUUCAUUUCAUUAUUUAUUAAUUAAUUAAUCAAAAUUACAUUUACAGUAGGUGUGUAAUCUUAUUGCACAAACAUAAAGAGUUGAAUUUUUUUUUGUGUAACUCUUAUUUUCUUUAUGCUUUUUCCACAUUUUUUGAUCUCUUUGUUUCUUCAGCUUUUUUUUUGAAGAAAAUAUUUUUUUAUUUUCUUCUAAUUUUUUCACAAAAUAAAUAUUGGGUAGUCAUUUAUUGUAUUGGGCAUAAGACAUUUUAUGAUUAUUCACCAAAUUUAUUUGAUAUUGUUUACAAAAUUUCUUAACAGGUUAUUAAUAAAAAUGUCGAUGUGAGAAGGAAGAGAAAGUUGGUUUUGCCUACAGCAAAUAAGUUGAUCUGUAAGUAAUGCUCAAAAAUUAAAUACACUAUAUUAGAUGAUCAGAUUCCAUGUGUAGAAAUACACUAGUUGUAUUCAUUAUUGCAAUAUGGAGCUAGAUAUAUGUGUAUAAUAUGUAUCAUGUGUUGUCAUUACUUUUUGAGAGAGAGAGAGAGAGAGAGAGAGAGAGAGAGAGAGAUAACAGAGGACAAAAGAGAUCAUGUUUGUGUAUUUUUAUGUGUUUGUGUGUGAGUGUUUGUCACAAAAGUGUGUUUGUGUGUGUGUGUGUGUAUGUCAAAAGUAUGUAUAUGUCAAAAUGUGUGUGUGUGUGUCAAAAGUAUGUAUAUGUCAAAAUGUGUGUGUGUGUCAAAAGUUUGUGAGUGUGUGUAUGUGUGUGAAAAAUGUGUUUGAGUGUGAAAAAUGUGUGUUUGGAACCAAGUGGAUCAUGGUUGGAUCCAAACAUUAGUCUACAUAAGUUGAGUAGAAAUUAUUUUGAUUUUUGUUGCCAUCUUUGUUUGUUUACAUAGUUUUUAUUUAUUUAUUUUAAUUUCUUUUUCUUUAAAGUGAUAUAUCUGCUUUUCUUGCCUUUGUUUUUCAGUUCGCAUAUCUUCUUAACUUUUGGACUAUCCGUGCCGCCGAGCCGCCGCCGCCAUUUGUACCGAAAAUCUACGCCGCCGCCGACACUCUUUCUCCAAAUCUUGUACGCUCUGCUCGUCAUCGCCGGCAUCACUCUAGGUAUUAACUAUUACAUUUCAAUUAUCUUUGUUUGCACACAUUUUUUUUAUUUACUUUCUCUUUCUUUAAAGUGAUAUAUCUGCUUUUUACUCCCCUUUAUUUUUCUUUACAUAUUUCUUUGCAUUAUAUAUCUCAAUAUGAAUUAAUUAUUUUUAGGAAAGUUGUAAACUGAGAAUGGGCAUAUAACAUGCCGUCUAAUGUUCGUAUGCAUCUGAUAUAUGUUCUUGCACCAGUAAUUGGUCGGUAAUUUUUCUCAAUAUCACUUGUUUUUUCCCCUGCCAAAGAAUGUUCUAAAUUCACAUUUUACAAACUCCAUAUUUUCUGCAAGCUUUUAUUGCCUUGAGAGAAUUAAAAUUGAGGAAAGUCUUGUGUGCCUUGAGUAAUUCAUAGGUAAUACAAAUGAAUAGGCAUUUGAGAAAUUCCACACUUACUUAAAACUAUAAUUUGGUGCCUUAGUGUUGUUGGGGGUAAAUUUAUUUAACUAACGAGUUUCAUUCGAACGAGUGAGUGAGAAGCCUAUUGAUAACUUUGGCUGGAAUGUUGUCAAUCCCUUGAAUUUGAUCUCUAUGCAAUGUUAGGAAUAACCUAAAAGAGUUAAUCCUCGUAGUCAUAAUUUUGCUUUUAGAGUAAUUGUUUUUAAUACGAUAUUUAGAUUCAAGUCCAAUUAUUUUCCUUCAAGUAAUUUUUUUUUCAUUUGCAACACCGGGACUAUAAAACAUUACCAGACAUGGCAGGCGUGGCAGUGGUAGAUCCUAACUUAGCUCAAGUUGAUGAACCGUUUAUUGGAGGUAUGUUUUUCAUGAGUUUAUUGCAUUUACUAAAUGCAAUAUACUCAUUUUCAUAAUCUAUUUUUUCUUUUCCUUUUUUUUUUUCCUAAAUAAAUUGGGAACAACAAACAAAUUUUCUUUCUUUUGUAGGGUCUAAUGUUACCAAAAAAAUCGUAGACCUUAUAGAUAAGUUAGAUAAGGAUAGUGUUGCGAUAAUGAAAGAAGACACUGAUCUUGGGAAAGAAUUAAGUGAUGUUGUAUCUUCUAUUAGUACGAAUUUAAGUGUCUGCAUCGCCAUAUCAAUGGCUGCAACUAAUCUAGCUAAGGGGCACAAAGAGUCUUCACAUUUUUAUUAGGGUAAAUAGCAUUAAACCACCUGAACUUUUUAGGUUUUUGCACAUCACCACCUGAACAAAAUUUUUUUGCAGGAGUUCAUCUGUACUUAAUUAAUUGUGCCACAUUGCCCUUUUUUACCUGUUUGCAGGUCAAAAUGACCUGUUCUCACCGCACGUGCGUUUCACAUGACAAAUACAAGGCUAUUGAUGUCUUUUCACUUCCUAAAAUACUCAGCUCUAAUUCCUGUUGAAAUUCACACACUCUCACACAUUUCAUUCCAUCCACUCUUUAUCGUUUUCUAGGGAAAAUGAAAUCAAAGUAAUUCCAAAUUACAAAAGUCACAAGUGUGUUUGGUUCAGAAGAAAAUGAAUCAAAGUAAUUCCAAUUUCUUUAGUUCGAUUUGGUAUUCAGACGAAAAUUAGAAGAUAAAUUAUUGUUGGAUAAUUUUUUAUAAAAUAAUAAAACCAAAAAAAAAAAGCACUUUCAGACCCAACCCCCUACCAAAACCCACCCAUACCCACCCAAAACUAAAACUGAAACGGCGUCGUAUCUAGGGGAUGGACUUGCCGUUAAAUUCAAGUCCUGAAGGGGCAGAAUUGGGUGAAGCAGUGUGGGGAUGGUGAUUAGAGAAACGAUAGGCUUAUUACCUUCGUGUUUGAUUUUCUCCGGUGCGACGGUGGUUGGGUUGGUGGUUGUUGUUGUAGCAGCCACAUGCUAAUUCUUUUUCGGUUCCUCCUUUGGAGUGAGGCAGCGCCAGCUGGGGGCGGCGAUUGGGGACUACCACCGGCGGUGGUUGGGGUGACGGUUUUUACAGCCGCCGCCGCCGCCGCCGCAUGCUAAUCUCUUUUGUUGGUUCCUCCUGUGGAGUGAGGCGGCAUCGGCAGAGGUGGCGAUGGGUAACUAGCACAACCAAAAAAAGAAUAAGAAGAGAGGAAGUACAGGGGAAUAUAAUAAUGGAGGGAAGGGGAGAAUGAUAGACAAAUUAGAGAAAUGAGAAAAAUGAAUGAUAAAUAAUGGGAAUAACGGUGAAAUUGAGGGAGAAUAGAAGCAAUUGGGGUUUUUUUUAAUGGAAAAGCCAAUAAUACCCUUGGAUUUCGCAUGUGCAAAGCGCGUUUGUCAAGAACCGGUCAUUAUGACCUGAAAACCACCGGCAAAAAAUGGCAAAGCGGCACAAUUAAUUGAGUACAGGUGAACUCGUGCAAAAAAAUAUUGUUCAGGUGGUGAACCGCAAAAACUUAAAAAAUUUAGGUGGUUUAAUGCUAUUUACCCUUUUUAUUAUGCCUACUUGGCUCUGAUUUCUCUAGCCAUCAUUUUAAGUUUCUUAUAUUCGGCCGCUUAUAAGCGAGUUGAUCGUGAGGAAAUGGAGAAAAGAGGGAGAAAUAUUAAUCGUAGGAAGCUGUUAUUGCAAGAUAUGGCAAAGAUUAUUAGGUUGCAGUUACAACCACUAGGCACUACGGAACCACUGUAUUGGAAUUGCUUGGAAAGAGUAAAUCAUGUCAUUAGUACUCUAGACAAAAAUGAGCAUAGGAAAUUGAAUGGGUGGUGGUAUUUGCCAUCUUGCAUGCCUCAAAUCAUUUUCAUCAUCUCUACUGCUGGUCUUGUGUGCUUGGCAUUGUCGUCAACAAAAGGUAACUUUAAAUUACAACUUGUGCUUUAAAUUACAACUUGCGUUUAAAAUUACAAUUUGUGCUAACGAAUUGAAUUUUCAUUUUUCUGUGAUACAGCCCCGAACGAAAGUACUUUGGCUCCGGCUCCAGCUCUUGCUCCGGCUCCGAGUGGAUGAACAUGAUGUGGUGUCAAGAUAUUACUAGGGUAAAUUUUUUGGUGAUUUUACAGAUGUAGCUUCAAAUUUUAAUAUUCUAAACAUACUAUGUUUGAUGUUAUUUCUUACUACCACUUCUCAUAUUUCAGCAAUAUAUUUUCGAUCAUCAUCUGAAAGUACAAGGAUAUCUUAAAACAAAAUUGGACUUUUGAAUGUCACCGUUUAAUUUAACUUUGAGCUAUCUUUGACUUCGGUUAUUUCUUUCAACUGCAGCUGUUGGUGUAUCAUCUAUGAGGGUACAAUGUUGAUCAGCCUCGAAAUCUUGCAAAAAAUGUGACAACUCAACGAUGAAUGAAACAGAGCUGCUCGUGUAAUCCUUUUUGGCUGUUCUUCUAUCGGAUUUUUAUUUUAUUUUUUCCAUCUUUUUUUUUUCGAGGAAAUGAGUUUAGGAGUGUGACAAAUGGCUGUCUUUCUACUGAAUUUUGCCUGCACAAACAGAUAAACUAAUCUCGGUAGACAGAUUAGAUGACUAACUGUUGUGAAGUAACAUUGUCUGAAACUAUAAUAGGCUAUAUAUUUGUUGUUAAAUAUAUAAGUACAUAUUUAGUUUAAAAGUAUUUUAUAUAUUAAAAAAAAUGUUGUACAAAAAGUCAAUUGGUUGGUUAUUAUUGACCAGUCGAUCUUUCAAGAGUUUAGUAAUUACGAAUUAAAAUAAUAAUUCCAACUUCAAAUGGUCAAUGAAUACUCGACUAUCGACUAUAAUUUUUUGCUCCACCAUAGACAGACAAUUGUGUAAAACAUACUAUGGAAAUCUAUAUAUAAUAAUAUAUACAAGUUUUGAAGUAUAUCAAAAAACCUGUUAUAUAACAUAUAUAAGGUUUUUAUUGUAAUAAAAAAACAACAAAAUUUGAAUUCCUUAAUCACAAGGUUUUCGUCUUUUUAUCUCCAAAUUUUCAGUUCCUAAUAUAAGUUCACAUUAUGCCAUGAUCAAGAUUUUGUGUAGGCUGUUAACAGCAAACACAAUGAAGGGGCUGAUGGAAACUAAAGCAUGCGUCAUUUUUUCUUUUUUGUUUUUUAUUUAACUUUUGAAUAAACUUGUAGGAACUUUUAACACAAUAUAUAUAUAUAUAUAUAUAUAUAUAUAUAUAUAUAUAUAUAUAUAUAUAUAUAUAUAUAUAUAUAUAUAUAUAUAUAUAUAUAUAUAUAUAUAUAUGACCAAGUUUUGAAGUUACAAAUAUCCCUUUAGGUGCUACAAAUACAAUUUUGAUUUAGGGCAAAUUACGAACAUCCCCUGAGGUAAGGUCAAAUUACGAAAACCCCCAUCAUGUUUGGGUAAUUACAAUCACCCAUGUUUUUAAAUAUUUUCAAUAAUUUCUUUUUGUAAUUCGGUUAUUUAUCGAACCAAAUUGUAUUUUUUGGUUCGGUAAACGAUAUGAAAUGUUGGCGUACCGAAUUUUCGUUACGGUUUUACCGAAUUAACAUUCAUAAACUUACCUUUGAAGAGGUUUUUUCGUAAGAUAACAUAUAGUUGAUGAGUGGUUAGAAUUACCAAAACAAGAGGGGUUUUUCGUAACUUACUUAAUCAUACCUCAGGUGUAACCGUAAUUUGCCCUUUGAUUUAUCAAUAAAAUCCCUUUAAAAUAAUAAAAAUACGUUAUAGAAUAUACCCUAUUAGCUCACAAGAUUUACAAUAUAUAAAUACGUAUACUAAUAAACAUAAGAGAGUAAUAAUGCUUUUGAGAGAAGUGCAAAUUUAUAGUAGCCGAAACACCGAGUAACGGACCUAUCACCGGUUCAUUUACUGUUACACGAAGUAAAUAAAAUACACCGAGUAAAUAAUUACCAUUCAUUAAUCCACAAAAAUACACACACCUAUUGGUGUGUAGGUAAACAGUAAAGAUUGCAAUCAUUUUCUUAACAAAAUUUCCUGAGAAUACAUAAUAUAAAUGCUCGGUUAUUCCUUACCAUUCGAUAAAUAACCAGGAAACUCAUAAGUAUAUAAUACUAACCAAAAACAAUAUAUAUAAGGGGGGAAAAUAUAAUACAUUAUAAUAUGUAUUCAACAAGAAAAACAAAACGUAUCUGUUAGAAUCUAGAGGUCUUAAGAUAUAAGUCCCGGUGACAAAUCUUAUUAGACUAAAUGACAAAUCUAACUAAAUUUGCUUCACCUCCUUUAUCAAAAUACAUUCCGAAAACGCCCCUCCACUCCUAAACUCAAAAUUACAGGAGAUUGUAAAUAUACUAUGAUGAACUAUGGUAUUAUUUAACAUUUUUAAGUUUGCAUCUAAUUUUUUUUUUACGUGGAACACCUUUUUUUUUUUUUUUUCUUUUUUUCAUUUUACGUAUUUUUUCAUUAUAUAAUCUAUUGUUUUCCCUUCUUUUCUAUAUAAAUUGAAAAUUAUGAUUUUUUUAAUUUUUUCGGUCGUAGACAUCUACAGAAACUCGUACCAACCGUAGUAAUCCGUAGUCACCCACACACAUCUUGAAACCCUAACUCCUCCUUUGGACACUGGCCGCCAGACAUCCAUAGACACUCACAGACAUCUAUAGACAUCCAAAUCGAAAAAUAUUAAAUUUUCCCAUCCAAACCCUAGAUCCGCUCCACCCAGGGCCGGCUCAACCCCUAGGCAAAAUAGGUAGUUGCCUAGGGCCCCACGUUAAGUGGGGGCCCACCUAUACACUUUUUUUUUCCUUUUGUUUUUAACACUAAUACGUAUUAUAUAUUAGAUAAAAAAAUAUGUAUACAGUAGACAUUAAUUUUUUUUAUAUUAUAAAUUUUAUAUCUAUUGUAGGCCUCUCAAUUAAUUAAGGGUUAAUAGCAUUUCGCCACCUAGACUUUGCCUGUUUUUGCACUUUACCACCUUAACUAAAAAAAGUUGCAAGCGCCCACCCAAACUCAGUUUUUUGACGCACAUAACCACAUAAGGGGAAUAUUCCGGCGAAUAUUCUCAUUUUUCAACGCACGCGCGAUGCACAUGCGAAAGUUCAAGGGUUUUUCGUCUUUUCACCUGAAAAUAUCAUAAGGGGUGAAAUUGAAAGUACCAGGGACUCAAUUGAACUUAAUUUGAAACUUUCACAAAUUUGAAAUUAAUUGAAGCUUUGUGGCUUCAUCUCCCAUGGGAUAAAAACACCCACCGCUGCAGGCCUGUUUCAAAAUGGAGCGAAAAAAUCUCCAAUAAAGAGAUGAAUAAGAACAACGACAUCAAUUUGUUGAAAUUCGCCAUGGAUUAGAGAGACGAAGAACCCAACUCCGGAAGUGAUUGAAUCAGAUUUCGGAUUCUCGCUGGAUAGCAUGUGGUAUCGGAUGUACCACUGUUCUUCCUCGUCGCCGAGGUGCCCAUUCACGACGGGCGAACCGAUUUUGACGAUUUCCCACGAAUUGUUGGGGGCCCAAAUCGAAGACUAAAACCCUAGAGAGAGACGAAUUAGAAGGAAUUGGUGGAAUUGAAGUGGGGUGUGGAUACUUGAAUUGGGAAUACUCUAGUAAUUCUCAUUUGUUGUCUCUUUGUUGGCGCUUUUGCUCAUCAACAACAAGGCGUUUGAGGAAUUGUCCAACGGUAGCCCCCCGGCCCAGCCGGAAUUCUCCAACGGCAGCGCCCAUUUUGUUUACCGGGCCCAGAAGGUGGGUGUUUUGAUCCCAUGGAAGAUGAAGCCAUAGAGCUUCAAUUACUUUCGAAUUUGUGAAAGUUUCAAUUAAGUUCAAUUGAGUCCCUCGUACUUUCAAUUUCAUCCCUUAUAAUAUUUUCAAGUAAAAAGACGAAAAAGCCCUUGUACUUUUGCAUGUGCAUCGCACUUGCGUUGAAAAAUGAGAAUAUUCGCCGGAAUAUUCCCCUUAGGUGGUUAUGUGCGUCAAAAAAUUGAGUUUGGGUGGGCGCUUGCAACUUUUUUUAGUUAAGGUGGUAAAGUGCAAAAACGGGCAAAGUCCAGGUGGCGAAAUGCUAUUAACCCAUUAAUUAAUAUAAUAGACGAUUAAUAAUACAUGUAUAUUUAAUUGUGUGGGUCAUCGGUUACUUUAACUUAAAUAUCAUCCCUCAAUCAUUAUCACUUUUUUUCUCCACCUGACUUCAAUAGGUGAAAAUGUGCUAUAUUAUAACCUUCUCUUUAUUUUUUUGCCUUUUAUUGAUUUUUCUACUAUUUUUGUUUGGAUAGGCACAUUUGAUUUUUACUGCAAUUUUCACUUUUUCUUUGAUAAUUUAUAAAAAAAAAAUUAUACAUAAUAAAACAUAUGUAUAUAAUAUUAGGGCCCAAGUUUUGCUUCGCCCUGUGUCCAGUAUCCUAAGAUCGACCCUAAUGUGAUGGAAAAAUCCGAACUACUAAAACUAAACAUUUUUUUUGUUAGUGAAUUACUUAAUUAUACUAUAAACUCCCUAAAAUUUCUAUUUCUUACUAAAAUAUCACUCGUUUUUCUAAUAUUGAAUUAAAAUUUAUCAAUUUUGAUAUUUUUAUUUGUUCUAUUAUUUAAAACAAAUAUUGUUGAUGAAUUUGAAUUUGUUUAUGUAAAUAAUUUAAAAACAAUCGCAACCUUGUGAAUUUACUUGUGCGCUAAUACAAAAUUUUCUGAUCCUAGUAUAAGGAAUAAUUUCAUAUACUAUUUUAGUUUGGUAAAAUUUAUUUUUGUUUUGUAUUUUCAUUUUUGCAUUAAUUAAUGCAUUGCAUCAAUAAAAAAAUAAGAAACUAUAUUUUAAAUAUAGGGCCCCAAUAUUUUGGCUUCGCCUAGGAUCCCCAGCAUGCUAGAGCCGGCUUUGGCUCCACCACGAAAACCCUAACACCCUCUUUGAACCCUAGCCGCCAGCAAGCCAUAGACAACCAUAGACACCCACAAAAAUCCAUAGUCAUCCAAAAAUAAAACCCUAGAUCUACAACCACAGUCACCAUAUCAGCCAAAAUAAAAACCUAGAUUUGCAAAAAUGUCACCAUAGCUGCCACCACCUCCAUAUUCAUCGCCUCACGACCUUUCUCUAUCUCCAUAACCAACCCCCCUUCAUAAUUGUGACAACGACUGCCCCUAACCACCUCCAUAAAUAUCUCUACCAUACCCACGACCUCCAUGGCCGCUGCCAUAGCAACUCCCACAAUAUGCACCGCCUCUAUAGCUGUCGCCAUUCACCAUGACCGCCUCUAUAACAACCCCCACGUUACUCGCCGCCUCCAAGACCACCCCCACCGCCACCAUAUACGCCAUAGCCAUAUAAAUGGGAGCAAGAGAGAUCGAGAGGGAGAGAGAGAAAGACUAACAUAACUGUAGAGAACGUGAGAAAUGAACGAGAGAAAGAAAGAGAGAGAUAAUAAAAGAAAAGAAACAGAUCUGGAAUAGAGACACCUAAAUAGAGUUAAUAUUUAGGGUAUAAGGGCAAGUUAGAGAUUAAAAAAAUUAGGGAUGUGGGACAUAUUAUAUUUUAAAAUAGGGAUGUAUUUAAAAAAAAUAGGUUGGGGUAGCCAUUUAGUUCUAAUUAAAUUUGUUACGAGGGACCCAAGUAUAUUAACCCCUAAAAUCUAAUUGGAUUCUAAUAAAUAAAGGAUGAGUAAAUACUUGGGCAACAAGUCCUUAUGUGCCGUGAAACACAAAAGGGAAGUUCCCUUGUUUACUUUAAUUCUUUAAUUUGUCAUUAAUUUUUUUAUUAUAUAGGAAACUUAUGUUUUUAAUUAAAAAAAAAGUUAUUCUUGUUUUAAUGACUUGUCUUAUACGUAUAUUAGGUAACUUAGACUUAGUGGACUAUGGUUUUUCUUGUUGUACAUGGAAUCAAUAAAUAUAGAAGAGUAUAUAUAGAUAAGAGUAGCAAGGGUCGUUACUCAGCGGCUUUUUCGAGAGAAAGCUUCAAGAAAAUAUUUAUUAUCUCGUUUUUAUUUUUAUCCAACUUCAUGAUAAAUAUUAUUUUCAUAGAAAAUAUAUUGGCUUCAAGGCUUUGUGGAGAAGACACCAAGGUUCAAGGAUUAUUCACAAGUUUGCUUCUUCUAUACAAAAAGAUCGGUUCUUCGGGAUAGGUUCUUCGGGAGAGGGGCUUAAACAAGUUUGUUUAAUUUUAUUUUGAGGUAAAGAGAAGCUAUUUUUGCCGGUUCGAAACGAUUUUGUAAGCGAAGCCGAGCCAAACACGUGCAAAAGUGCAUUCUAGCGGGUUGUGGUAGUGUUUGGUAUUUCAAGCAUAACUCUCGCAUACAACCUCCGAUUGAACUGAUUCAAAUGUCUUCAGAAAGACAACUUCAAGGACUACAACUUUUGUCAAUACAUAUUUGUCAAAUUCGGGAUUAAAAAGAGGCCAAACAGUGUUUGAAGUUGAUGCAGACGCCAGACCGCGACCAAACACCACCGGAUCACGAUCUGGGGUCAAAUUCCAGUAAGCACACAAAGGACGCCCAAAUCGUGAUUCGAAACUCCUGGAUCACAGCCUGGGGAGGUGGUGUGUAGUUUUCGAGGCUUCCACGUCGCAAUCCAAGAAGUCCAGAUCGCUAUCUGGGCACAUAAAUCGAGACCACAUAUUUUUCUUUGUUUACUUACUAUAAAUUCAAGGUCUAUUUUUCUUUUUUUGAUCUCUCGACUUGUUCUUCGGUUUUCUCUUCGGUUCUCGCCAGUUCUUCGCAGGAAGUUUCGACGAGGGUUUCGACUCGAGUUUUUCAUAAACUUUUCAUUACGUUUAUUUUAUGAGUUCCCGUGUUCUACAUUUCAAUGCUAUGUUUUGUAAUGAACUGAGCAUUUUCUCAUUUUCUUUUACGGAAAUGAAACCUUGUAUAUAUUGAUUUUGAUUUCCAGAUAUGUGAUCUAUUUGUUGUUUUUUGAUUCUGUUUAUGUUUUCCUGUAUUAAAUGCUUUCAAUUGUUUGACCAACAAUUGAAUUGAUUGUAAAUGUGAAUGAACUCGAGAGAGGAUUUCUCGUUUGAAUUUAAGAAAACAUAGCUCGCUUGUGGAAACGGAGACGUGAUGCACCUCGGGCAGCCCUUAAGAACUGGACAUAAAUUCUCUCUUAAAAAUCAGGUUAUGAACGGAGACGUCGGACCUGUGCGUAGACUCUAACUACACUAGAGACGGGGGUUAGGGUAUUUUAGUGUCUGGGUUAGGGAAUAUAGAAUUAACAUUAGAUUCGGAUCUGUAGAUCUUUAUUGAUAGUAAAUUGGUGGAUUUUACCCUAUAAGCAUCACACGUCGGAAUUCAUCGCUUGUACUGGCGGACCGUUGCUUUUAUUAUUGUUGUUUUUUUUGUUUUUAGCUUCAUGCCCCAUCCUUACAAUUGUCUAGAUAAAGUUUAGGAUAGUAUAAUUACGGUACUUGAUAAAUUUAAGAAUUUAAUUCCGUGUGGAUUAAUAUCUGGAAUUCACAAUUCAACAAUACGCAAUACUGUACACUUGCGGUUAUUAAUACUUAGGUUUUACGCGUAUCACCCUUAUGUGCAAUUUUAGCCCAACUCCAUUCAGCAUUAUGACCAACUGCAUUUAGCAUUUUUGGACCUGCAUUUAUUAUUUUUAUAGAUUUUUUAUAAUAAAAAAAUAUAAAUGUUAUUUAUUAUUAUCUUUUAUAUAUACCUUCUUUUGUAUUUCUAUUUUUAUUUUUAAAAUAUUUUAAUUUUUUUAGUUUUUAUUUUUUUUCAAACUUUUGGGUGGGGUUAUUCGAACCUUACCCAAGUCCCAACACUUGUAGAUUAUUGUUACGGGUAAAAAAAAAUUGAAAAUUUGACAAAACCCCCUCAUUACACAAGUGUCAUUACAAUGGACCCAAUUUUAUUUUACAUUUUUAAGAUAAAUCUAAAACAACUUUUAUUAAUUAAAAACACUUAAUUAUCACCAUUAUACCCCCUAACAAACAAGGUAUCUUUAAUUUUGAUAUUAAAAGAUAUAUAAUAUAUAUUCCUUAUAUAUCUUAAAUAACACCUUAUAUACGUCUCUCUCUCUCUCUCUCUCUCUCUCUCUCUCUCUCUCUCUCUCUCUCCUUUAGUAAAUAUCUUAAUUAAAUCCAAAAUUAGUAACGUCAAAAAAAUGAAAUUAAUAAUACACAAUUAUCAUAAAUUAAUAAUAUUUAAACAGAAAAUGAAUGUAAUUUCGAAAUUAGUUGAUGCGGACCAAACCCAGUUAAGCUUGAAUUAUUAAUCUCGACUUUUCAAAUAUGCAUGAGCACCACAUUUUAAAUACACAAGACGUAAUUGAAAAGAAUAAAAAUAUAUAUCAUGGUUUAACAAAGCAUUAAAUUGAAUGCAAUAUUACCGGUGGAAACAGCUUACAAAAAAGUACCCACAAAAUUGCAUAAAAAGCCCAUUUGUAGCUAGAGUUAUCAACCCCAAAAAAUGUUAUGUUUUAAUGGAUUAUCAAAGCCCAACAACUCAAUCAGGAGUUAUCUCGAGAAAAUUGUAGAUGUAUGAACAUGUUUGUUUUGCUUGAACGUUAUGUUGUUGUUUAUCCGAGCAUGAAAGCGAAUUUGUAAUUAUACAGAGUGGUUUUCAUGUUUACAUAGUCGUUAUACAUAGUGGUUUUCAUGUUUAAAUAGCUGUUAUACAUAGUGGUAUUCAUGUUUACAUAGUUGUUAUACAUAGUGGUUUUCAUGUUUACAUAGUUGUUAUACAUAGUGGUUUUCAUGUUUACAUAGCUUUUAUACAGAGUGGUUUUCAUGUUUAUAUAAUUGUUUAUACAGAGUGGUUUUCAUGUUUAUAUUGUUGUUUAUACAGAGUAGUUUUCAUGUGUGGAUUAUACUAAUUUAACAAUGGAUUACACUAAUUUAACAAUGGAUUACACUAAUUUAACAGUGGAUUGCACUAAUUUAAUAGUGGAUUACAUUAAUAUUAAUGUGGAUUAUGCUUAUUUUAUAGUAAAUUUUACUUUAAUUUUAUAGUAAUUUUCGAUAAAUUCAGUGGUUUUCGAUGAGUAUGUAGUGGAUUUCAAUUUGUUUUUAAAUAUUAACCACUUAAAAAACUGAAGAAAGAAAAAAUAAUUUUUGUUUUAAAUUGUAAAAAAAAAAACCAUCAAAAAAUUAAAUAAGAAAUUGGGAAAGAAUUAACUAAAAUUACGUGAAAUAUGAGAUAUGGGGAAAUAAUAGGGGAUGGAGUGAGAUGGAGGAGAUAAUAGGGGGAUUUGCAUAUCUACCAAAAUUUAGAUGAAUUUUUCCACAAUAAUAUAAUAUAUUAAUUUUCAAUAAUAGUAAAUAGGGACAUUUUGGACAAUUAGAAUCAAUUGGAUUUAUAACAAAUAUCAAUUAAAAAAAAUGAAUUUAUUAAGAAGUCAAAAUUCAAUAAGGGGUGUUUGUGAAAGAGCCCAAAAAAAAAUGGAACAAACUUUUUUCAUUUUGAUUUUCAAAAUUCCAUUUUUGAAUUUUCCAAUUAUUUUUUACUGGAAUUUCAAUUCUAUAAAAAAUGUGCAAUUUUCAAUUUCCGAUCCGAUUAAAUUCUUGAAAUUAGUUUAAAAAAUUCUAUUUUUUGCUGAAAAAGACACAAGUAAAUAAUUUUAUUAUAUAUCUUAAUUAUUUGAAGUAGGACAAAUAAAGUAAAUAGUUAAUUAUAUUCUUAUUUUAGGGUUAAUGAGGCAUACCACUCAUUUGAAAAAAAAAAUUAGAACAAAACACCUCAUAUUAUUUUUUAUAGUUGGAAGUCUCUCAUUUUUUCACAACCUGAAAAUUCCUUCACUCUAUCUGUCCGAUGCAAUUUAUGUGUGUUUGUGUUUGGUACACGUAAAGUGGUCAAUGCAUUGCACUAAUCUUUUAUACCGCAUUAUAUUAAAAAAAUUGUAUAUGUUAUUUUAUUAGUAUUUGUUAUGGAUUUAUAUAUUCUGUCAAUCUGAGAAAAAGAAUUUCAAUAUCACAAAUUUUUACUUGCUUUCCUGGAUGCUUUCUUAAAUAAGAGGCUACAAUUUUCUUCAUAAGUUCUUUUUUGUUUUUAUUUUUUUCCCUUUUUCUUCUUCUCGGUUAGCUGUCUGCUACACUCUUUGUGUAGAACGUUUGUUAAGAUAAGUGUUUUUUUUUUGUUUCUCAUUGUAUGAUACACCUUUCGUUAGUCCAUCUAGAAUAGGUUUCGUUUUUUUUUUUUUUUUAGGGUUAACUUAUGUAUGUCUACGUUAAUCUAGCUAGUGUGGUAAUUCAUGCAUUUUAUUAGUUCAUGUAUUUUAUUAAGUUAAUAUUCAUGUAUGGUGUUGAAGAGUCAUGGAGAAAUUCAUGUAACUAGAUAAUCAAGGGUCAUUAUUAGUGGGUAUAAAUACCCCUUGCAUGUGGAAUGACAGAACCGUGAGUUGCAUAUUCUCUUCUAAAAGUUUUGUCUUCUUCCCAUUUUAUUUUUCCUUCUUACAACAAAGUGGUAUCAAGAGCCAUUGUUUUAUUCUUAUAAGAAAUGGUAAGUAAUGGGUUGUAUUCAUUUCAAUUUCCCGGUACGGUCUCACAAAGAAAAUUAUGAAAAUUGGUGUUCGAGAAAGUGGCUAAUGCCGACACCGCAAAGGAAGCUUGGGAGAUUUUGCAGACCUCUCUCCAAGGAGUUAACAAAGUAAAAAAGGUUCGGCUUCAAUCACUUCGAGGAAAUUAUGAAGCUUUGCGUAUGGCGGAAUCCGAAUCAGUUUCGGAUUAUUGUUCGAGGGUGUUGGCCAUUGUGAAUCAAUUAAAACGAUAUGGUGAAACACUCGAAGACGUCAAGGUGAUCGAGAAGAUCCUUCGUUCAUUAACUUCGAAGUUCGAUUAUGUGGUGUGCGCUUUUGAAGAAUCUAAAGACCUUAGCGAAAUGACGGUUGAUCAAUUAAUGGGUUCUCUUCAAGCCCAUGAAGAAAGAUUUUUGAAAAAGCAAGAGGAACCUCUAGAGCAAGCACUCAAAGCCAAAAUUUUCUUUGGAGAUGGUGCAAGGAAGAACUAUGAAAGAGGCCGAGGUCCAGGAAGAGGUAGAAGUCAUGGUCGUGGAAGUUUUGGAGGAAGAGAGGAAGAGGCAACUACGAAAGCCAGUCAAACGAAGAGAGUAACCAUCAAUCAACAAGAGGUCAUGAGAUGAGGAAGAGGAAGAUAUCAAAAAUUCAUAAAUGCAGAAAAGAGGCCCGACAAAUCUCACCUUAGGUGCUACAAUUGUCAAAAACUCGGGCACUAUGCGUGGGAAUGCCGCAAUGAGAAAAAUAAUAUUGAAGAAAAGGCGAAUCUAGUUGGUGAAAAUCAAGAAGUCGAAGAGCCAACUUUGUUACUCGCUCUCAAAGGUGGAGACAAGGACGAUAAAAAAAUGUGGUACUUGGAUAACGGAGCAAGCAAUCAUAUAUGUGUGGCGACAAGCUAAGGAUAAGGUUGUGGAGCUCGAUAAAGUGCGUGGGAAUGUUACUUUUGGAGACUCCUCUAAAAUUGAGAUUCACGGAAAAUGUACCAUUUUAAUUUUCUCGAAAAAUGGUGACCAUAAGCUAAUCUAUGAUGUUUAUUACGUGCCAAAAUUAAAGAACUAGUAUUUUGAGCUUGGGGAAACUUGUUGAAAAAUGCUAUGAAAUUCACAUGAAAAAUCGUUGUCUUUGGCUAAGAGAUUUCAAUUCCAAUUUAAUUGCCAAAGUUUUUAUGUCAAAGAAUCGGAUGUUUUUGCUAAAUCUCGAGACUGUUGAUGCAAAAUGCUUGACGGCCGAUGUCAAAGAUGAAGCUUGGAGUUGGCACAUGAGAUAUGGACAUUUGAAUUUUGAUUCACUUAAAGCCUUGAAAGAAAAGGUGAUGGUCCAAGGUCUACCGAGAAUAAAUUUUCCUAAUAAAUUAUGUGAAGCUUGUCUUUUGGGAAAACAUCUGAGGUAGAGUUUUCCAAAGCAAUCCAUGUCAAGAGAAAUCAAACCGCUGCAACUUGUUCAUGCCGAUGUCUGUGGCCCAAUCUCCCCACCUUCAUUUGGUAAAAAUAAGUGUUUUUUACUAUUUAUUGAUGAUUUUAGCAGAAAUACUUGGAUUUACUUUUUGAAGCAUAAAUCGGAAGUUUUUGGUGCAUUCAAAAAGUUCAAGACGCUUGUGGAAAAGGAAAGCGGCUACGAAAUCCAAUCCUUAAGAACCGAUAGGGGAGGCGAGUUCACGUCAAACGAAUUCAAUCUCUUUUGUGAAGAAAAUGGAAUUCGUCGUCCACUAACAGUUCCUAGAUCGCCGCAACAAAAUGGUGUAGUUGAGAGGAAAAAUCGGACGAUUCUCAAUAUGGCGAGGAGUAUGCUAAAACCAAAAAAGACGCCGAAUGAAUUUUGGGCAGAAGCUGUUGCAUGUGCAGGUUACUUGGCCAAUCGUUCUCCAACAAAAAAACGUCGAAAAUCAAGGGCAAAUAACACUUGGGAGUUGUCUAAUCUUCCCAACGACCAUGAAGUUAUUAGAGUCAAAUCGAUUUUUGAGGCGAAGAAAAAUGAUUUAUAUAGUGAAACGGAAGUUGUUAAUGAUUUGCUAUGUUUCUUUGUAGAUCAUGAGCCCUUGACUUUCCUUGAAGUCGUGGAGGAUGAAAAAUGGAGACAAGCCAUGCAAGAAGAAAUUAGUGCCAUUGAGAAAAAUAACACUUGGGAGUUGUCUAAUCUUCCCAACAACCAUGAAGUUAUUGGAGUCAAAUGGAUUUUUAAGGUGAAGAAAAAUGCAAACGGAGAGGUGGAAAGAUAUAAAGCAAGGCUCGUCGCAAAAAGCUACAAGCAAAAGUAUGGAGUUGAUUAUGAUGAAGUAUUUGCUCCAGUGGCCCGUAUGGAAACAAUCCGUUUGCUCAUUUCUUUUGCGGCUCAAAUGAGGUGGAAAAUUUAUCAACUUGAUGUGAAGUCGGCGUUCCUUAAUGGUUAUCUUGAGGAAGAGGUCUACGUAGAACAACCAAUGGGGUUUGAGAUUGCCGGGCAAGAAGAUAAAGUUUUGAAGCUAAAGAAGGCAUUAUAUGGCUUGGAGCAAGCACCGAGAGCGUGGAAUAGCCGUAUCGACAAAUACAUCGAAGAUAACGGUUUCACUCGUUGCCUUAAUAAGUAUGCUCUUUAUGUUAAAUCUUUUACAAAUGGUUAUGUUUUGCUCGUUUGUCUUUAUGUUGAUGACUUGAUUUUUACGGGCAACGAUUCGAGCUUAUUUGACGAAUUCAAAAAGGCUAUGUCUUUUGAAUUUGAGAUGACGGAUAUUGGUCUCAUGUCGUAUUACUUGGGAUUGGAAGUAAAGCAAAUAAAUGAAGGAAUUUUUGUCUCUCAAGAAAGGUACGCAAAUGAGGUGUUAAAGAAAUUUCAUAUGCUCGGUUGUAAUCCUGUGAACACCCCCGAUGGAAUGCGGAAUGAAGUUGUCAAAAUUUGACGACGGAGAGAAAGAAGAUCCUACUCUUUUCAAAAGCUUCGUGGGAAGCUUGAGAUAUCUAACAAACACAAGGCCCGACAUUCUCUUUGCGGUUGGAGUCGUAAGUCGAUAUAUGGAAUCUCCUACCUCAACGCACAUGAAAGUUGCCAAAAGGAUCCUUCGCUACUUAAAAGGUACUAUCGGAUUUGGAGUAUUCUAUUCUUCCGAUCCUGUAGUGAUUUCAAGCUUCAAGGUUUUUGUGAUAGUGAUUAUGCCGGAGAUAUUGAUGAUCGAAAGAGCACCACCGGAUAUGUGUUCUUUAUGGGAGAGUCGGCUAUUUCUUGGAGUUCGAAAAAACAACCCAUCGUUACUCUCUCAACUUGUGAGGCCGAGUAUGUGGCAGCAACAUCUUGUGCAUGUCACGCAAUUUGGCUUAAGAGGCUGCUUGAAGAACUUCAUUUGCCACAAAAGAAAGCUACGGAGAUUUUCGUCAAUAUUAAGUCGACAAUUGCACUUGCCAAAAACCCGGUGUUCCAUGAUCGAAGCAAGCAUAUUGAUACGAGGUAUCAUUUUAUGAGAGUGUAGAUUGCCAAGAAGAAAGUGAAGCUCAGCCUUGUCAACAUGAAAGAUCAAAUUGCGGAUAUUUUUACGAAGCCUCUAAAGUUUGAGGAUUUUAGAAGAUUGAGAGAAAGUCUUGGAGUCAUGAAGAAAUUUUCAAAUUAAGGGGGACUGUUGAUUAAUAAUUUGAAAUAAAUUAGUACAUUAAUCUAGCUAGUGUGGUAAUUCAUGCAUUUUAUUAGUUGAUGUAUUUUAUUAAUUUAACAUUCAUGUAUGGUAUUGAAGAGUCAUGGAGAAAUUCAUGUAACUAGAUAAUCAAGGGUCAUUAUUGGUGGGUAUAAAUACCCCUUGCAUGUGGAAUGACAGAACUGUGAGUUGCAUAUGCUCUUCUAAAAGUCUUGUCUUCUUCCCAUUUUAUUUUUCCUUCUUCCAACAGUCUGCUACACUAUUUGUGUAGAACGUUUGUUAUGAUAAGUGUUUUUUUUCGUUUCUCACUGUAAGAUAGGUUUCGUUUUUUUGUUUUUGUGUUUAGGGUUAACUUAUGUAUGUCUGACUAGUUAGAAGAAGGAAAAUCAAUCGAGAGACUCAUUAAUUAGGACGUAGCGGCGAGCCAAAGCGGACUGGAGUUGCUUCUCUUUUUUCUUUCCAUGAUAUUUUUUUUCUUCGUUUUAUUUUCCUAUCUUCAUUGUCUAAUACAAUGCCUAUGUAUUUCCAACUAUUGCUAAAGCCACCAGGAAGCCACUGCCUGCACCAGUCAAGUAUUUGUUUUUUCAACUCAUUUUCUUCAGCAUGUAAGAUGAAUGUUCUCAGAAAUAUCUCUUCUUCUGCCCGCAUGGGUGUAGCUCAACUGGUUCCGGAGGUGGUAAGUUGGUGCAAGGUCCUAGGAUCGAAUCCUGGCAGCCGCAGUGUGGGAAUUUCAACUCCAAAUGAGGGUUGGUUCCUUGUGGGCACCAGGUCCGGGUCCGCUACCUUAACGGGCCGUUGAGUUACCAUGAUUUACAUCCUCCAUUAAUCCUUGUCGGGCCAAGGGAUGGGGGCCCUGGGGGCGAGGGAUUCGCCUUUUUGGUGCAAGAAAUAUCUCUUCUUGAUAUUUCAUUUUUUUUAUUUAUUUAAAUAGCUAUUUUCUUCUCUUUUGGAAUUUCAAAAACCAAACCUUAAGUUUUGCUCCAAAGUUGUUGAUAAAAUAAUUAUAUACCUCAUGAUUGCAAUUAGUGGAAUGUCUCUUAUUUUCAUCAUACUAUAGUUUGUUUUUGUUCAUGUCAUAUAAUUUACCCCGUUAUUUUUUUUUUUUUUUACAUAAUGCUUUAUUUUUUAGGAGGUCUAUUGUUUUCUUCUCUUUUGAUUAUUUUUUUUCCACAUAAUGCGAUACAUACGUGUUGAAGAAACCACAAAAUAAGUGAGAUAUAUAUUAUUUUAUCAAAAGAAAAAUGAGAUUUUGUGCAUGUAAUAUUAAAAAAAAAAUGUGAUUUUUAUGUUUGUCAGGUUUUGAUCUUAUUAAGUGUAUUAAUGUCAUUACCUAUUUAUAAUAUAUUUUUUAUUUAGGUGGUAUUGAAGUGAGAACCAAUUGGUAUUUGAAAUAGCUAUCCCCUUAGUUAAAUUUGUAUUAUUGUUUCACAUAUAUUUUAUAUAUUGACACUCCGUAUAUAAAUUUAUUGUAGGAUGGAAAAAUAUAUGGUACAAUAAAAUAAUAAAGUAAUAUAUAGCCCUACCCGUGAAACACAGGGGUAUGGUUACUAGUUUCAUUUAAUAUUUAAAUAUUUUAAAUUUAUAUAUUUAUUUAAAGGGUUUUAAAAAAAUGAAGCCCAUCAAAAAAUUAAUAAAAUAACUAACUAGAUACGUGCAUUGAUUCUCACAACUGCAAGCUAAUUAAAAGUAGUUGAAAGACACGUGCAUUGAUUCUCGCAAAUGAUUUAAAUGAAUAAACUUUAUUCAAAAUAAAUUACCCAUAGAUAACAGCAAGACUUUUAGUCUACUAUGCUAACAAUCUCCCACUUAGACUAUCUCCCACUUAGACUCACGUUCAUUGAUUGAUUGGAAUGGAUGAUAAGCCUGAAAGCCACAUAACCAAUCAUAAUCUCGCAUUAGCGAAUCCAUAUGAGACUUUCUCAAUCGAAUUCUAUUAACUGUAUUUUUGUCUAAACGAUAGGAAAACAUUCCUCUAUGUACCCAGAACAACACCAACUCAUUCUUUUGAAUGCAAAUAACUUUUACACCAAGGAAGAAAUCCGCAGUCAGAAAGUUUUCUCCCGGUGCAUACUUGUUGAGGUCCCAAUCAAGAUGAACAACAUACUUUCUAACCCAAGACCACUUUGUAUAAUUCUCGAGAAUCCAGAUGUCCAUGGAUUGAUCUUUACGAUCCACAUAGCAAAAACACAAUUGGUUGUCUUUCACCGAAAGAUGUUGCAAAUGGCAGCCUCCUUUGUCAACGACGACAGGACAGGGUUUGGUCGAGAAAUCUUCAGUAACCAUGUUAAACACCAUGAUUUCACCAACCAUACUGAUGCACCAAUGAAGCGCAUCAUUCGCAAUAGCUGGACGGUCAUCAAUCCUUGUUUCAAAGUUCAACGACCUUUGCCGAAUAUCCGGUCGGUAAGAAAAAUACGGCUUCUUAGUACUUCUCCAUCUCUUUUCUCCAAAUAGGUAAAGAUGAUACUCAAACUGAUUGUUGUUAGAUUGUCUUACACUAAGAAUUCUACAUUCUUUUGCCUUAGGAUGGAAGAAAAACCCGCACAAAGUACCUCCCCCGGAAGGACCAUUGAUUAUUGUGACUCCUCUAUUUUUGGAAUUAGGAUUCAAAACAACAUGUUUAUUCCACCGGUUUUCCCUAUUAUAGAGAUCCAUACCCGUUUUUGACAGCAAGAUUAAUCCAUUGCAAGAACCAACAACAUAACCAAACUUUACCGACUCGAGGGCCCUCGACCGACACUCUUUUUCAGAAUUCCCAUCGAUAAUGGAAACCCUCAGAUGUUCGUGACAAUAAUAGCGAAUAAUUAGUGGUCUCGAUUCACCACCAAACGACGAAAUCAACAUCUUCCACAUCUUACAAAUCAUAUCUUCGCUCCUGUGAUUUUUAUAGAAUAACAGUUAGAGCUAAAACCACAACAAAAAAUUGAAAAAGAUGCAAAAAAAUGCAUGUCCUAAAAAAGAGGAUUAGGCCUAUGACAUUAAUUCUCGGUUUGUGCAAGAAAUAUAUAUACAUAGGGAAAUAUAUAUGUGAAAUAUAUAUCUAUAUUCAUACCUGAGCGACGACGAAGAUCGACAAAUUGAGAAUGAGCUUGGUGAGAAAUUGAAUGGUUUGAAAAGGAGUUUAAUUGUUUUAUAUAUAUACAUAGGGAACAAGGAGAAACCUAAUUUCACCUUAAUUAGGACUCAUAACUUAGAAUAAAAAGAACUAAACACAAAAAGAAAAGUGGGUGCCCGAAUUUUGGGGUUCGGUGGUAGUUAGGUGGGGGUAUCCAAACCUAAUUUGGAUUCCUUCUUUAUACUCGUUUUUUGUACUAAUAAUAAAUCUUUCAACUUUUUUUUUUCAAUUUUUUUUUUUAAUUUAAUUUUCGGAACAUGUUACUUGUGUAAGUUUGUAAUUUUAAUCUUUUGUACUUAAAUUUUAUGGGGUAAAUUUCACUUUCCCCCUAUACUUUGGCUCGAUAUCACUUUACCCCCUUCUACUCUCGAUUGCAUCGAAUUGCCCCCUUGUACUUAUAAAAUUGUCUCAAUGUGACCCUUGCCCUUAGUUUUCAAACAUUUGACCUUAACACCGUUUGAUCUAAGUCUAAAAAUUUCAAAAAAACCACCCCUCACAGUUUAAAAAAUUAUUAAAAAAAUUGGUUGUAGUCGUGGACUAUUUUUCUCGUUGUCUUGAAUUUUCUAUUAAUUUUUUUUAUUAUUUUAUUAUUUUUUAAUAAUUAUUUAAAUUGAGAGGGAUGGUUUUUUUGUAAUUUUCAGACUUAGAUCAAAUGGUGUUAAAGGUCAAAGGUCUGAAAACUAAUGGCGAGGACCACAUUGAGACAAUUUGACAAGUACAAGGGGUCUGAAAGAUGUUUCUUGUUAUGAAUUAUAGUACUGUUGGAUUUGUUCGACCCUACACCGGGUGGGUCUUCUGCUACCAUGAGUCUCUUUUUUGUAUUUUAUAAUAUAUUCCCCGCUAGGGUUUACCUUUAGGGGUUUUAGAAAAAUAAAAAAAUAGGACACGUGGCAGCAGAAGACCCACCCGGUGUUUAUCACCGGGUGUAGGGUCGAAGGAGCCGUACUGUUGUGCCCUAGAAUGGAAAAUAUAUAGGGAUAGGUCCACCCCUAAUAUUCUUUCUUUCAGAUAGCCCCUGGAGAGGUAAAAGUACUGUUGUGCCCUUAUUUGUAAUUUUCGCCCAACUGCAUUCAACAUUUCGCGAACUGUUUUUAGCAUAAUAGCCAUCUGCACUUAGCAUUUUUGAACCUGGAUUUAUCAUUUUUUCAGAUUUUUUUAUAAAAAAUUAUAAGUUUUAUAUUAUUAUUAUUUUUAACGAUUUAUUUAUUUAUUUAUUUAUUGUUUAUUUUUUAAUUUUUUUUAAUUUUUUUCAACUUUCCAGCAUAUUCAAAACCUGCCCAGAAGGUGUUUGACAAAAUCUCUGAACCAAUUCCGGAAAAAAAACAUGCAGCACCUGGCGAAGCUGCAUAUAAUUCUUUUUUCGCCAAGAAUAGAGUGCCCAAGAACGGAUUCCAGCUCCCCGACUUCCCCAACGAAGUGGAAGAAGACAUGAUAUUUCAGCCCGACGAUGAAAGUGAAAUCGAGGAAACAUUCUGCAUUUGUUUAUUGGGCUAUUUUGCUGGUAAAACACCACGAAAAAUGGCCAUGGAUUCAUAGACGAUUCUGUUAUUUUCGAAUUUCAUCUCAAUUGAAGGAUUCGAAAUGGGGUUUUAUUAGGGAUUGGAUUAACAGGUUCAUUGGGGAUAUGGAGAAUUAAGGAUUUUAGAAUAGAAAUAGGGGAGGAGAAUGACGUGUCGCUCCACAUCAUGUUUCGUCGACCAAGUAGGCACUGGGUGUUGUACAACUCAACAUUUAACGGCUACAUCACGUUUCGUCGACCAAGUAGGCACUGGGUGUUGUACAGCUCGACAUUUAACGGCCACAUAGACGUCACGUGAGCCACGCGUGCUAUUUUCGUCGAAGUUAGCUGCCGACGUUAACGGCAGAACAUAAAGUGAUCAAAAUUGGCAAGUUUGAGGACAUAUUUCGUGGAUUGAAAUGUUUGAGGACAUAAAUCGUUUUAGUGGUAAAGUUUAGGGACAUAAACUGUAAUUUUCCCUGAGUAUAGUCAUAUAUAGUGUAGUUUGUGGUAUAUAGCUUCAAAUCUCACUUUUCAAUACGACAACAACUCCGAUUUAAAUCAGUUGCAAAUAAAUUAUUUUGAUUUGACGAUCAUCAUGUUCUCUCGAUAAAAACUUAGUGAAUAAAAGUUGCUCAAACACCGAGACAUGUGACAAAAAAUCAACAAUUAUCAUUAACUGCAAUAACACAAUCAAAUUCGAAAAACAUAAAUUAUUAUUAAUAUACGUUCAAAUGUACAAAUUAAAAAUUAGUUCCUUCACAAGUCCAUGUUCACAUAAUAAUCCUCUACAGUAAUACUUUGUGCUACAUUCCUCAAAUUUUCUGUAGUUUUUUCAUAACUAAAUUCUUCACUGAAUGUAGCACAAAGUAUAUAUAUAUAUAAACAAAAUGCAAACUUCCACCGAUUAUCAAUAUAACAUCAUCAAGCUUCUCUCUCUCUUUAAAAAAAUAUGAAACCUCAAUAUUCAUCAAGAAACAAAAAGAGUGGAACAUGGGAUAAACAAGGUUGUGAAUAGAUAAAACUUUUGGUAAUUCUAUUGACCUAUGCAUCCCAAUUUGUUUUGAUUUUUAAUUUAUCCAAACACAAAAAUUGUUAAGCAAACGAUUAGGAUUUAAUAAAAAUAACUAGACAACAGGGAAAAAAGAAAAUGAAUCACCUUGAAGGUGUAGAUCUUGUAUGUCUUUACGCUAUUCUUUGUCCUUUUCUUCUUCUCUCUGCCGAUGGCCGCCUUGCCGGCGUCCUUGGGGAGCUUCUUGCCAGCCUUCGGCUUCUUCUCCGCCACCACCACCGGAGAUUUUUCUACUUUUGUGUUUUUUUUGGACAUUGAGAGUUUGAGAGAGGGAGAGAUAACGAGAGAUGAAGAGAGGAAGAGAGAGAAAGAGAUGAAGAUAAUACGACGUGGGUUGAGGCGGAAGAGAUAGAAGAUUAGGUCAUGUUUUUGGUAACAUAUUUUUAGGAAUUAUGUGGCUAAGUGACCUAAGGAUAGUACUGGGAAUAAAAUUUCUAGGGGGUUAUCACAAAAGAAAAAUUUAAGGAGUGGACAUAUCACCAUUUCUUAUCUAUACGAGAGGCUUAUUGCUAAUGACCCCAUAGUAUUAAAGGGAAAUUUAGUUAGAGAACUUAGACGAAUAGCACUUUAGACUGAAAAUACCUUUAUCCUCCUCCUCCUGAUCCAAUCUCAAAAUCAAAUCUACUCCAGAAAAUGGCGUUUCUUCAACUCCUCUACCCCUCCCUACCAGUCCUCUAUCACCGAACGCCUAAUCUAUUUAAAUCUUCACUCGGUUAUCUUAAUCUGAAUGUUGAUUUAUUUUUUGUAUUGUUUUUUUACUUUUAAAAUUUUACGUUCGAUUAACUUUCUGUCGAAAUGACACCGGGAUAACGUAUUUUUAAUACGCAUUUUAUUUUCCUCAUAACUUUCGCUAAAGAACUUGAAGUGCAUUAAUUUAGCUCCAUUAAAAACUAAAUGGCAAGUCCUCCACCCAAUAUAACAUAGAAUAAAUGGCGAAUGACGUAUUAGCCCCAAACAAAAACACUUAAUUAGAAAAAGGUAAUCCUACUUUUUUGUCUUAUCAACUCAUCAACAAUUAUUUGAUUCUAAGAAAAACCCUCUCAUAUAUAGAAAAAGGUAAUCCUACUUUUUUGUCUUACAAAUAUAUCAAUGCAUCAAUACUUAUUUGACUCUAAGAAAAACCUUCUCAUAUAUAUAAAAAAUACUUUUUACUCCUUGAAACCUUAAUUUAUCCCAGUUUCAUGAUUUAAACCUAAAUUUAGCCCCAAUUUCCACCAUUAACAAAUUUUGGCCGUCACAUGUUGAUUUUUUUAAUUUAAUUUUUGGAUAUUUUUUGUAUGAAUUUUUUUUCGGCUAGUCACCGGCGUUGAUUAUUUUAUUUUUAUUUUUCUGGCUUUUUGACCUCUAUAAAAUAAUCUUACUGUACACAAUAAUAUUACGGUGUUUCACAGUACUAAUAUUACUGUGUUUCACAGUAAUAUUAUUGCGUUGUAUUGCAAAUAUUACUGUCUCGGACAUUAAUAUUGUCUUGGCAUGCAAAAUUACUGCCUCAGAUAAUAAUAUUGUUGUUAACACAGUAUUCUUACUGUCUUGGGCUAAACUAUUAUUGUCUCAGAUAAUAUUAUGUUAACACGAUAAUAUUAUUGUGUUAAUAUUGAUAUUACUGUCUUGACCAGCAUUAUUACUUGCAGACAGUAAUAUUACAGUUAGCACUGUAAUAUUACAGUUAGAACUGUAAUAUUACUGUUUUGGUUGCUUAAAAAUUGGAAAAAAGGUAAAAACAAAUAUAUUUAAUAUUACUAUUUAAGGCAUAUUACUAUUUAAGGCAUAAAGAUCAUUGUAAUGUAUUCAUAAUAAUUCUACUUUGUUGACCAGGCAACGUCGAGGAAAAAUGUUUUAGAAAAAAAGAUUUACAAGAAAAAAAAAAUCAACGGUUUGUGAACGAAAAAAAAGGUUCAGAAACACCAUCGUGCAAUAUUUGUUAAGUUGGGCCAUUAUGGAUGACAUUGAUGUAAAUUAUGUUUUGAGAGGUAUUUGGGCAUGAGACAAAAAAAAAUGAUUUUUUUUGUAUGAUUGAUUUUUGUGUUGAUAGGAUUGCAGAUAAGCCCUCCUCCUCGAGCAUAGUGUAAACCAUAGGCAUCUAUCCUACAACUUCUAUAAAUACCGAUCAUUUCUUCGAUCAAAGAAUCACACUUAUUCGAGACUACCUCCGCCAUGACUACCAAAUAUACAUUGUUCUACAAACGCGCUUUAUCCACUAGAUUUUCUUUACGCAUAUAUCAACCAAUCAAUACACUAACUAGAGCUUUAACUUUCAAAGUAACAAGGCAUAACCCAGAGCUAAUCCCUCCAACAAAGCCCACACCACAUGAAUUCAAGCCUCUCUCCGAUAUCGAUGAUGAAAAAGGCCUUUGUUUUCAAGUUCCAAUCAUACAAUUUUACCGUAUAAAUCCCUCCGUCAAAGUGGACCCCAUUGAGGUUGUCUGUAAAGCUAUCGCUAAGGCAUUGAUUUCCUACUCCCGUUUGCCGGGCGGCUAAGGGGACACGCCGCCAAGAAGCUGGCGCCAGAGUGCACCGGUGAGGGGGUUAUGUUCAUUGAGGUGGAUGUUGAUGUGGCGUUGGAGCAAUUUGGUGACGAGCUUCAGCCAUUGGUGUCGUGUCUUGAGGAGCUCUUUAUGAGGUGCCUGUUUCCGGUGGAAUCAUUAAUGCUUUGUGCUUAUCCAAGUAUGUCCUGGCAUAUAUUUAUAUGGCACUUUACAAAUAAGCUUAUCAAUGGGGAUUUAUUCAUCAAGGACCCAAAACAAAAAACCCUUUUACAAAAAAGUCCUCACAUCGUUCAGAGGUUUGUAAAACAUAAAAUAGCCCCACACAUUUUAAUAUGCUACAAUUUCGUCAUUUAAUUUAAUUUAACCUCAAUUUGACCCCGAAUUUCACAAAUUAUUCAAUUUUGACCCAAAACACAAUUUUGAAUACAAUUUCAUCUGUCGUCGUCGUUGCCCGCCAGUCUCAGGCGUUGACUGUUACGAUUUUUUUUAUUUCUUUAUUAUUUUUUUGAAUUUUUUGUUUCUUUAACAUCUUUUGCCCUCGUUUAAACAACAAUAUUUUUGUGAUUGACAGUAAUAUUAACUAUAUUACUGUUAAACUACAGUUUAACACAGUAAUAUUGCUAUAUUAAUCGCUAGCACAGUAAUAUUAACACAACAAAAGCCGUUAUUAUUGUAUAAUAGAGUAAUAGUAAUAUGUUGACCGUUUCAACAAAGGUAAACAUAAUAAAAAAUCAAAAGAAUUAUUAUUGAUGUAGUUGACAUUAAUAUUAUUGUAGCAACAGUAAUAUUACCGUCAACCACAAUAAUAUUGUUGUGUUUAUAGUAAUAUUACAAUAGUAGACAGUAUUACGUUACUCCGUCAACAACUCAAACAAAACAAAAAACCCAAAAAAAUAAUAAUAUUAAUGUGGUUGAGAGUAAUGUUAUUGUGUUUAGAGUUAUUUUAGUGUCAACGAUAAUAAUAUAACUACGUUGACUUGUCAACAAAUCAAACAAAAAAAAAGAGCCAAAAAAUAAAAAUAUUGUCGUUGACUGUAAUUAUACUGUCAACGACAGUACAAUGACAUAAAUGUACUGUCAACGACAUUACAAUUGUUUUAAUGUACUGUCAACAACAAUAUAAUUACGUUAAUGUACUGUCCAUGACAGUAUAAUUACUGUUAAUGACAGUACAAUUACGGUCAACGUUUAGCGGUGGGGGUAAAAAAACAGGUCCAAAUUUUAGGUCAAAAAAAUCGAAAAAGUCAACGCCAAUAAAUCCCUGACCAUUUAUUAUUAUUAUUAUUAUUAUUACUAGUAAUUGUACCCGUGCGAUGCACGGGACAACAAAUUGCAUUCUUUUGAUGUUGUAAGAAUAUAAACAAACGUUUGAUGUAUCGUAUGAUCGAAAUUCUAUUAUACUGGAACAUUAUUAAGUAUACUACACACAAAAAAAAAAAGGACAUAACUUUACUGUUGAAUAAUUUUCCAAAUGAAUUGAAUCAGCUAAUACCAGUAGAUUGAAAAUUUGAACCAGGAAAAAAAUCAUCAAUUAUGUCUUCCAUGUUGAGCUUAAAAGUAAUUAGAUUUAAUAACUAAGUUAACAUAAUCAAAACUAAACUAUCGACAACAUACCAUCGUAAAAGGCCAUCUAUACAUCUUGCAUCGGAACUAAGCCCUUCUCCACUGCCUCAUUUUAAGGUUGUUUUGCCACUGGAAUUAACAAUUGGAAAAUUAAGAAACAAAAAUAAAUAUAAACAAUAAAUUAAAUAUCGCAUACAAACAAUAAGUCUUGAAGGUCGACUUCCAAUAGCUUGUGGCUCCGCCCAUUUUUGGUUAAUUUUCUCAAAUCAUCCCUUUCAAUAACAUGUCCAAUAACAUAUAAAAUGAAAUAAUUGUUAUCCAUAAAAUUUGAAAACUUUGGUAUAAAUUAAUGAAACACAUAAUUUAACAAAAUGAAAUUACCUAUAAGCCAUGAUGGAAAAAGAUGUAAACUAAUCGCCACACAUGCAAUAGGAUGAAGAAGAAGAUAAGAAACAAAAUCUAAAGUCGGGUUACCAAAAGAAGAAGCCUUAGGUAGGGAAGAAAUAAAAUUCAAAUGUUGCAGACAUUCUGUAAAACGAUGACACAAAAUCCGCUAGGGAUGAAAAUCAGAUUUAUUUACCCUUUUCUGUAAAAAUCGAAAAUCAGAUUAUUAUAAAUAAUAUCUAGGAGAAUUUGAUGAAAAUCGAUAAUAAUAUUUAAAAUAAUAUUUCGGAGAUAAAAAUUUGAUAAAAAAAUCAAAAAAUAAUAUUUAGGAGAUAAAAAUCAAAAAUAAAAUUUAAAAUAAUAGUUAGGAGAUAAAAAUUUGAUAAAAAAUCGAAAAUAAUAUUUCAAAUAAUGUUAAUGAGAUAAAAGUUGAUAAAAUAUGAAAAUAAUAAUUAGAAUAAUAUUUAGGAGAUAAAAUAUGAUUAAAAUCAAAAUUAUUAUUUAAAAUAAUAUUUAGGAGAUAAAAAUUUGAUAACAAUCGAAAAUAAUAUUUAGGAGACAAUAAUCUGAUAAAAAACGAAAAUAAUAUUUAGGAGAUAAAAAACUAAUAAAAACCCCAUACAACUCGAAAAAAAUAUUUAAAAUAUUAUUUAGGAGAUAUAAAUUUGAUAAAAUUCGAAAAUAAUAUUUAGGAGAUAAAAAUCUGCUAAAAGUUGAAAAUUAUAUUUAAAAUUAUAGUUAGGACUUAGGAGAUAUAAAUUUGAUAAAAUUAAAAAAAUAUUAUUUAUAAUAUUAUUUAGGAGAUAAAAAUUUGAGAAAAAUAAAAAAUAAUAUUUAGGAGACAAAAAUCUGAUAAAAAUAAAAAAUAAUAUUUAAAAUAAUAUUUAGGGGAUACAAAUAUGAUAAAAUUCAAAAAUAAUAUUUAAAAUAAUAUUUAAGGAGAUAAAAAUUUGAUAAAAAUUGAAAAAAAAAUUACAAAUAUGACAUUAGGGUUUCUUAGGGUUGCCCUAGCGUUUCUUUCUUUUAUAUAUAAGAUAUCUAGGAGAAUUUGAUGAAAAUCGAUAAUAAUAUAUAAAAUAAUAUUUAGGAGGAAAAAAUUUGAUAAAAAAAUCCAAAAAUAAUAUUUAGGAGAUAAAAAUCAAAAAUAAAAUUUAAAAUAAUAGUUAGGAGAUAAAAAUUUGAUAAAAAAUCGAAAAUAAUAUUUCAAAUAAUGUUAAUGAGAUAAAGUUGAUAAAAUAUGAAAAUAAUAAUUAGAAUAAUAUUUAGGAGAUAAAAUAUGAUUAAAAUCAAAAUUAUAAUUUAAAAUAAUAUUUAGGAGAUAAAAAUUUGAUAAAAAUCGAAAAUAAUAUUUAGGAGAUAAUAAUCUGAUAAUAAACGAAAAUAAUAUUUAGGAGACAAAAAACUAAUAAAAACAUGAUAAAACUCGAAAAAAAUAUUUAAAAUAUUAUUUAGGAGAUAUAAAUUUGAUAAAAUUCGAAAAUAAUAUUUAGGAGAUAAAAAUCUACUAAAAGUUUAGCAGACAAUAAUCUGAUAAAAAACGAAAAUAAUAUUUAGGAGAUAAAAAACUAAUAAAAACAUGAUAAAACUCGAAAAAAAUAUUUAAAAUAUUAUUUAGGAGAUAUCAAUUUGAUAAAAUUCGAAAAUAAUAUUUAGGAGAUAAAAAUCUGCUAAAAGUUGAAAAUUAUAUUUAAAAUUAUAGUUAGGACUUAGGGGAUAUAAAUUUGAUAAAAUUAAAAAAAAUAUUAUUUAUAAUAAUAUUUAGGAGAUAAAAAUUUGAUAAAAAUAAAAAAUAAUAUUUAGGAGACAAAAAUCUGACAAAAAUAAAAAAUAAUAUUUAAAAUAAUAUUUAGGGGAUACAAAUAUGAUAAAAUUCAAAAAUAAUAUUUAAAAUAAUAUUUAAGGAGAUAAAAAUUUGAUAAAAAUUGAAAAAAAAUUAGAAAUAUGACAUUAGGGUUUCUUAGGGUUGCCCUAGCGUUUCUUACUUUUAUAUAUAAGAUAUCUAGGAGAAUUUGAUGAAAAUCGAUAAUAAUAUAUAAAAUAAUAUUUAGGAGGAAAAAAUUUGAUAAAAAAAUCCAAAAAUAAUAUUUAGGAGAUAAAAAUCAAAAAUAAAAUUUAAAAUAAUAGUUAGGAGAUAAAAAUUUGAUAAAAAAUCGAAAAUAAUAUUUCAAAUAAUGUUAAUGAGAUAAAAGUUGAUAAAAUAUGAAAAUAAUAAUUUGAAUAAUAGUUAGGAGAUAAAAUAUGAUUAAAAUCAAAAUUAUUAUUUAAAAUAAUAUUUAGGAGAUAAAAAUUUGAUAAAAAUCAAAAAUAAUAUUUAGGAGACAAUAAUCUGAUAAAAAACGAAAAUAAUAUUUAGGAGAUAAAAAACUAAUAAAAACAUGAUAAAACUCGAAAAAAAUAUUUAAAAUAUUAUUUAGGAGAUAUAAAUUUGAUAAAAUUCGAAAAUAAUAUUUAGGAGAUAAAAAUCUGCUAAAAGUUGAAAAUUAUAUUUAAAAUUAUAGUUAGGACUUAGGAGAUAUAAAUUUGAUAAAAUUAAAAAAAUAUUAUUUAUAAUAAUAUUUAGGAGAUAAAAAUUUGAUAAAAAUAAAAAAUAAUAUUUAGGAGACAAAAAUCUUAUAAAAAUAAAAAAUAAUAUUUAAAAUAAUAUUUAGGGGAUACAAAUAUGAUAAAAUUCAAAACUAAUAUUUAAAAUAAUAUUAAAGAGAUAAAAAUUUUUAUCAAAUUGAAAAAAAAUUACAAAUAUUACAUUAGGGUUUCUUAGGGUUGCCCUAGCGUUUCUUUCUUUUAUAUAUAAGAUUAUUAUUAUUAUUAUUAUUAUUAUUAUUAUUAGAGUAAAAAGCAGUUUGCCCCCUAAACUAAUGGCCAUUUUGCAUUUUACCCCCUAAACAAAAAAGUUUUGCACAAUUUUACCUAAACUCGUUAAUUUGUUGCAGUUUGCCCCUAAACCGAAUUUUCCGGCAAUUUUGGACGGAAAGUCAAACACGUGCAUUGCACGUGAAAUUUGCAGGGGUAAAUUCAUACAUUCUCUUCCAUUGUAUAUAUUAAAUAUUAAUUAAAUCAUUAACAUAAAAAAAAAGUAAAUAAAGAAAAAAAAGAAAAAAAAACAAAACCACCUGCAACAUCAUCUUCCCUCGCCCACCCACCGCCCGCGAUUUACCUAUGCACUCCAAAGCUCGAUCUUGCACCACCGAUAAAGACGGCGAAGAUCCUCUCUCCACCCUUGCCGACACCAACCGCCCGACACGCUCCCUAGUCCCUCCCUUUCCUCCGCCGCUUUCUCCUCCAUCUUCGCCGCCCUUAUCUAUUAUCUCUCCUCCGAUCCCAACUACGCCUCCACCAUAUAGCCUCCAAUGUCCACUCUCUCUCUCCGGUCAAAUCAUAAAUGUCCUCGAUUCUUCCUUAGUGAGAGAAAUCAAAAUCAUAAGUGUCCCUAUCACCAAUUCUCGCAGCCUCCGCAAUUUUACCCCAUUCUUGUUGAUGUUGAUCUUGUUCUUAGCACGUGCUUCCUUCUUAAAUUUCGCCGCUGAAGUUUUGAAGGGCUCCUUCGUCAGCCCAAGUUUCACGGCGUCGCCGACAAAACAGAGUAGGUUAACAAUGGGAUGGUGGGCGGUUGUGGGCUAGGGUUGUGGUCUGGGAUUAUUGGCUGGGAUUUGGGGGUGGGUCUUGUUGUUGAAUUCCGUUCUCAGUUGUUGUGCUGGAGUUGGUCAGGUAAAUCGCGGCGGCGGAAGUGGUGGGAAUUGGAGGCAGCUGUGGAGGAUAAAUGAACGGCAAAGAAGAAGAAAUAGAACAGAGGAAAUAAAAUGGAGAAUUAAAAAAAAAAAAAAAAAAAAAAAAAAAAAAAAAAAAAAAAGAUAAAAAAGGCAUGUGGCAGGUGUUUUGAUUUUUUCCUUUUUUAUGAUGAUUUUAUAUUAAUGCAUAGAAUUUAAGUAAAUUGACAAAUUUACCCCUGUAAAUUGCUGCACGUGCAACGCAUAUAAUUUAACAUUCCGUCCAAAAUUGACGGAAAAUUCAGUUUAGGGGGCACCGUGCAACGAAUUAAUGAGUUUAGGUAAAAAUGUGCUAAUUUUUUUUGUUUGGGGGGUAAAGUGCAAAACGGCUCUUAAUUUAGGGGGCAAACUGCUUAUUAUUAUUAUUAUUAUUAUUAUUAUUAUUAUUAUUAUUAUUAUUAUUAUUAUUAUUAUUAUUAUUAUUAUUUUGCAUUUUGUUAUUUUUUCUGAUUUGUUGAUAAGUCAACGUAAUUAUAUUACUGUCGUUGACGGUAAAAUUACUAUAAACACAAUGGUAUUACUGUCAACUAUAGCAAUUUAAUUUUUUUGCUUUGUUGUUUAGUUUUAUUUGUUGACCAAUUAACGUAAUAAUAUUAUUGUCUACUAUUGUAGUAUUACUGUAAAUACAAUAAUUUUACUGUGGUUGCGGUAAUAUUAUUGUUGUUACAGUAGUAUUACUAUGGAUGACAAUAUUAUUACUGUUAACCACAUUAAUAUUACUUCUUUUGGUUUUCUAAUUAUGUUUGUCCUUAUUGAAUGGUCAACAUAUUAAUAUUACUCUAUUAAACAAUAAGAGUGAUUUUUGUUGUGUUAAUAUUACUGUGAUAGAGAAUAACAUAGCAAUAUUACUGUGUUAAGAUGUAUAGUUAAUAUGCAUGUCAACCACAACAAUAUUGAUGUUUGAACGAGACAAAAAGAUGUUAAAGUAAAAAAUAAUUUGUUUUAAAAAAAAUGAAAAAAUCAACGCCGGAAAUCGGCUGAAAAAUCAGGAGAAUUUAAAAAAAAAAUGAAAAAGUCAACACCGGAGACCGGCGGAAAAAUAAGGAGAAAAGUAAAAAAAAAAAAAAAAAAAAAAAAAAAAAUGGUCCACGCCGUUUAAUUGAAUAUUUUGUGAAAUUUGGGGUUAAAUUGAUGUUAAAGUAAAUUAAAGGAUGAAACUGGAACAUAUUAAAAUAUGAGAAGGUAUUUUAGUCCUUUAUAAAGAAAUCAAUACCAUAAAUAAUUUCUGUUAAUAGCAUAGUAUUAAAAUAUACAUCAUUAAACAAAAUACAAUUUAAAAAAAAAAAUGCUUUUUUUCAUUUCAAUACCAAAAAUUAAAAAAAUGAAAAAAUUAUAUUCUUCUCCCCCAAACCCAAACUCAAACCCUCUCUUCUUCUUCAUCUUCUUACAAACCCUCCAAAAAAUCUCAAAACUCAAAAAAAUCAAAAACCUCACAAAACUUAUAAAAUGAAGUCACAACAAGACAAUAAAAUGGUGGUUUACAUGGAAGGAGAACCCAUUAAAGUAUGUAAUAAUGUCUUCUUUGAGCUUCAGGUUAGAUUUUUUAGUUUUUUUUUUUUUAAAUUCGCCUACAGUUUUCGAUACAUAUAGAUCAAAUUUUUGAUCAUUUUUCAACACCAACUUGUCGAAAAUUGCAUUAAAAAAAAAAUUCGACAUGUAUGUGUCGAACUUCAUUUUUUUAAUACAAUUUUCGACAAGUUGAUGUUGAAAAUUGACCAAAAAUCCGACCUGCAUGUGUCGAAUAACUAUGGCGGAUUUAAAAAAAAUCUUCAAAAUCGACUUUUAAGCUCAAAAAAGACAUGGAUACAUAUCUUAAUGGGUUCUCCUUGCUCGUAAACUACUAUUUUAUUGUCUUUUGACUCCAUUUUGCAUGUUGUUUAAGGUUUUGAUUUCUUUAGUUUUGAGAUUUUUUUAGCAGGGUUUGUUAGUAGGAGGAGGAAGAAGAAGAAGAAGAAGAAGAUGAAGAAGAAGAAGAGGAGGAGGAGGAGGUGGUGAGGGGUUUGUAAAGAGGGAGAUGGAGAUGGGUUUGAGAGGGGGUUUGUGUGUUUGGCAUUGAAGAAUGAAAAAUGACAUUUGUAAUGUAUGUUUGGUUUUGAUUUUCAUUUAAGGGUUUUGAAUAUUAGUAAUUGUUUUAACGGUAUAAAAAAAAAUGAAACAAGUAUCAAUUAAUGAAAAAACAAAUCAAUAUUCGAGAAGAUAAAAAAAUCCGAAAUUAAUCAUAAUAAUCAAGCGCCGCCUUGAUCUUUUUAACAGUGGCGCUGAUUAGGGUAUGCACGGUGGCAACCGACUCCAUAUUCAGUUGCGUUGUCAAUUGGCUGUGAAAAAUUAAUAUCCGGAAAGCAACUGUGAGAAGCGAGCCACCGCUACCGGUGUUGGAACUGGUUGAAGCUCCGUUGGUGCCUCUGCUAGUAGCACGGCCAUCGGUAGAGAUCACAAAACCCGACGGCAGAAUCGGUAUUUUCGUACUUGUGCUCUUCUUUUCUCGUCUUGGAAGAAGUUAAAGAGAUGCUCCUUGGAAAAGGGAAGCCAAAGCGAGGUAGCUGCGCUAACAAUGAAUCCAUCAGGUUGAUGAGGUCCGUUACUUUUUCGGAGCGCGACAUAAACUCCGCUAUUUUGAUAUUCCGACGGAUUGGGACAAUCGAGUUUAUCCGACAUGCACAGUUCUUCGAAAAAACUCACCACCAUUCUUUGGGAACCACAAACGAAGUCUCUGUACAGACGAUGAGUCGAUAACUUGUCGUCCACUUGUACAUGUUCAAUCCAUGUAACCUAUUCAAGAAAAAUAAUAUUCAGUAUGUAGACAGCGUAAAAGAAUAGAGUUAAUUGCAUUCGGCACCCCGUAUUAUAUCGAAUUGCUAAAAACACCCAUGAGUUCUGGCUCGAAACUCUAAAUCGACACAUAAUAUGAGAUAAAGAUGCACUUAAAAAGAAACAAAUGGGUUUUUAUAUAGAGAACUCACUGUUGAUUUUCCAUUUGAAAUAUCUUGAAUAAUACACCCUGAAGGAAACCUCCAAGAACGAGUGCGAACGGAAUCUUGGAGCUGUGUUAUGAAAUCGUAGGACACGUCCACCAACACCCAAGUGCUCGAAUUAAUUUGGCGGGAAUAUCGAAUGAAGAAAAAUUCUCGGGGAGCAACAAGUGGUGAUAAAAUGUGCAUUUUUUGAUACAUCUGCGCACCAAAAUAAGUCAAAACAUUCAAUUUUUUAUCCGUUCAGAUAUCCCGAAAAUAUAAUGAUAAUAAUAAUAAUAUGAAUUUUUUGAGGUCCUUCCCAAAUGUAACAAACCACCAAAUAUUCCAGUAUCGAUUGCUUCAAGGGUCGUCGCUUUUGUGACGAUAGUAGGAAAAAUUUCCUUCCAUUUGUUCUGCAAAUUAUUAGCAAAUAAAUUUUCACUUAAAAAAAAAAAAAACAAUUCCAAUGUGUAACAUACAUACCACAUCAACAAGCAUUUCGAUUAAAUGUGUGGCAGACAUUGCCACCUCGCCCGAAUCUUUCGAAGAUUCAAACCGAGCACUUGAAGUGUUGACCUGGUUUGACUUGGGGAAAAUCAUAUCAUAACUAUCUCGACGUAAAGUAUAUCUCCCAUGAUCCGAUGGAGCUUCGAACCACAGCGGCUCGUUCACACGUAACAGCUCCAGAAGUUCGUUCAUUGCAGCGACAGCUGUCUCGAUAAUGACAGAUUUAUCCACAUGUGUCAGGCUUGUUGACCAAUGUUGUGACAUAUAUUGUUGACCAGGUGCACUAGUACUGGGCUCGGUUCCAGCAAAAGGCAAAGCUGGAUUUCCGGUAUAAUUGGUGAAAAAGUUGACCGCUCGUUCGUACUGAAAAAAAAAAGUUUACGAAAAAACCGAUAAUUAAUAAAUGUCCAAAAUAUGCAUCUCAUAGUGAUUGCAGGUUUCUUGAAUAUAUGCUUUUACUCGUGCAAUUAAAUAAACUCGGACAUAAGUGGUUGCUAUACUUGCUAAAUACAGAAACGACGAAACUUUUCAUGUGCAAAAAGUAAAGAUCUCGAUUAUUUAGUAGAUAAUAUAUCGAUCGAUCAGAUCACCUCUUCUUUCCGACGUGCAUUUUCGAUUCUCAAUCUCUGCAGAUUUUGGCGUUUCUCUUCUUCACAAACACCUGAAUUAUUGCAAGAGGGACAAAAGGCGUUUUUCAGAACCUCGUGCAUCGAAAGGUUCUCGAAAUGAAUUCUUUGGUUCUCCGAGCGGAGGGAAUUGUUGUCUGCUCUCUCGUUUAGAGCCUACAAAACAUAAUAUACAAACAAGUAAAUAAAUCAUCGUAAAACGACCAUAGAAAACAAUUGCGUAAGAAUAAAGCACCUUCAUCUGAGUUCGUUUAUUUUGAAACCAGAACUUUAUCUGCUUUUGGUCAAGGCCGAGUUCUCUGCUCAAUUGUUGCCUCUGGUUCUUGUCCGGGUGCGGACAUUCGUUAUAGAAACUGCGUAAAUAUCAUAAAUCGGGAAACGAAAAAAUUUUAUAUAGAGAAAUUCUAUUUUAAGUGUCUCGUCUUUCGAAUGUACCGAGAAAUUUUCAGCCAUGCAAAUGAAGGUUUAUGAAAAAUCGAAAUGUAAAUGGAAUAAAAUUAUUUAGACAGAAAUUAAUCGUACGCCUCGAGCUGCUGAAUUUGUUCGGUAGUGUGACGGUGGUAUUGCUUCUUGCCCUCUCGUGAGUUGUAGUUUUCUUCAUCGCCCGAUCCAUUUCUUCUGUUAGACAAAUCCAUCUCUUCGUAUCAAACACAACAGCUCUUUUUUUAUUCCUAACAACACACAAAAAAAAAUUAUUAUUAUUCAUUAUAUAUAUACAACAAAUUCAUAUAGAAACCGAAAAAAUGGACUCACCUAAGUCGAAAAACUCUGUAAAACACAGUAUGAGUAAAAAACAAUAUUUACACAUACUCUGGAAAACACAGUAUGUGUAAAUAAUUCUGCUAUAUGAAAAUAUGGUUGUCUUGGACUCAAUAUAUAGCUUGACCUAAACGAGAGGUAACAAGCAAAAAAAGAAUUCUAUGACGAUAUUCGAAAUAAUUUCAGAUACGAGAUACCCUACUGAAUGUGGACGGAAUCUCAGGGUCAACAGAAUCCUGCUGAAUAGAAAAUAUAUACAUCAUAGAAUAUAAUUUAUGUCUUUAUUUGAAAUAUCAAAUGCAGAUUCUAAUGAUUAAAUAAUGAUUAUGAAUGUAUAGCAGUAAUUCAAAAGUUUCCUUUUAUUCAAUUAGCUUAUAUGGAUUGUUAAUGAAUUUAGUAAUUGAUGGUUUGAAUAACAUUUACUCAGAAUCUGUCAUUUUUUGAUUCUGAUUGUUCUUAUCUGCAACGAGACUGAAGACAGAUAACUUAAUCAACACGAAAAGAAAAAAUACAUAUAUCGCGUAUUCGUUGUCAUGAAUUCAAUAUUACGGAGAAGACCUCAGUUUCCUAAAACGAACAAUUUAUAUACACUACUAAUAAUCACAGAGAAGACCUCACUUUCCCUCAGUUUCAUAUUGCUGAGAGUGCUAAUCGGUUAUUCGUCGACAUUACGCACCUUGUAAACAAAGUUAUUUCCUUUCUUUUUCUACUAGUUCAUCGAGAAAAAAUAAACAUGCCUGUAUAUAUAUAUAUAUAUAUAUAUAUAUAUAUGGCCUUCGACGUCCUAAAAUGAAAAGGUUGAAUAAAAGUUAAGGUUUAGUACCAACAAAUGAAUCAUUUAACAUCAUGGUCCAUCUAAAUUGAUACAUUUAUUUCCUCGAUGCUCCAUGCACGUAAAUUGGGAACAAGAACUUCCUUCUUUCUAUUAAAUAACAACUCAGUCCAUUCAGUUUCAAUUAAAUAUACUAUUAGUUCCAACAUAUUAUGCUGGAGUACUUUACCUCGGAAUAUCUAUUCCGAGGUGUAAAAGAUAAUAACAAGAUCUUAUGCUAUCAUACCUUCAAUAAUUGCAAGUUAGUAACUAAAAUUAUGAAAAAAAUGAAUUUGAGCCAUAUUUUUUGACGACUUUAUACCAGUCGAGUUGUCUGAACCUCCGACGAUCAAGCCCUUCGUUUCAUGCAAGGUCACAAAGAGUAGCAUAUAUUCUCUGAUUCUUGCAUAUACCCUGCACAAAUAAUACCUAUAUCAUUUAGCAAAAUUUAAUUACUAAUUUACGGUGAAACAUUGAAAUCUAAUCACAUCCCACAAAGAAAAAUGUAUCAAUAAACAUAUUCCCAAUCGCGAAGCACUUCGGCAAGCAACGAAUAAUCGAUCGGGGUUUCAGCUGAUGGAAGUAGUUUUAUUCGAAUAUCAAUCACGUAACGAGUAAUUAUUGCAGUAAAAUUAUCACUAUCUAAGGAAAAAACACGAGUUAGUUCUUGAAAACAUCUAUUAAUAGACAUUUACGAACCUUGUGAACGAAGUUAUUUUCUUUCUUUUUUCUACUAUUCAUUAAGAAAAAUAAACGUAGUUAGAUAAAUAUCUCAUUCGACUUUCCUAUAACGAACAAUACGUAUACAUUAUCUCCAACAUGGCUUUAAUUAAUCAUUAAUUAACAUCAUGCUCCUUGCAUGAAAAUCGGGAAUAUACUUCAUUUAAACUAUCCCUUAGUCCAUUCAAAUUUCGAUUAAAACUAACAGUACGAUACACUAUGAGUUCCAAUAUAGUAUGCUGAAGUCUAAUCGUAAGGUGAAAACGUAAAAACCUAAUCCCGAGAUAUAAUUAGUCUAUCAAAUUUAUCAAAAUUUCACUAUUAACCUAAUUAAGGUGAAACAUUGAAAUCUAAUCUCCUCCGACGUAGAAAAAUGUAUGCAAUAUCCGCAUCAAUAAAUUCUCGAUGACGAAGCACUAACGACACGUAACGAAUAAUCGAUCGGGGUUUCGGUUGAUGGAAGUAGUUAUAUUCGAGUAUCAAUCAUGUAACAAGUAACUAUUGCAGUAAAAUCAUCACUACAUAGGGCAAAAAAAACAAGCUAGAAAUCAAAACUAACAAUGGAACUUCAAAUUAGGGAGAUAAAUUGCAGAAGAGCUCGAAAUGCCCAAAGGUACAACCUGUUGCAGAGCUAUGUACAAACAUCAAGCAGCAUUUUGCCCUCUUUUUUCUUCACUUCUUCGCUUUUUAUUUUUCUUUCCCAUCUCCCCCGCAGAGAAGAAACCAAAAAAAAAACAAAAAAUUAGUACGCCAAUAGGGCAAGGGCUGGGCCACCGUUCUGGCGGCGUCCAAUAGGCAGUUUUCAGCACUGCGCCGCCGGUCAGCCUCAUCUCCGGCUGCCUCAUCUCCGACCUUGUUCGACAAAUGAAUUGCUAUUUUCCAGACAUCGCAAAAAAACUUAAUCGUUUUGAGCAACAUUCUAAAACUCUAUUAUAAAGCUAGGUUGCGGUUAUAUGCAAGACUAAUUCCACUUGUGCAAGACCAAAUUAAAAUUUUUAAUGUAUAAAUACUAUAAUACCCUUAUUUAUUAAAAAAAUAAAAAAUUCCAAAUAUGCAAGACCAAAAAUUCAAAAACACAAAAAAUCCUAUCACAAGACUACAAAACCACAAGACCAACUCUCAUCUUCUCCAUCUUCCAAAAUCCACAAGACCUUUCUACUUCCUCCUCCAUUAACCCACAAAACCUAGAAAUUCAAAAUCAUCAAAACUCAACAAAUCUUACAAAGAUGGCAAGUAUGGAGUCAGAAGACAUCACAAUAGAAGAUUUUACGAUGGAGGAACCCAAGAAUGUAUGCAUUUAUGGGUUUUUUUAGCUAGAAUAUUGAUUUUCCAAAAAAAAUCCCGCGCAAACGAAUUCGACAUGUACAGGUCGAAUUUUACAGGUAAAAAUCGACAUUUAGAUGUCGAUUUUGAGGUAUAAAAUUCGACAUUUGAAUUUGUGCUAUAAAUUCGACAUGUCAAUGUCGAUUUUUACCUAUGAAAUUCGACGGUUAAGUGUCGAUUUGUAGCAUAAUUUUUCGACACCUUAGUGUCGAUUUUUGUUUUUUUCUCAUUAUUUGUAUUUGGUCUUACAUGAGAAAAAAAAAAGUCAAUUUAAUUUAUGGGCAUACUUGUCAUUCCAUCUUAAUAAAAUAGAAUCUUUUGGAAUCUUUCUUUAAUUUGGUCUUGCACAAGUGGAAUGAGUAUUGCAUAUAACCGCAGCCUUAAAGUUAUUAUUGUUUUUCUUUUUUCUUUUUUUUUAAAUCCGGGAAAAUUAUAGUUUUCGUCUAUCAAGUUUGCAUCAAUUUCACUCAAAAAAAAUAUACAUUUGGUCCCUCAUGUUCUAAUAAUUUAACACUUUUGGUCAUUUCCGUCAAUUUACCGUUAGUCCGUUGGUUAAGAAAGUUAUGGAAUAUGUUUCAUCCCGAUUCGUUAGUUUUUACGGAAAAUUGACGGAAAUGAAUAAAAAUGUUGAAUUUUUUUAAAGGGACAAAUGUGUUUUUUGUGAAUAUGGGGUACCGAAUCUGAAAUCGGUGCAAAUUUGAAGGACGAAAACUGUAUUUUUCUCUUUAAAUUCCAAGAGGGACCAAAACCCAUCCAUAUCAUCGUCAAAAAUAAAAAUACCGUUAUCUAUAAAUUAAUAUAGUUAUGACUGAAUAAAUUCUAUUAAUUUAAUGAAAUAUUAAACUAUCGAACUAAAAUUUUAUUAUGUUUUUACUUAAUGGGGAUGAGAAAAAACUAUUAUUUAAGCGACGUUAUUAAUUUAUCGAAGUCCUACUGUAAAAUAAAGUUUUAUUUCUAAUGAAGUAAGCAAAUCGGAUCUCCAUAUCGAAGUUCAACUGUAAAACAAAUUCUCUUUUGGAGACCAAAAUGGAGACCAAAAUGGAGACCCGAUAGAAUUAGAGUUUCUAAAAAACAAAACUCCACAAUAGAAGGCUUUAUAAUUUUGAGUCUCUAAAUCAUAUUACGGAUUAUUUUAUAUAGUAGUUUAUUAGGGCUCAAAUUUCAUGCAUAUACGAGGUUGUAGAUAAUUUUUUUUUUAAUAGUCUUAAUUAUUUUUAAUACAUAUUUCGAUCCAAAAAAUUAAAAAAUUCUGAAAAGGAUAUGAAAUGUUGAACUACAACCAUUGAAUAUGAUUUUAAUUAAAGUAUUUGUAACCACCACUAAUUUCCACCGCCUUUCACCCCAAACGGUUUUUUUAUUUUUUACUCUCAUUUAAACCUAAUUCAGUACAAUAUAGCACGCCCCUCCUCCCUCAAUUUCCUUUUUCUCCCUAUUCUUCAACACGCUAGAAACAGAGAGGAAAAAAAUUAUAUUACAAGUUUCUUCAAGUAUUGACAGCCAACUCAACCCUCUACUUCUAAUUUCUUCAAUUCUCAUUCACAGAACCAUAAAUUCAAUCAAAUUCCCCUAAAAUUCUACAAGCAUUGGAGAGAAAAGAAAAAGAAAAUAAAACUCACAAUCUGAAAAUUUAGAAGUGGUGAAAAUGAUGAAGAACAAUUAAUUAAAGGUAUUUAUGCUUUUUUUCUUUUCUUUUUUCUUACUGUUGAUAACCAACGAUCAAAUUUGCAAAUCGUUCAAAUAUUAAUUUUUAUUUGAAAACAAAAUCGAAAUCUAAAUGCAAGAAAUUGAGUCUUGUUUGAAGUUGGGUCUCAUAAAAUAUGAGUCUCCAAACAAAGACCUAUAUGUAGGAACAAGUCUGGAGAUUUGCAUCGAGGCCCUCUAUAUUUCUUGUUGGUAUUGGAUUUUCUACCACAGUCUCCAUAUUGUGCAGCCAAAUGGAGUUUGCUUACGCGACUGGAAAUGUCCUAAAUCCUAAUAGCCUAAAAGUGGCUUAGUCGGAAUAUUAGGAUCGAUCGGCAAAAGACAAAAGUUUGCCGUCCAACAAUGAAAAUCAAAGGCUAGAGUACCAAUUUUAGCGAACAAACUAUCAAGUUUUCGCACAUCAUGUUAUUUUUAAGGGGAAAUGUGGGAUACUCACUAAUUUUGAAAAUAUAUAUGGAUAGGUCCUAUGGAUUUUUCUUUCCUAGUCAAAAACUCAAAUUCUAAUCUUAAUUUGACAGCCCCCCCUAGACAAGUUGAAAUACCUGUUUUACUCUUUUAGUUACAAUUCAAACCCUAACCCAUAUUUUCUUUUUCCACAAACUCUCUCAGCCGUUAUUCUCACUCUUUCUCCCUCUUUUUCUUCUUUCUCUCUCUAACUCUCUCUCUCUCUCUCUCUCUCUCUCUCUCUCUCUCUCUCUCUCUCUCUCUCUCUCUCUCUCUCUCUCUCUCUCUCUCUCUCUCUCUCUCUCUCUCUUUCUUCUUUCUCUCUCUAACUCACUCUCUUUCUUCGGCACACAGCUCUCCGCGGCCACCUCGGCUCCCUACCGCCUUGCGUCGCCCAUCGUCGUUGCUUCCCCCACCUCCUUGCGCCACCGACGUUGCUCUCCCACAGCCUUGCGUCGCCGCCCCUGCUCCUCCACAACCUUGCGCCGCCGCCACUUUACGCGUGCUCGAUGCAAUCGCCGCCUUGAAUCACCCGUCCAAAUCGAAUAUACUCGGUGAUGCCAAAAACAUGAUGGAUGAGGGUUUGUUUGUUUUAAAUUCGUUUUAGAUCUUUUUCUACUUCCGUUUGAAGAAAUGGUUUCUACGUUAUUGUUUUAGUUUCUUCUCUCUUUUUUAGGGAUGGGUCGAACCAGAUCUAUUAUUUCUUAUAAAAAAAAACACAGAUCUACUAUGUUUUUCAAGAUCUGUGAACAAUUAAUAUUAAUAUCUUUUUUGUUGCAUUAAUUUGAUUUUUUAUUUUGUUUGAUUCUUAUCUUGUUCAUUUUUGUUAUAAUUCAAAUGUAAUUUAUUUUUUUGUAUUUAUUUGAAGAUGACCCGAAAUACCUUAAGUGUAAGAGCUUUGUUUGUCUGUAAUAGAAACUUAAUCAGUAGUGGUUACUUAGUGUUUCAGGUGAAUAUACAGUUAUAUGUAGUCAUAUGCAGUCAUAUACAGUCAUGGCUACAUAUAAACUAUACAUGACUAUACAAUUUGUAAUAUACUAUAGUCAUUUGUAGUCGAUUUCAAUACGGUAUAUUUAUCGGAAAAAAAACAAAAAAAUCAUUGUUUUUUUGUAUUUUUUCAUGUCAUAUAAUUUGCAUGUUCCAUUUUGCUCUUUAACUCGUAUUUUUUUGUCGCGGGUUUUGCUAUUUGUAUAAUUUUAUGAGAUGCAGAGAAUAAGAUGUGCCGAAGUGCCUUGUGAAGUUGGAUUCAUACUGCAGUAGUCUAGACUUUAUGUUAAUAUAGAUAACUAUCAAUAAUUGUAGAUAACUAUAGUCACGUGUAGUAACAUAUAGUUAUAUAUAUGCUAUGUGUUUUUUAAUGUAUAGUAAUGCGUGUUCAUGUUUGAAGAUAAUAUACAUGUGAUUGUGUUUUUUCAUUUUUUUUUUGGUUAGUUGAUUUAUAAUACCAAGAUUUAAAUUGUGAAUUUUGUUGUUGGUGUAGAUAAUUUUGGGGUAAAAAGAUAGUAAGUACAUAAAUACAUAUAACUAUACAUGACUGUGGUAUACUAUAGUUACGUGUAGUAUACUAUAGUCAUGUGUAGUCAAUUCCAGUACAGUAAACUUUUCAAAAACAAAUCUUACAAAAAAAAUUUAAAAAAAAAUUAAAAAAAUCAAAAAAUUAAAAAAUUAAAAAAUAACUAAAAAAUUAAAAAAUAAAAGAAAUAAAAAAAAUAAAAAUAAAAAACAAAAGAUGGUAUAUAUAAAAAAUAAACAUUUUUAUUUUUUAUUAAAUUAAUAAAUAAAAAUGAUAAAUGCAGGCCCAAAAAUGCUAAAUGCGGUUGGGCAUAUGUUGAAUGCAGGGGCGAAAAUACUGAAUGCAAUCAGCCGAAAAUUGCAAUUAAGGGCACAAUAGUACUUUUGUCUCUCUAGGGGGUAUCUCAAAGGAAGAAUUUUAGGGGUGGACCUAUCCGUAUAUAUUUUUCAUUCUAGGGGUCUAUAUCAAAUGGACCCUAUUUUUAAACAAUUUUAUAAUUUUGGUAUGCAUUUGGUUAUUUGUUGAUCCACUCAUAAAUUAAGGCCAAUAAUAAUUGGGCACUUUACAAAUAAGUCUAUCAAUGGGUAUUUAUUUAUAAGUGAGUUCAAAUAAUAAACUCUUUUGCCUUUGAUUAAAAUAUAGUUGAUUUUGUCUUUUUUUUAGUUGUGAUUCGUUAUUUUUAGUAGUCAGAUUCUUAAUCGAUUAUGCUUCACAAGAGAUUAAUAUAUCUGAUAGAGAAAAAAAAUUAAAAACAAAAAAGAAAAAAAAAACUUUCAAAAGUUUUUACUUAAUCGACUAUGUUUCGUAAUCGAUUUUCCUUAAUCGACUAUGCUUCAUAGUCGAUUAAUAAAACUGAUAGAAAAAAAAGGCUAAUGACCAUUGCAUGAUGCAAUGAUGAUGUGGGCACGUGACCCAAUGAUAAUGUGGCGGACGGAGGUAAAUUGGAAAUAAUUAUAGUUGGAAAUGAGUGUGGGUUUUGUCAAAUGAAGUAAAAUAUUUUGGACCUCUCCCUAUUAAAAGAAGUAAUGGGGGUCUACAUCCCUCCAUAGUCCAUCAAAUACUUGUUCGGCCAAGGGAUGGGGGCCCUGGGGCAAAGGAUUUCACAUUUUAGUGCUAGUAAUGAGGUUUUUUUUUAGAUCGCCUAUAAUAAUUAGGAUUUUUCUAGCGUCUGAUAGCUCAAAAACUCGCUGAGGUCAGAUACCCCCUAUAUUACCAUUCAUUUAAAUAAGUGUUCUAAAAAUCGGCCAAGGCGGUCGAUUAAUCGGCCACCGAGGCGAAGGUGGUCCAAAACCUUUACGAUUUUAGUGUAAAUGUUUGAAAAAUCGGUUUUUGACCUUUGAGGCGGUCCGAGGCGGUCUGAAGCGGUAUGAGACGGUCCGAGGCGGUCAAACCUUUAAGGUGAGUCAAAUUUCGGUAGCAAAAAUCGCAAAAAUUCUGUCAAAAAUCGGUUUUUUUUUUUUUUAAUCAAAAUAAAAGUUGGGAUUUUAAUAAAAAACAAAAUAUGAGUUUAUGCUUUAUUUUGUUUUUAAUUAUUAUUGUUACAAAACUAGUGAUGUAUGCCAAGAAUGUAUGUAAAUUCAAAAAAAUUGCCUUUUUAUUUAUAUUUUAUAAGGAUAUUUAUGUAUUAUGAUCUUAUAAUUAUUAAACUUUUAUUAUGUUAUUAGAAUAUAUACAUGAUGGAGAUAUAACUAUGUUUAAAUAUUUUUUAUCUAUGUUUUGAGUAUUUAUAAAUAAUAUCUACAAAUAUAUUAUAUUAAAUUUUAAAAACCGAUUUAUUUGCGAUUUAUCACCGAUUAACCACCGCCGCACCAAUUAAUCGUGAGUCGGUCCCUGACCGCCUCCGACCCGAUUAUCACUUUUUACAACCUUGUUUUAAAUAGAUCAGAUCUGAACCGUUGAAUCAAAAAGUGAUUUUGGAUUUCCUAGAAAAAUAAAUAAAAUAAUAAUUUUAGCAAUUACGAAUCUAUCCUUCUCACUUAAAAUUAUUUAUUACAUUAAAAUAAAAUAAGUUUAUAUGUAAUAGUCUAUUCUACCCUCAAUUACAUUCACUGAAAUUCAAUUUCAGCCCACAACUAAUUUUUCUUAUCUCAUUAUACUUCUUUUGCUCAUCAUUUUCCACUCUCUUCUUCCACAUUUUUCACAGGGUUUUUGGCAUUUUGCACUCUUAAAUUACACCCUUUUGGUACUUUGCACUCUUAAAUUGCAAAAUUGGCAGAUUGCACCCUUUAAAUAUAAAUUAUUUGGCACUUUGCAGCCCAAAUAACUUUUGGCUUAGAAAACCUACCUGCAACUUACUGGAAAUCUAGAAGAUGGGAGAAUUCAUAAUUUUCUUAUUAUCUAUCCUCUUCCCUCAUUCUUAAUCACUGUUCCACCAUUUUUAUCUUUCGUCCCUUCAAUCAAAAAAUCCUAAAAAAAAUUUAGCCAUUUCUUUCAAUGGUAAAAUCGGUAUAAACACUAAACAAUAAUAGUAAAUCACAUUUUUUUUUCUUUGUAUGAAAAAUAAUGUAACUGGAAAUUUUAGGGUGAGCCCUCAAAUUUUUUUUUUUGAAUAGUCAAAUGAUAAAAUAAGAUUACUGAGAAGUUUAUUUGGUAGUGGACAGGUGGUGCAUAUUAGUUUCAUGAUGCAAAGAUUUUUGUACUCCCAUUGAAUAGUUUGGAUCUGCAAAAUUAUUAAAAAAAAAUAGCGUUACCAUGGAAUAAAACUUGAUUUUUUGAAGGUGUGUUAUCGGACUCUUUUCUGUAUAUUCCCGACCAUUCUUGAGUUUUAGUUCAGAAUUUACAUAUUAUGGCAAAUAGAAACGGGUAAGAAGAAUUUAGGAUUUUUUGAUUAAUAUGACGAAAUAUAAAAAUUGUGGAACGAUGAUUAAGAAUUGGGGGAAGAGGAUAAAUAAUUAGAGAAUUGCGAAUUUGUCCAUCUUUCAGGUUUUCAACAAGUUGCAGGUAAUUUUUCCAAGGCAAAGGUUAUUUGGGAUGCAAAGUGCCAAAUAAUUUAUGUUUGAAUGGUGCAAUCUGCCAAUUUUGCAAUUUAAUGGUGCAAAGUGCCAAAAGGGUGUAAUUCAAUGAUGCAAAGUGCCAAAAACCCUUUUUCACAAUAUAACGGCACUCAAGAACCGAGCUUUCAAAAUCUGAGUUCCAAUGAAAUCUUCACAAAUUUGAGAUUUAUUUAGAAUAAUGUUCUAUCUUUAACCAAUUUAUACUGUUAGAACCCUAAUUCAGAGUUCAUAUCAGGAGAGAGAAUCGAAGAAUGAAGAAGAAGAAAAACUGUUAUUGAAAAAUCUGGAAAAAAGUGUUUUACAACGGUAACAAAAUCAGCUUUAAAUAGCUGUUACAAUAACUACCUAAAAGUGCUAAAAGGAAGAAAAAUACUAAUAAAAACGUGAUAUCUAAAACACGUUUUAUUAAGAACAGAAAGACAAUAUGAUAAAUGCUAUACAAAAAUUACUACAUAUAAGAUACAAUAUCUACAUAUCCAAUAUCCCCCCCUCAAGAUGGACUUGAACAAGCAUAAAUGUUGAGAAAAGCCAUCUUGGACAACAAAUGGGAAAAAGCAGGAAGAGGCAAUGCUUUGGUGAAGAGAUCUGCAAGUUGAUCACAGCUCUUAACAGGCAUGAGUCUGAACUUCUUUUGUUUAACCUGCUGCCUGACAAAAUGACAAUCAAUUUCUAUGUGCUUAGUUCUUUCAUGAAAAGUUGGAUUAGAGGCAAUAUGAACAGCAGCCAAAUUGUCACAAAAAAGCAAAGUAGAUGGUGGAACAGCUUGAAAAUCACAUAGCAGCUGGAGAACCCAAACCAGUUCACUAGCUGUGGUAGCUAGAGCUCUGUAUUCUGCCUCUGCAGAAGAUCUUGAAACAGUGACCUGCUUUUUGGAUUUCCAAGAGAUCAAAGAAUCACCCAAAAAAAUACAAAAACCAGUAGUAGACUUCCUUGUAUCAAGACAAGAUCCCCAAUCAGCAUCUGAAAAGCCUUUGAUUAUAAGGUCUGAAGUAGAUGAAUAAAAUAAACCUUGACCUGGAGCUGCUUUAAGAUAUCUUAAAAGAUGAUGAACAGCCUGCAUAUGUGAAGUACGAGGAGCAGAAACAAAUUGACUAAGUUUAUGAACAGUAUAAGCAAUGUCUGGCCUAGUAAUGGUAAGAUACAGCAGCCUGCCAAUGAGUCUUCUAUAAGCUGAAGAAUCUGCCAGUAAUUCACCAUUUUCAGAAGCAAGUUUCAAUUUAGGAUCCAUGGGUAAGGUAACUGGCUUACAGUCUGUAUAUUUAGUAUCAGCAAGAAGAGUGAGAGCAUACUGCCUCUGAGAAAUAAAAAUACCAGAGUGAGACCUUGCAAUUUCAAUACCCAAAAAGUAUUUCAUAGGACCAAGAUCUUUAAGCUUAAAUUUAGUACUCAAAACUUGCUUGAAACCUGCAAUAUUAGCAGAACUAGGACCAGCAAUGACCAUGUCAUCAACAUAAAGUAACAAGACAAUAAAAGAAGAGCCAGAACCUCUGGUAAACAAAGAAUAAUCAUUUUGAGAUUGAACAAAACCAAGAGCCAAAAUAACCUCAGUAAACUUAGCAUUCCAUUGCCUGGAAGCUUGCUUAAGCCCAUACAAAGACUUAUGUAACUUACACACUAAAGAAGAAGAAGAACCUGAAGAUGUAGAGGUCUGAAAGUACCCCAAAGGCAAAUCCAUAUAGACUUCUUCAUGCAAAUCUCCAUUGAGGAAAGCAUUAUUAACAUCCAGUUGAUGCAGCUCCCAACCAUGAACAGCAGCUAAAGCAAGCAAAACCUUAACAGAAACAAGCUUAACAACAGGUGAGAAAGUAUCAAUAUAAUCCACACCUUCUAGUUGAGUAAAACCUCUAGCUACCAACCUAGCUUUAUACCUGUCAAUAGAACCAUCUUGCUUUCUCUUGAGCUUAUAUACCCAUUUACAACUAAUAGUAUGUUUAUCAGGAGGCAAAGGAACAACAGACCAAGUGUGAUUGGCCUCAAGAGCAUCAAGCUCUUCUCUCAUAGCAUCAACCCAUUGAGGAUGCUGAACAGCUUGUUUGUAAGUAUGAGGUUCAGAAUCAUGAGCAAGAUUAAGAACAAAAUGUCUAUAAUCACUAGAUAACUUGUCAUAAGACAAUACAGAAGCAAUAGGGUAAAGAGACUUAUGCAACCCAAAACAAGCAUAAUCAGUCAAGUAUGAAGGAGGCUUAAUCUGCCUACCAGACCUUCUAGGCUGAGAAGGAGAAGGAGAAGAUAUAGGAUCUACAUAAGGCUCAGUGGGAACAGCAGACAGAGGAAUAGACUGAGAAAGAGGCACAAUAGGCUGAGAAUCAAACACAGAAUCAAUGGAAGAAUGAGGAAUAGAGACAAAAGGAAACUGAUCCUCAUGAAAUAUCACAUCUCUAGAAAAAAACACUUCCCUACUAUUAAUAUCCAAGAGUUUAUAACCUUUAACACCAGUAGGAUACCCAAGAAACACACAAGGCCUUGCUCUAGGUUGAAACUUAUCUCUGGCAGCAGCCAAGGUGGAAGCAAAAGACAGACAACCAAAAACCUUAAGAGAAGUAUAAUCAAAAGGAGACUGAGGAUAAAGAAUACUGUAAGGAGAAACAUUGUGUAAGAUUUUAGAAGGAAUACGAUUAAUAAGAUAAACAGCAGUACUAACACAAUCACUCCAGUACUCAACAGGAAUUUUGGACUCAAAAAACAAAGAACGAGCCACAUUCAAAAUGUGCUGAUGUUUUCUCUCAACAAUAGCAUUCUGCUGAGGAGUUUGCACACAAGAAAACUGAUGUAAAAUGCCCAGAUGAGCAAACAAAUGAUUAAAAGACAACUCUGGAGCAUUAUCAGAACGAAACACUUUAAUGGUCUUACCAAAUUGAGUCUGAACCAUAGAAAUAAAACGAGGAAUCACCACUAAAGCAUCAGACUUAGAAUGAACCAAAUGAACCCAUGUAUACCUGGAACAAUCAUCUACUAUAGUAAUGAAAUAUUUAAAACCAUUAUAAGAAGGAACUUUAUAAGGGCCCCAAAUGUCACAAUGAAUGAGAUCAAAAACAUGAUCAGCAACAUGAUUAUGAGAAGGAAAAGAAAGUCUCUUUUGUUUAGCAACAGGACAAACAUGACAACAACUGUCUUUAGGAGGAGCAAAACCAGAAGAUACAGGAAGAAAAGCUUUUAAAAACAUCAAUUUCUUGAAAGGAACAUGACCUAGUCUCUUAUGCCAAACAGUGGCAGAAACUUGAUUACAAACAAACACAGAAUUACAAGCAGAUAUUGAAGGAGGUGGCAGAAAAGGAGGUGAAUCCAAAACAUAAAGUUCCUCAACUUUUCUACCCCUGCCAAUCAUCUUGAAGAACUUGUCCUGUAUGACAAAAUUAAAGGCAGAAAAACCAAUAAAAAACUGAGUAUUUUGAAGAAAAGCACUCACAGAAAUGAGAUUAAACUUGAACUGAGGAACAUAAAAAACCCCAGUAAGAAAUAUCUCCUUAGACAAACGAACAUCACCCACAAAAGACACAAUUAACACAGAAGAAUCAGGUAAAAGAACCCUGAAAUUACUAACAGGCCUGAUAUUAAUGAACAACUGUUUAUCAUGACAAAUAUGUUUAGAAGCACCUGAAUCUAAAAUCCAAUCAGCAGAUGACAAAGAAGGAACACCAGAUAAAGCACAAAUACCUGUCACACAAGAAACCGUAGCUGUAUCAGCUCCAGCUCCAGGAACAGAUUGUGGCUGAAAAGAAGCAGCAGAUUGUUGCUGUUGAGCAGCCAUGUGGGAAGAAAACAUAGACAUGAACUGCUGACACUGAGAAGGAGUCAUUGACUGAAGAUAACCAUCCACUUGUUGAGAGCUUACACCUGUAUCUGAAGAAUGAGAAUCCAAAGAAGAAUCAAAACCAGAAACCUGAUUAGCAUGAGAAACAAAACGAGAUUUCUGUGGCUUAUAAGAUGGGGGAUAUCCAUGAAGUUUGUAACACUUCUCCACCGUGUGACCCUGCAUAUUGCAAUGUGUGCAGAAACUGCGUUCUCUCUUCUUUAAACCAGGAUUGUAGAACUGGUUAUUAAUGGACCGCUUAAACCCCUCAUUCUUGACAGAAAAAACAGAUCCAGAAGAAUCAACAUGUGAAGAGACAACUGAUCUCUGACGCUCUUCUUGAGAAAUGAAUGCAAACACCUUAGAAAUGGGAGGAAGCGGAUCCAUAAGCAAGAUUUGACCACGAGUGGAAGCUAGACUGUCAUUCAAUCCCAUAAGAAAACUCAUGACAUACUCUUGAUUAUAAUGAGCCUGUAACUUUUCAAAACCCCCACAAUCACAUUUGCCACAGGAACAACACGGCCUAUAAUUCGCCAACUCAUCCCAAAUUGCCUUGACCUUAGUGAAAUAUACAUUCACUGACUGACUACCUUGGGUAAGAUUCGCCAAAUCACGACGCAAUUGAAAUAUGCGAGGGCCAUUUGUCUGUGAAAACCUAGUUUUUAGAUCAUCCCAAAUUUCUUUUGCCGAAUUCGAGUACAUAAUGCUACCUUGAAUGUCCUUGGAAACCGAAUUGAUAAUCCAAGACAUGACAAUAUUAUUAUUCCGAAUCCAAGCAUUACGCAUAAUCAACUCAUCAGCAGCAGGCUCCGAAAUCGUGCCAUCAAUAAACCCAAUUUUGUUCUUCACCGUUAAUGAAAUAGUCAUGGCUCGCGACCACGAAGCAUAAUUGUCUUCCGUCAAUAGCUGCGAAACCAGAAUCAAAUUCGGACCAUCCGACGGAUGAAGAAACAUCGGAUGCGAAACAUCAUCCAACGGAGAACGAGCUGGUGGCGCCAUGGAUUAUAAACACCAGAAACAGCAAUCGAUACAAGAGAUGAACAAUAAUCACGCGGAAACGAGAAAAAAAACCGACCAGGAGAUCGAAUCAAUUGAAAACUGAUACCAUGUUAGAACCCUAAUUCAGAGUUCAUAUCAGGAGAGAGAAUCGAAGAAUGAAGAAGAAGAAAAACUGUUAUUGAAAAAUCUGGAAAAAAGUGUUUUACAACGGUAACAAAAUCAGCUUUAAAUAGCUGUUACAAUAACUACCUAAAAGUGCUAAAAGGAAGAAAAAUACUAAUAAAAACGUGAUAUCUAAAACACGUUUUAUUAAGAACAGAAAGACAAUAUGAUAAAUGCUAUACAAAAAUUACUACAUAUAAGAUACAAUAUCUACAUAUCCAAUAUAUACCAUUGAUUUGAUGUUUGGGACGAAUUGUGAUGAUUUGGGCUGUUUUAGAGAUUUUUCAGAAAAAAACAUAUAUAAUAAAUGUGGUGGGUUUAGAGCAGGGUUUUUCUUUUCUUCCUUUUUAGUUUAUAUUCUAUUAUUUAUUAAUAUUUAAUAAAUGUUUAAAUAAUGUUAUAAUUUGUUUAAUAAGUAUUUAAUCAAUGUUAAUUAUUGUAUAGAAAUUGUUUAAUACUUAAAAAGUUUAAUAAGUAUUGACUAAAUAUAUUCAAGGUUUGAUAAAUAUAUAAUAAAAAAUCUAUAAUUAUUUAAGAAUGUCAAAAAAAACUUACUUACUUAAUAAAUGGUAAAAAAAAACAUUUAUUAAAUGUUAAUUUUUUCAAAAUUACUUUUAAAAAAAUCAUUAAAUGUUUAAUAAUUAAUAAUUCAUUAAAUUUUUUUUUCAAAUAGUAAUGAUAAACAAUUUUAAAUGCUUAAUAAUGUAAAGAGUUAAAUACAAAAGCACCCCUGUACUAUGCACUUUGUAUCAUGUACCCCCUGUACUACACACAAAUACAAACCCCCCUAUCGCUAUAUUUUUUCCAAAAUCUGACGAAAAUACCCCUGCUAAUCCUAUAAAUAUAAGGGUUUGUUUUAGCCAUUUUCCACUAUAUUUUUUAACAUUUUCGGUUGAUUUUACUUGGAAAUUUUUUUAUAUUUUUCUUCAAAACAUUUAACUACUUAGAUUUUUUACUUUUUUUCUGAAUAAAACCUUUUAUUUUUGUCUUUUUGAAUUUCUUCAUUUUUUUCUUAAAUGUCUUCCGGUAUUAUUCUCAAAAAUAAUAAUCAUAGGAUAUUUGAACUAUCGGAAGACAUUUAAGAAAAAAAAAAAUGCAAGAAACUCAAUAUGACAAAAAUAAAAAAAAAUUAUUUGGAAAAUUAAAAAAAUCCAAGCAAUUAGAUGUUUUUGAGAAAAAAAUAUAAAUACCAAAAUUUCUCACGUAAAAUUGAGUGAAAAUGGUAAAAGAAAAAUAUAGUGAAAAAUGACUCAAAAUAUAUAUAUAUAUAUAUAUGCUUGAGUAGGGGUAUUUUUGUCAUACUUUGGCAAAAAUGUAAUAUGAGGGGAUUUUUGUAUUUAUGUGUAGUACAAAUGGUAUAUGAUACAAAGUCCAUAGUACAGGGGUAUUUUUGUAGUUAACCCUAAUGUAAAUAAAUACUUAGAGUUAUUCCUAAAAAAUAUAGAGUAUUCCAUUUGUCCACACGGCUAAGGGUACUCCUCCUGAAAAAAUAAACAAAAAUAUAUAACAAAAAUUAAAUUAAAAAAUGCUUUAAAAUGACUCGAUAUACCGGUUUUAACAACAAUACUUUUUUUAUUUAUAAUGUAUUUAUGUUUAAUAUUCCUUUUUAGCAUUUAGUUUGUUUAAAUAUAGGUUUUGUUAUGAAAAAUAGUACAAAGAUAACUACUACUUCCUCAUUGCCUUUAUACUUGUCACUUUUGACAUAUUUUCAUAUUUCAAAUUAUUUGUCAUUUUACUAUUCCAGUGACUAGUUAAUUGCAUUUUUUUCAAUUUCGCCUUAUCUCACACAUAAUUAAUUGAAAUAUAAUUAUUUAAAAAUCAAUUAAUGACAUGGACAUUUUAGCAAUUUACUAUAUAAUUAUAUUGAGUGGAGUUAUAUUCCUAAUUGAAAUAUGUUACUUCUAAUACUAAUUUUAUUGCAAAUUAGUAUUAAGAUGAUACCGUUCAUUAGACUAUGUUACUUCCAAUACAGUUGUAGUGUUCUUCGAAGUUCUUGGUAACAUGUAUACAUAGAAAAAUUUAUGAGGUUGAGAUGGAGAAAAGUGGGGCAGUUAAGAAAAGAAGUUAAAGAUCAUGUUGAGUGGAAACCAACAAAAAAAAAAGAGAAAACAAUAAAUCACAGUUAAUCGUGAUUAGUGGAGAAGGAAAAAAAGAAAAAAAAUAAUAAUAAUCAUAUAUAAGAAAAAAAAAGAAAAAAAAAAAAAGAAACAUGCAAUAAAAAACUAUUGUGGAUUAGAUUGUGGGAUGGAAAAAAAAGCAGAAAACAAAUAUAAUUAAUUAUUAAAAAAAAAAAACGUGUACAUUGAAGAGGAGAAAAGAAAGGAGAAAAUAAAGAGAUUUGUUAUGAAAAAAAAAAAACUAUUUUUUGAUGGUUUCGAGGAAAACAUUUCUUUUAUAUAUAAAAAUGUUUGAAUUAAUAAAAUGGGUCAUUAUAAAUAAGUCCAUCAAUGGGUACUUAUUAAUAAAAAUUAAAAAGAUUCAGGCAAAAAACUCACUUACAAAUAAGUCCACACAUGGUCCAGAUUUUAUAAAUGACUACAAUAACCUCUCAUACUUUAAUAUGCUCAAAUUUCAUCAUUAAUUUAAUUUAACCUUAAUUUGACCCCAAACUUCACAAACUAUUUAAUUUUGACCCAAAUUUUUUUUUUCCAAUUUUUUUUUUCUACCGGAUUUAAUCCGGCGUUGACUUUUUUUUUUUUUUUUUUCUACCGGAUUUUUUCGCCGGUUCCCGGCGUUGACUUUAUUUUUUUCUCCUCAUUUUUCAACCACCGUUUUCCAGCGUUGACUUUUUCGAUUUUUUUUUCUGUAACAUUUGUUUUUCGAUUAAACAACAAUAUUGUUGUGAUUGACAGUAAUAUUAACUAUAUUACUGUUAAACACAGUAAAAUUAACUAAACUACAGUUUAACACAGUAAUAUUGCUAUAUUAAUCUCUAGCACAUUAAUAUUAACACAACAUAACUCAUUAUUAUUGUGUAAUAGAGUAAUAUUAUUAUGUUGACCGUUCAACAAAUGUAAACAUAAUAAAAAACCAAAAGAAUUAAUAUUACUGUGACUGACAGUACUAUUACUAUAACAACAGUAAUAUUACCGUCAACCACAGUAAUAUUACAAUAAUAGACAGUAAUAUUAUUACGUUACUCUGUGAAUAACUCAAACAAACAAAAAAAAUCCAAACAAAAUAAUAAUAUUGAUGUGGUUGACAGCAAUAUUACUAUAACAACAGUAAUAUUACCGCCAACCACCGUAAUAUUAUUGUGUUUACAGUAAUAUUACAAUAAUAUACAGUAAUAUUAUUACGUGAAUAACUCAAACAAAACGAAAAACCAAAAAAAUAAUUAUACUGAUGUUGUUGACAGUAAUAUUGUUGUAUUUACAAUUAUUUUACUGUCAACGACACUAAUAUAAUUACGUUGACUUGUCAACAAAUCAAACAAAAAAAAAUAGAUAAUAAUAUUACGUUAAUUUACUGUCAACGACAGAACAAUUACAUAAAUGUAUUGUCUGUUGGAGAUAUUAAUACUAAAUGAUACAUUUCACUAACAGCUUAAGCUUUUGGUUGAGAUGGUCAUUCAACAUGGUAUCAGAGUCAGGCCAAAUGAAAAGGUCCUGAGUUCGAAUCCCACCGCCACCCAGUUCAAAUAUUUCAAGUGUAAGGCUUCAAAUGUAAUUCGCCUGCACUUGAGGGGGCGUGUUGGAGAUAUUAAUACUAAAUGAUACAUUUCACUACCCAUUUAAAAAUAUUUCAAGUGCAAGGCUUCAAAUGGAAUUCGCCUGCACUUGAGGGGGCGUAUUGGAGAUAUUAAUAUUAAAUGAUACAUUUCACUAAUAUUGUCAACGGCAGUGCAAUUACGUUAAUUAACUGUCAUUAAUAGCAUAAUUACGUUAAUUUAUUGUCAGUGACAGCAAAAUUACGGUCAACGUUUAAAAAAAAAAAAAAAAACUUAAAACGUCAACGCCGGAAUCCGGCGGCGGAAAAAAACAGACCAGAAAAAAAAAAUCGAAAAGUCAACGCCGGAAUCCAGUGGCAAAAAAAUUUGAAAAAAAAAAGUUUUUGAAAAAAGAAAGUCAAAAUUGAAUUUUGUGGUCAAAAUUGGAUUUUUUUGGACAAAAUUGAUUACAUUGGGGUUACAAUUAAGAAUUGGGUAUAAAGAGUUGGGGGUAAUAUUUUCAUAUACAUGAAUGUUUUCUUUAUUUAUAAUAAAUAUUAAAUGGAUGGGCUUAUUGGCGAAAGAGAUAUAACCCCUAAACCUAGAAUAAUAAAGAUGUUUGGUUAUGGACUUAUGCACAAAAACCCCUUACUAAAAAGGGAUUAUUUGCCAAAACUCCCUGGUUACACAUGUGCAGUUACAAUGAGUCCAAAAAAAAAUUAUAUUUUAAGAUAAAUCCAAAAUAUUUUUAACUAAUAAAAAUUAAUUAAAUUUUACCAUUAUACCCUUAUAGUAAUCUAUGUUUAACCCUAAACUUCUACAGACUUUUAUUCAUUAUUUAUCACGUGGCCUCUCUCCAACACCCCUCUUCUAGUUUGUUUAAACAUAGGUUUUGUUAUAAAUACUUUUUUAUUUAUAAUAUAUUUAUAUUUAAUAUUCCUUUUUAGCAUUUAGUUUGUUUAAAUAUAGGUUUUGUUAUGAAAAUUAAUACUAAGAUAACUACUACUUCCUCAUUUCCUUUAUACUUGUCACUUUUGACAUUUUUUCAUCUUUCAAAUUAUUUGUCAUUUUACUAUUCCAAUGACUAGUUAAUUGCAUUUUUUUUUCAAUUUUGCCCUUUCUCACACAUAAUUAAUUGAAAUAUAAUUAUUUAAAAAUUAAUUAAUGGCAUGGGUAUUUUAGUAAUUUACUAUAUAAUUAUAUUGAGCGGAGUUAUAUUCCUAAUUGAAAUAUGUUACUUCUAAUACUAAUUUUAUUGCAAAUUAGUAUUAAGAUGAUACCGUUCAUUAGACUAUGUUACUUUCAAUACUAAUACUAAUUUCAUUGCAAAAUAGUAUUAAGGCAAUACUAAUUCAUGUACUGGAUUAUUUAAAUAGAUGCUUAGAAUUUUACUCCCAAUGGGACUAUAUUAGUACUCAUACUAAAUUCCUUGCAAAUUAGUGCUAAGAAAAUACUAAUUUAUUCAACUCAAUAAUUAAAUGAGUAUUAUUAUACUCCUAAUUGAAUUAUGCUACUUCCAAUACUAAAUUCACUGCAUAUUAGUAUUAAGAUUUAAGAUAAUACUAAUGUAUUGGAUUAUAAUUAAAUGUGUAAAAAUAUACUUCUAAUUGGACUAUGUUAUACUUUCAAUACUAAAUUCAUUGCAAUAUAUUAUUAGUACUAAUAUAUUAAAUUUAGUAACUAGAUUUGUAAAUUUAUAAUCCAAAUUGGACUAUGUUAUACCAAAUUCAUUGCAAUUUUUUUUUUUCUUUUGAGAAAAUUAAGUCAUUGUAAAUUAGUAUUAAGAUAGUACUAAAUUAUUGAAUUUAAUAGUUGAAUGCGUAUAAUUAAAUUUUUAAUUGGACUAUGUUACUUCCAAUCUAGAUUCUUGCAAAUUAGUUUUAAGAUAAGACUAAUGUAUUAAAUUUUAUAAUUAAAAGUGUAAAAAUAUACUCCUAAUUGGAAUAUGUUACUUCAAAUACUAAAUUCAUUACAAAUUAAUUAAGAUAGUACUAAUAUAUUUGAAUUUAGUAAUUACAUAUUUAAAAUUAUACUCCCAAUUAUAUUGUAGUAUGUUAUGUCAAAUAAUAAAUUCAAUGCAAAUUAGUGUUUGGAUAAUUGAAUGAGUAGAAUUAUACUCGUAAAUGGACUAAAUUGAGAUACUGUCUCAUACGAUAAUUUUCUCUAUCUAGUUUUUAAUAAAUAUAUACAAUUUCUGACCCAGAACGGAAGCACUCUAAAAAAUUAAUUUCUACGAAUUAAUCCUAUAGAACAAAAUAACAUUCGGAAUCCACCGAAAACUCUGGAAUCCACCAGAAAAAUAGAGAAAACUCUAAAUAAUUUUAUUAAAAUUCCAAAUUCUUUUCAAAAUAAAGUCAUAAGGCAGCUAUGUAUACUAAAAAACUGAAAACCCUAAUUAAAAUAAGAAAAUACUAAAAAUUACCAAAAACGACAAAAAUGAGUUAAAUCCUAAUUCUAGUAGAUCACGUAAUUUUGGGAACAACCCAAUUUACGGAAUCCUAAUACGAUUUUUCUAUGAUUUGAUAUUAAUUUUCUAAAACUUACCUAAAAUAGCAAAACCGAACUUUUAGGAGUCUAAACGACGUUGGAUUGCUAAAAUUUGACGUGAUUCAUGAGCUUUUCUCAUGAGUUUUGUUCCUUGCGCCGUUUCACUUGAGAUAGAGUUUGUUUCGUACUCAAAUACAAUUUGAGUUUUUCGAAAACCCUUACUUUUCCAUAAUUUCUUUCGAUAUUUCCACCAAUGGCCAUUGAUAACUCUUCUCCGAAUUAAAUAGUUAUUUUGCAACUCGAAUCCAAUUUGACGUCCCUUAUCACAAAAUAACAUUCGGAAUCCAAUUUUUCUGGUGGAUUCCAGAGUUUUCGGUGGAUUCCGAAUGUUAUUUUGUUCUAUAGGAUUAAUUCGUAAAAAUUAAUUCUUUACAGUGUUUCCGUUCUGCGUCAAUUUCUUUAACAUAAUUUUCAUUUCAAACAUAUUCAUAUUUGAAUUUCCUAACAAAUAAAUUCAAUUUUAUUUAAUAACGAGGAAGUUAAUGUCCAAUAACACAUACAUACAUACUAAGCGGCAAAAGCUAGGGUUUUUAACCUUUUUAUUUGUUCAAUUAUCACGGACACGACACGGCCAUGGGCCGAUUCGGGCCGGCACGGUUUAUUUUUUCCGGAAUCGGAACAUGCCCGUACUACACACGGUUCGGCGGGCCGGGUCAUCCCGCCGGUUCACUCCGGUUUCGGGCCUAUCCGGGCCGGUUCCGGGUCACCUUGAUGCAUGAGAACAGUUUUCUUCAUCUAUGUGGUAUUGAUAGUUUUAUGCAUCAUUGAUUUUGGUUUGAAGUAUUUGUAAAACAUGAUGGAAUAGUAAAACUUUCCUCAAGUCUAUGGUGUAUUGUCUUUCUUGAUGAAUUGAUGUAGAUGGUGAUAGAAGAUAGAUAUAUGAUGCAGCUAUAUACCAUGGUGUAUGUUUUAAUAGUGAAAUUCAUAUGGUAUUUUUAAUUAUUUAUAUUGUGAGUUUCCAUGCAUUACUCUUUAAGCUCUUCCAAAAAAUUAUUGCAUGCUUGCACAAUUUUUCAUUAGUAAACAGUGAAUUUGAACAUUUGUACCACCAGGUUUCCUUAAGUAGCCCUGUGUUCUGGUUUCCAUACCUUAAUUAGGAUCGAAAAAACUAAAAGAUUGGCAACAUAAUUCAGAUCCAAUGUGGAUGGCCUCAGUUUGCCAUGGAGAAAUCCAAUGUUGUUUUUGCUUUUAAUUAUCUUUAAACCCGAAAAUCGGAUUAAAACUACAAUUUAUUGAAGAAUGUAUCCGGUUGUUUUUAACUUGCGAAAAUAAGACCAUCAAGAUACAUAACCAGCAGAUAUCAUUGCAUAAUAUAUCCACAUACAUAAAACACAAAUACAGUAACAAUGAACAAAACAAAAAGGAGAGAAAUAGAGAAAUAUACCCAUAAGUCAUCUUGCGGAAGACGAUUUGUAGCCACAUCACAUACACACUUCGAAAACGUUAUAAGAAAAAUCGAACCUGACAAACACCAAGGCACCAAAACUGGAUUUACAGAAAAUCAAAAAGCUUUUCAAAGAAUGUCCAAAAAAAAUCUAAUUCAAUGUGAUAUGUCUAAUUGGGCCAACCCAAUGGGCCUACAAUUUCUUUACCUAUUGGGCCACGAGCCCAAUAUCUAAGACCAUUAUCACCGAUGCCCAAUCACCUUCAAAUAAGGUUCGGGCCCAACAAUCUCAUCUAAGCUAUAAAUAAAGGUUUGAACUCAUUCCUCAAGGUACGUCCUAUUAACUGAGCAAUACUACAACUGUAUUCUCUGGACUAUUUUCUUUGAUCAGCACGUCUGACUUGAGCGUCGGAGGGGUUUCUGCCGGAUCAACCCCCGGCCUAGUUCACGUGUUCUAUGAUCGCCGGUACCUCAGGAUCAUCAAGUUGUCAAGCUACUGAUCCGCUUUGCUCUCCCAGUUCGUUUUCUACACUACCCCAGGUGAUCUAUAUUUUAGCAUCAUCAUUUUGGCGCCGUCUGUGGGAACGAUGCAAACCAGAUCACGUAGCCAACAAGAUCCUCCUGAGGCGUCAGCUCGGAGAGAAAAUGACACAACUAAUCAAGAUCCUCCUGAGGCGUCAGCUCGGAGAGAAAAUGACAUAGCUAAUCAAAUACUCUAGUUUACCGUGAUUCUUUCUCCCUUGUGCAAUUUCUUUCACCAGGAUUCACCCUGCCCAUUGAUGGUGUCAUUAUCCCCUGGAAAAACAAAUCACGUAAAAAUUUAAUAAUUCAAAUACCACAAAAUCUUGUGACAAAGAUAAGAGUAAACUGCAAAAUGUACCCCUGUGUAAUCUCUAAAUAGUAAAAAAAACCUUGUGAUAAAUAAACUAGCAAAAACCCCCCUGUGAAAUUUAGUCAAAGACAAAAACCCCCUGAUUGACUUGUGUGUGGCUCACUCGCGGGUUGCGCGACUGGGAGUUGGUUUUUGGACGUGAAAUGACGAAAUUGACCCUUAAAAUGUGUUUAUAUGUAUAUAUAUUAUAUGUAUACAUAUUUUCUUUUUAAUUUGAUUGUUUAAAAAUUAAAAUAUUAUUAAAAAAUAGUAACUAAGUAAAUUGAAAAAUUAUUAAAAAUUUAUUAAUAAAAUUAAGUAUAUAUUUUUUUAAAUACAUAAUAAUAAAAUUUAAGUUUUCUUUUGAUGUAGGGAUAAUUUAAAAUAUAUAAAAAAUUAUGUGAUAAUAAAAAUAGAAAUAAAUUAAAGACCCCAUUGUACCUUUAUAAUUAAGAUAUAACAAAAAUAAAAUAAUUGUUGUAAAUAAUAUGGAAAAGUGGGUCUUCCUAUCCUAACACAUGAAAGGUUGUAACCUCCAUAAACCACUAUAGAUUCUCAACUUCCCACUACCCCAUUAUCCCCACACAUUGUAGUGGUUGUAACUCCUUUGUAACUUCUGGUGGAUUACACCUAUAUAAAUGAGAAUCUCCCCUCCCCUAAAUACCCACAAUUAUCUCUCUACGGAUUGUUGUUCUUUGCAUUCUUUCUUUCUCUCCUUUCCUUAUUAUUUACAUUCUUAUGUAUAUCCACAAUCACAAACCAAAGAGCUAGAUAAAUAGGCCAUUUUACAACACGUUAUCAGCACGAAAUGCUCGUCGUGAUCGUGGAAAGACAAUCGUUCGUGGGACUAGGAUACUUGAAGAAUUUGUGAUUCAGGUGCUCGUGAAAAAUGAACCAUUUUUGGCACGUGGAUGCUUGAAGAACUUGUGAUUCGAGUUCGUUCGUGAAAUGGUAAUCUUGUUCAAAGAAUACAAUAUAUUCUUCAACAUUUGGGUUUAAGCGUUUCAAGUAAGCCGUAAUCCCUUGCAAUUUCGAUUUCGUAAGAAAUGCACUAGAUCUAUUUAAUGGCAUGAAAUGCAUGAAGUACACAUAUUUAUCUUCAAGUCAUUAUUUCAUUUAUACCGUGGAUAAUUUCAAAAUAUGAUGUGAUUCGUAAUUAUUGGAAGCAUGCUUAAUAUGUUACAGUAUGGUAUAAAUAUCACAAUGAUUGUUUUUUGGUAUGUGGUAUAGCAAAUUAUUUUAUCAUUAUCAACGAUAAAUGUGUGAUUGUAUAUUGUCAGAGGAUUAUAAUAUCUUGCUGGUUUAUUCCAUGUUUCGAGGAUUUGAUAUGAAAUUGUAUUAUGAAUGUUUUAUCAUAAUAUUUAGAAUACAGUGCACUAAGAAGCUUAUGAAUAAAUAUGCACUGUAGAAUGAGGGGUGAAUAUAUUUGAUGAUAAAUGUGAAAUUGUUUAUGUUUCUUACUGAACGUGAUUGUAGCCAUAUUAAUAGAAUUUCCUUUCUUGGUUGAAUUUGUACUCCAUGAAUUGUUAGAAAAUUUUGCUACAAUAACUUGGUCAUUUCAUUUUAAGAUGAUCUAAUGCACUACUGAUACUUGAUAGCAUUAUGGAUCUAUUUAGUUAAUUCAUGAUUACCUACCGGAAUAAUUUCAGAAUUAGUUCGUGGAAUUUAUAUGAGAUAGUACAUGUUAUAUAUUAUUUAUAUUAUUUAGCAUGUUAUAUUUUAUAUAUUUGACAAUUUACAAAGUCUUAAUUGCAUGAAGAUUUUAGCCCAUCUCUAAUGGAGAAUUCUAUUAAAUUGAUCCAUCUGCCAUAUGUAAUUUUUGUUGGGUUUCGGGCACGAGUACGCAGCGGAAAACAAAAAUUUAAUGCGAUUUAAACUACUUUAAAGCACAUAAGCACAUGCCCGACAAAUUUAAUCAAUUAAUUGCGUACCUUUGCGCUUCCAGCGAAAUUAAAUAACAACAUAUAUGCUAAUUAAUUUAACCGAAUUUAAAUCAAUUAACAUGCUCGCGUUUAAACCAAAUAACAUGCUUGCAAUGAUUUAAAACGAUUACACAUAAUCACAUAAAAUCAUACGAAAGCAAACAUGAAUAUAUAUAACGUUUAAACGAAACAAGAACUUCAAGUUCGUGUGUUUACCUCUUGAAGCGUGAGGUAAAAGCGCUAAGCAAGUCGAGAUUGCUACGGAAACCAAUCCGUACAAUCGGGGCAGCAGCGGUGCAGCGGCAGCGGCGGUGAGACGGCCACGGCGGCGCGUGAAACUCACGCGCGGUCUUUCCGGGGCGGCGCGUGGGGCAGCGUGCGGCUUCGGCUCGUGCGCUGCUCCUCGAUUCUUCGAUCUUCGGUCUUCCUCCUCUCGGAUUUCACCUCGUAUACUUCGAUCUACUAAACACGUGGCACUAGACACGUAAUAGUUAGAAAAACGGAAGAAAAAGAGAAGGAAAGAAACUACCGAAACAAUCGGCCGAUGAACGGCCGAUUCCGGUGAAGCUCCGGCGACGGCGCCGGUGACGGCCGCGGGGAGAGGGCGAGAGAGAGAGGGAGAACGGCUGCUAGGGUUAGGGUUUUUACUUGUUUGUGCAAGACCUAUAAAUCUUGUAUUUAUAGUGUCUUGCAUAAAACCCUAGCGGGCUUAAGUUGGACCGGGCCCAACAGCUUAAGUUCGCUAGUACUUUUACUUGCUCGUUUCUCUCAAUCCAAUGACCGAAAAAUUGCAACGAUUACAUUUUUGGAAUCAUUAUAAAGUCCUCGUCAUUACGAGUGUCAAUUCUCAUUUUCAACUUUCUAAAAGUGGAAACCCUAGUUCAGUGCACUUUCUAAAUUUAGAAACUUCCCGAUUUAGAAAGUCCACUACAACGUUCGCCUAUUCUUUUCCUUUUCUUAUUCUCAUUCAUAAUUCCAAAUUACGAAUGUUGGAUCCAAUCAUAUUGACUUCCAAUCAUGCAAAGAUAAACUAUUUUACCUUUGACCGUUUAUUCAAAGAUCUCAUGUGCACGAGCAGUGUGACCCUCGAUGGUUCAGGUGUAAGCUAGCCGUGGGCCCACGACCCUUUGUGGUCAAAACUCGUCCCUUAGAGUUACGAUUAAGAUGAAGCUCGUUUCACCUUAAUCACCCAACGAAUCAAGAUUGGCGUCUAGCAACUACGCGUCAUAAUUCCCUAGAUACAAAUGAAGUGCCUGCAAGAACCUUCAGAUAUAGUUAACGUACAGUACGGUCCCUUCGAUUCAUAUGUCCCGAUCGAACUAGAGGCAUUGGUUCAUUGAUUCCUCUUUAUAUGUUCAAUGACGGUGCGAUCGUUCUAAGUAUUGUAAUCGUCACGUGCAUGACUUAGAGAAUCGAAUCCUCAAAUCAUCACUUAGUCAGCUCUGGCCAGAGACUUAGAAUGAUUACAAACUUUCAGAACACACAGGACAUCCAAGACUAUUCUAGCGAUCGAAUCCCCGACUACAAUGCACAGACCUCCCACUAGAUUUCGGACUGCACGAACACUGGCUCUUGGGAUGGUCCUCGGUGGAACUCAGGGACAGGCCACGAUACAGCUGGUCCUCUAGUGAAGUCACGGUGAUGUCUAGGUCAUAAGGACUAAUGGUGUACAACUAUACCAUAGAUAUCUCUACUCGAUUAUUGGGAACCACUUAGAGAUUUCUAGGGUGAGGGAGUUCAGUGAACUCGUCAACUUACGAGCACCCACCUAUGCAUGCCGAUAUCACAAUACCGUUUACUGAUGAGAUGCAGUACACAUACACUAAGUGCUAGUCUUAAUGGGAAAGGCCGAUAUCCUCAUUAGUGGCGUAACCCUUCGACUAGGAACACGUUUAACAGUUAUAAUACUUAAGUAAAUAUCUCACGAUCCUAACGAUCAAUUACUGGUACUUGUAAUAACUGUAAGGACUAUAUCUAUGCUUGUGACAAAGGGACAAAGAUAUAGAAUGCCAAUGUGUUUUAUCAUUAAUACGAAUAAAGGUUCGUUUAUUACAAUAAUAAAUACGAAAGACCACAGCCACAUGUUGGCUUGUUGGUCACCUACUCUAACAAUCUCCCACUUGACCUAAAGCCAACUACCCAUAAAUCGCAAUCCCAUCGACUCUCGAUGUUUCUCAUGGACCGAUCUCGGCAAAGGCUUCGUGAAGGGGUCUGCUACGUUCUCUUCCGAGGUGACUCGUUCUACCUUAACUUCACCUCUAUCAAUGAUCUCUCGGAUCACGUGAUACUUCCUCAGAAUAUGCUUCGACUUCUGAUGAGAUCGUGGCUCCUUAGCUUGCGCCACGGCUCCGGUGUUAUCACAGUACAAUGGUACUGGAUCACUAGCAUCAGGAAUGACACCCAACUCUUGGAUGAAUUUCCUUAUCCAAGUCCCUUCUUUUGCAGCUUCGGAUGCUGCAAUGUAUUCCGCUUCGGUAGUGGAAUCAGCCGUCGUGUUUUGCUUGGAACUCUUCCAACACACGGCACCACCAUUAAGCGUGAAUAUGAAUCCAGAAUUCGACUUUGAGUCGUCCACGUCUGAUUGAAAACUAGAGUCGGUAAAACCCUCUAAUUUCAACUCGGCACCCCCAUACACUAGUAGAAAACCGGCCACAGGCGACGAAAAAUUGCGACGAAACUAGGACUCUUGCGACGAAAUUAGGACUCCUGCGACGAUUUAUAUUUCGUCGCACUGGGGGUCCAAAUUCGUCGCCAAUGAUAGACCAAAAAUAUAUCCUUAGUUCUUCGCAAGUACUUGAGGAUAUCUUUCACGUCUUUCCAGUGAGCCGGGUCGGGGUUAGACUGAUAUCUGCUUGUGACACUCACAGCAUACGCAAUAUCGGGUCUCGUACAUAGCAUGCCAUACAUUAUGCUUCUUAUGGCAGAAGCAUAGGGCGUCCUUUUCAUCUCCUCGAUUUCACUAGGUGUUUGCGGACACAUAGAUUUCGAGAGACGAACCCCAUGGGACAUUGGCAAGAAUCCCUUCUUGGAUUCUUCCAUGCUAAACCGUUUCAUAACGGUGUCUAUGUACAGGCUUUGGGAUAAACCAAGCAUCUUUCUCGCUCUAUCUCUAUAGAUGCGUAUUCCUAAUACGUAAGAUGCUUCUCCCAAAUCCUUCAUUGAGAAACGCGUGGACAACCAUGCUUUCGUUUGCUGCAACAUUCCUACGUCAUUCCCAAUGAGUAGAAUGUCAUCAGCGUAAAGCACUAAAAAUAUCACUGCCCUCCUACUAACCUUCUUGUAUACACAAGGUUCCUCCGGAUUCUUCUCAAAAUCAAACUCUUUGAUAGUUGAGUCGAACCUAAUGUUCCAACUACGGGAUGCUUGCUUCAAUCCAUAAAUGGAUCGCUGGAGCUUGCAAACCUUUUGCUCACUUCCACAAGAUAUGAAGCCUUCCGGCUGCGCCAUGUAAAUUUCUUCCUCAAUAUCUCCAUUAAGGAAGGCGGUCUUCACAUUCAUUUGCCAUAUCUCGUAGUCGUACCACGCAGCUAUGGCCAGCAAAAUCCUAAUGGACUUCAGCAUCGCGACUGGCGAAAAGGUUUCCUCAUAGUCAACACCUUGCCUUUGAGUGUAUCCUUUUGCUACCAAUCUAGCUUUAUAGGUCGACACCUUUCCAUCCACUCCAAUUUUCUUCUUAUAGAUCCACUUGCAGCCAAUAGGAACAAUUCCUUUAGGUGGAUCUACCAAGGUCCACACCUUGUUGGAGUACAUGGAGUCCAUUUCGGAUUUCAUGGCAGUUAGCCAAUGUCCCAUGUCCGCAUCCGAUACGGCCUCAUUGUAUGUUCUUGGAUCUCGUCCAAGAUCAACAUGAUCUUCAUCAUUUUCGAGGAGGAAUAACCUAUCCGGCAUUUUCCGAACUCUUUCGGAUCUACGUACCGUAGGUUCAGGAGGUAUAUUAGUGGUUUGUUGUAUUGGUUCGAUUACUUGUUCUUGCGUUUGAACUUCACUUUGUGGUUCUUGAACUACUUCAAGUUCUAUCAUGCUGCCCUUUCUAUCGGAUAGAAACUCCCUUUCCAAAAAGGUGGCAUUUCUCGAAACAAACGUCUUUGCUUCUUUGACAUAAUAGAACUCGUAUCCCAUUGAGUCUUCGGGAUACCCCACAAAAUAGCACAAGUCGGAUUUACUAUCCAACUUAUCUCCCACUAACCGCUUCACAUAAGCGGGACAACCCCAUAUCCUAAUAUGUUUGUAGUUGGGUUUUCGGGAAUGCCAAAGUUCAUAAGGUGUGGAUUUAACUGCUUUGGUGUUAACUCUAUUCAGCAAAUACGCGGCAGUACGAAGUGCAUGACCCCAUAAGUAUGCCGGUAAGUUCGUGAACCCCAUCAUUGAUCGAACCAUAUCUAAUAAAGUUCGAUUCCGACGUUCGGAUACUCCAUUAAGUUGAGGAGUUCCCGGUGGAGUCCAUUGGGACUGUAUCCCAUUUUCUUUUAGAUAGUCAAUGAACUCGAUGCUCAAGUAUUCUCCACCACGAUCGGAUCGCAGCUUCUUAAUACUUCGUCCGAGUUGCUUUUCCACUUCGUGUCUAAAAUCUUUGAACCUUUCAAAUGUUUCGGACUUGUACUUCAUCAAGUACACAUACCCAUACCUAGAAUAAUCGUCGGUAAAGGUAGCGAAGUAGUUAUAUCCACCCUUCGCACUAACACUUAGUGGACCACAUACGUCUGUAUGGAUCAAAUCCAAAAGACCCUCGGCUCGUUCCAUUUUCCCUUUGUAGGGUGACUUGGUCAUUUUCCCUUUAAGGCAAGAUUCACAAGUUUGUAGUGAUUUCACGUCCUCCAAAGAGAACAAUCCUUCACUAACAAAAUCGUUCAUCCUUCUUAAAGAGACAUGACCUAAUCUAGCGUGCCAAAGUUGUGCGGGGUUUUGAUCUAUCUCCUUACGUUUUGCUGAUAUAACAUUAAUAGGUAUUUCACUUGGAUUUAGUUCAUACAAGUUGUUUAAUAGUCGUCCUUUGCAAAUCAAAUUCUCAUUCUUUUGUAUAAUGCAAAUCGAAUUUCCAAAAACAAAAGUAAAACCUUCAAUGUCUAAUACAGGAAUAGAAAUAAGGUUUCUAAUGAGCGACGGAACAAAUAAACAAUCGUUCAAAACAAUAGGAAAACUAGAAUCCAAAACAUUUAAGUAAAUUGUGCCAAUGGCUUCAGCAGCAACUCUUGCUCCAUUCCCCAUCCUUAGGAAGGUCUCACCCGCUCUAAUUCUUCGACUUCUUGUCAUUAGCUGCAAAUCAUUGCACAAAUGUGAGCCACAGCCCGUAUCCAAUACCCAAGAAGAAGAGUUGACAGACAAAUUUACGUCAAUGAAAUACGUACCCUUUUCAGAACCUUUCUGCUUCAGGUAAGCCUUGCAGUUGCGGCGCCAAUGUCUUUUUUUCUUUCCACAGUGAUGGCAAGCAUCAUCAACUUGUUUGCUAACCUUUGCUUUGGGGCCCCCACUACCUUCACCCACUUCGAACUUGCUGUUUGGGAAGGGAACUCUUUCCUUUCUCUUCUUUUGGAAAGAACUCUUCUUUCCAGAAGUGGCAGCAAUGAGAACAGACUUCUCUUUCUUAAUGGUGGACUCGAAGCUGACUAACAUGUUCAUUAACUCAUCCAAGGGAGGAUCUAGUUUGUUCAUGUUGAAGUUCACUAUGAACGAUUCAUAGGAACUAGGAAGAGACAACAGGAUCAAAUCCAACGAGAGCUCGGCCGGGAGGGUGACAUCAAGAUUCACUAGCUUUUCAAGGAGAGUGAUCAUUUUGAGACAGUGCUCGUGGACCGAAGUCCCUUCGCGCAGUCUCGCUGUGAUCAACUCCUUUGUAGCAGCGUACCUCGAUGCCCUAAUAUUCUCACUAUACAUGCUAUCGAGAUGAGCCUUUAUAUCGAAAGCAUGCAAGUGAGACUCAUAUUUCCUCGCAAGCGCGGGCUCCAUGGCGGCAAUCAUAUAGCACCUAGCAUGAGUGUCAUCUUUCUUCCAAACUUCAUAAGUUUCCUUUUCAGCAUCAGUCGCUGUGGCAGGUAUAGUGGCGGGAAGUCUCUCGUUCAAAACAUAGAGACGCCCCUCAACAGUUAGCACAAGCUUAAGACUACGCAACCAAUCUAGGUAAUUAGGGCCAUUGAGUUUAUUGUCGAGGAUUGACAUUAUGGGAUUCUUAGACAUGAUUAUCUGAGACAUAUAGAGAAGAGGAUUAUUAGAGAUUUGCGUUAAAUGAUUGUUACAAUUAAAUGUUUGGACUUAUGUUAUUUAAUUGUUCUCCCACUAAUUUUAUCGAAUUCCACUUCCCUCUAGUAGACAAACGAGAAAACUGAUUUUUCUUAAUGGGCUUUAGGUCCAAUGGACAAAUAUAACCCGUAGUUAAUCUAGCCCGAUUAUAUUUGCCCAAAGGUAGAUCACAAUCAAUCAUAUCCUCAAUAUGACCCUAAAUUAAUUUUCCUCACACUUGAUAAUGACCUAAGUUAAUCUCGCGAAUAUCAAAAUCGUCGUGUGUCAAGUCUAACCUACCAAUCAAAGAUGCUCAUAGAACUUGAUUAUGCCAAACUAAUGCAGUCCCUAGUUAAUCUAGCCGACCACGUUAAUCCAACAUAACCCUUUUCUAUGGCUACCUUCAUCGCUAUGUCAAUUGGAUUACAGCUUACUCUACCAUAGCACUCCCCGCUAACACGGCUUACUGCACUAUAGUAAAGGGCUACACAUAAUCCAACCGUUGGCAGAAGGAAAGAAAUAACUCAACAGAUUGGGUUUUUCUUUAUAGCUUGAAAUGAUUCUUAAUUAAAUUAAGAAUGAGGGAUUUUUAUUAAAAUGUUUUAUCUCAUCAGAAGGUUUUGGAUUGGUCUAUGUGAUUCCUACAUCUAUGUUCUCUAAAGGUAUAUGGAAGCGCAUAUUGUCCUAAGAGGAACAUACGACCUAAUUUCAUAAUUAAUUACAUUAAUUAAUUAUCGAGUUUUUCAAAAUAAUUACAGAACCUCAACUAGCAUAAAUCAUUCAAAUAAUGUUCAGGGACUACUAAUUAAGUUGAACCAUAAUCAAAAUUAUGAACGUGUUCUAUUAAUUGAAAUCAAUUUAACAAUUUAAAUUAAUUAAUUAAUCUAACACAUAUUUACUAAAAUAGAUGAUUGUCGAUCCAAUUAUCUAAUUGGGAUUAAUUGAAAAUAAUUUUCCAAAAAUUAAAAUCAAUUUGUUUGAAGUUUAAUUUUAGAAAUCUGAAAUAAUUUUUUUUUUUUUUUUAUUUUCAGUGAACCGGUUCGGCCGACCGGUCUGACCGGUUCGGACCGAAGCGGUCCGGUUCUGCCCGGUCCAUUUGACCCAAAUCAGUGGGCCGGGUCAGUCGGACCGAGAACCGGUCUGACCGACCCGAAUCCACUUGGAUUCGGUCGAUUGGAUCGUGCACAACCAUCGAACCGGCCGGUCCGACCGGUUCGAUCCGAACAUUUAAAAACCGACGUUUUAAAAACAAUUUCAGAUCCGAUUUUCCAAUUUUAAACAAUUUUAAAGCUGGAAAAAUUCUAAACAAUAUUUCAAAAAUAUUUUAAACUUACGAAAACUCCCAAUUACAUAAUACGACAAUCGCUACUUUAAUAAAUCGAACAUGCAUAAAAUCAUAGCAUAUUAAACGACGCAAUUAAUUGCGCAACGAGCUCUGAUAUCACUGUUGGGUUUCGGGCACGCGUACGCAGCGGAAAACAAAAAUUUAAUGCGAUUUAAACUACUUUAAAGCACAUAAGCACAUGCCCGACAAAUUUAAUCAAUUAAUUGCGUACCUUUGCGCUUCCAGCGAAAUUAAAUAACAACAUAUAUGCUAAUUAAUUUAACCGAAUUUAAAUCAAUUAACAUACUCGCGUUUAAACCAAAUAACAUGCUUGCAAUGAUUUAAAACGAUUACACAUAAUCACAUAAAAUCAUACGAAAGCAAACAUGAAUAUAUAUAACGUUUAAACGAAACAAGAACUUCAAGUUCGUGUGUUUACCUCUUGAAGCGUGAGGUAAAAGCGCUAAGCAAGUCGAGAUUGCUACGGAAACCAAUCCGUACAAUCGGGGCAGCAGCGGUGCAGCGGCAGCGGCGGUGAGACGGCCACGGCGGCGCGUGAAACUCACGCGCAGUCUUUCCGGGGCGGCGCGUGGGGCAGCGUGCGGCUUCGGCUCGUGCGUUGCUCCUCGAUUCUUCGAUCUUCGGUCUUCCUCCUCUCGGAUUUCACCUCGUAUACUUCGAUCUACUAAACACGUGGCACUAGACACGUAAUAGUUAGAAAAACGGAAGAAAAAGAGAAGGAAAGAAACUACCGAAACAAUCGGCCGAUGAACGGCCGAUUCCGGUGAAGCUCCGGCGACGGCGCCGGUGACGGCCGCGGGGAGAGGGCGAGAGAGAGAGGGAGAACGGCUGCUAGGGUUAGGGUUUUUACUUGUUUGUGCAAGACCUAUAAAUCUUGUAUUUAUAGUGUCUUGCAUAAAACCCUAGCGGGCUUAAGUUGGACCGGGCCCAACAGUUUAAGUUCGCUAGUACUUUUACUUGCUCUUUUCUCUCAAUCCAAUGACCGAAAAAUUGCAACGAUUACAUUUUCGGAAUCAUUAUAAAGUCCUCGUCAUUACGAGUGUCAAUUCUCAUUUUCAACUUUCUAAAAGUGGAAACCCUAGUUCAGUGCACUUUCUAAAUUUGGAAACUUCCCGAUUUAGAAAGUCCACUACAACGUUCGCCUAUUCUUUUCCUUUUCUUAUUCUCAUUCAUAAUUCCAAAUUACGAAUGUUGGAUCCAAUCAUAUUGACUUCCAAUCAUGCAAAGAUAAACUAUUUUACCUUUGACCGUUUAUUCAAAGAUCUCAUGUGCACGAGCAGUGUGACCCUCGAUGGUUCAGGUGUAAGCUAGCUGUGGGCCCACAACCCUUUGUGGUCAAAACUCGUCCCUUAGAGUUACGAUUAAGAUGAAGCUCGUUUCACCUUAAUCACCCAACGAAUCAAGAUUGGCGUCUAGCAACUACGCGUCAUGAUUCCCUAGAUACAAAUGAAGUGCCUGCAAGAACCUUCAGAUAUAGUUAACGUACAGUACGGUCCCUUCGAUUCAUAUGUCCCGAUCGAACUAGAGGCAUUGGUUCAUCGAGACCUCUUUAUAUGUUCAAUGACGGUGCGAUCGUUCUAAGUAUUGUAAUCGUCACGUGCAUGACUUAGAGAAUCGAAUCCUCUAAUCAUCACUUAGUCAGCUCUGGCCAGAGACUUAGAAUGAUUACAAACUUUCAGAACACACACGACAUCCAAGACUAUUCUAGCGAUCGAAUCCCCGACUACAAUGCACAGACCUCCCACUAGAUUUCGGACUGCACGAACACUGGCCCUUGGGAUGGUCCUCGGUGGAACUCAGGGACAGGUCACGAUACAGCUGGUCCUCUAGUGAAGUCACGGUGAUGUCUAGGUCAUAAGGACUAAUGGUGUACAACUAUACCAUAGAUAUCUCUACUCGAUUAUUGGGAACCACUUAGAGAUUUCUAGGGUGAGGGAGUUCAGUGAACUCGUCAACUUACGAGCACCCACUUAUGCAUGCCGAUAUCACAAUACCGUUUACUGAUGAGAUGCAGUACACAUACACUAAGUGCUAGUCUUAAUGGGAAAGGCCGAUAUCCUCAUUAGUGGCGUAACCCUUCGACUAGGAACACGUUUACUUAAGUAAAUAUCUCACGAUCCUAACGAUCAAUUACUAGUACUUGUAAUAACUGUAAGGACUAUAUCUAUGCUUGUGACAAAGGGACAAAGAUAUAGAAUGCCAAGGUGUUUUAUCAUUAAUACGAAUAAAGGUUCGUUUAUUACAAUAAUAAAUACGAAAGACCACAGCCACAUGUUGGCUUGUUGGUCACCUACUCUAACAAUUUUGUGAUAUGAAAAUGGUAAGAAAUAUUCCGUUCGUGUUUAUGGUUUAUCGUAUGUAAUCCAUGAAUGUGUAUGAACAUGCGGUGUAUGAAUUAUUAGACCAGAAGUUCUAGUAUGUGCAAAAUAUUCAUGAAAUUGUUUAUGGAGGUUACAUUCCCAUAAAACAAUAAUACUCCUUAUUGUAUUUGAUUUGAGAUAAAACACAUGAGAAAAUUCAAGUUCACCCAACUUAAUGUAUCUGGUGAAAGUUAUAUUAGUUGGAAAAUGGAUGUUAAGAUCCAUAUGCUUAGUGGCCAAUUGAGAAUGAUUGUUUUCAAUGAUAAUUUAUUAGGUAAAGCCGAGAAGGCUGAAACUAUGUUUCUGAUUACGAGAUAAUUAGAUGAAGUCCUUCGUCUGGACUAUUCAUCGAACGAGGGUCCCCAUACAUAAUGGGAUAACCUGACUAGUCGUUUUAAUUACCAAAAGACAAUACACUUGCCCGAAGCAAGGAGCAUGUGUUCAUAAACGUUUUGUAUAUAUGAACUUUAAAAUCCGAAUAGAGCUCAAAAUCAGAACAUAUAUAUAUGGUGGAUCUGAGCAUUGGUCGCCCACUGUAGUGCGAGAAACUUUGGGGCUGGGAAUGCAAAUAAUAAUGCACCAGCAUAGACUGAGUUGACAUAGACAAAUGUUUCAAUGUAUAGCCCGUCGCUCAGCUUCCGUACUUGGGCACAUCUGACCAAAUAACCUAUGUUGGGAUAUGAUUGAACUAUUGAUUUCAUGCAUUAUGUUUAUUUUAUUACUCGGGUUUAUUAUUUUAUUGAAGUUCAAUCAUCUUACUUCAUAUGCUCAUGUUAUGAACCAUAUUCAUAUUUUGAUUAUGUCUAGUUUAUGCUCUAGACCAUAUAUUUAUGCUCUAAGUUAAUUAUUAUGUUAUUCAGUGGUGUUUGCUUGAUGAAUUUAUUUAGUACCUGAAGUACUGAAAAUAUAAGAUUAGAAUAUAUAACGCUCUGGACAUGACAUGUGGGGAUAAAUGUCUGGCAGAUAGUGCGACUACACAUACUAUCCUUACAGAUAAGUCGUACUUUAUUAAUUUCAUGUCUAUUAGUAGCAAAACCUCUUUGAUAACUAAAUGAGGCAUACAGAGUUUUGAUAGAUGGUUAUGGUAAUGUCCACAUUAUGUUAUUUUAUGGCACAAUAUUGCCCAUUGAAGUAGCUCAUUUUUUCUCCACGUUCCAGAAGAACGUUAUUAAACUUUAAAGAUAUUUGAGCUAAUGGUUAUUAAAUUGAAACCAUUGAAGACAAGAAAUCGAAUAUAUGUGCAUCAUCUCUAACGUGUACGGCCAGAAGCGUACAUUGGAAAAAUUAGAGGAAUUUUUUGACACGGUUAUGUAGAACCACAAUUUGAAUGCCAGGAGCAUAAGUUGUCGAUUGCUCGAAAUUAAGUAAUUUGAUUAUAUGUCAGCGUACGCACAUACAUAUAAUGAUUCAAUUCCUUUCUUGGAGGUAAUCCAAGAAGAUAUAUGUGAAAUAUGUAUCACCAUCUAUAACUUAAAUUUAGAACCUUAGACAGUGAUCUCUUACCCGCUCAAAUUGCGGACUGUCACUUUGAUGAGAUUGUCUUCCCGCCGUUAGGGGGAGGAAAGAACGUCCACACUAACCUUCCUGAAGAACGGCGUGAAGUCGUGUAAGACGACCCCACCGUGUCUCAUCAAGAUCCUUUACUUCAGAUAAUUGAUAUAUAGAUUAACAGAUCAUCCACACUAACGUUCCUGAAGAACGGCGUGAAGUCGUGUGGGACGACAACUAAAUUUGCAAAGAAUGUCAACACUAAUGUUCCUGAAGAACAACAUGAAGUCGUGUAUGGCGAAUAAUGUCAGACUCAUUCUAUGGUUUGAAAAAGUGACGAGAUCUCAAAUAAGCCUGCAAGGAUAGAUGUCCUAGAAGGAAAAUUGCGGGUAGACCAUCAAUCCAUGUUAACUAGUCUUGCCUCCCUUCCUAUGAGAGGGGGAGCGCAAUGGGACCAAAUGAUUCUCACCCCCAGAAGUGGAUGAAUGCCCAAUAAUUGAAUCCGGUUAGCACUAGUAUAAAUGGAAUCCCACCUGAUCCAUCUCAUAAAAUAAUUUUGGACUAUGGAUUCGUCCUGCAGACGAAGUCGGGGGACGCCUCGACAUUAAUAUCCAUUCUCGUGAAAAGGAAAAACUCGGUUAGUUAUUCAUGCAUGAACGAGAUGUGGUAUUGGGAUGAAAUGAUCAUCGAUGAUAAACUUCCAUACACAGUAGCUACUGGAUGUUUUAACGAGUGAUGAUAUAAAACCUGGAUCAAUUGAUAAGUGUAAACAAAGGGAUGAUGGCCGAAAUGAAAACAAAAAUCAAUCCAAGCUGAAUUUGAUUCCUUGAUAAAAUGAAGAGUGUAGAGACCAUUAGUUCCUACAACUCCUUGAAUUUCACCCAUGGGAUAUAAGUGAGUACUCACAAAUAAAAGAAACGAGAUUGGGAGCCAAAAAGCUCAUCUCAUAGCUUAAACGAGAUUGGGAGUCAGGAGACUCAUCUCAAUAGCUCAAGGAAUAAAAUGAGAUUGGGAACCAGAAGAUUCAUCUCAUAGCUUAAACGAGAUUGGGAGCCAGGAGACUCAUCUCAAUAGCUCAAGGAAUAAAAUGAGAUUGGGAACCAGAAGAUUCAUCUCAUAGCUUAAACGAGAUUGGGAACCAGGAGACUCAUCUCAAUAGCUCAAGGAAUAAAAUGAGAUUGGGAACCAGAAGAUUCAUCUCAUAGCUUAAACGAGAUUGGGAGCCAGGAGACUCAUCUCAUAACUCAAUUAAUGAAAUGAGUUGGGAACCAGGAGAUUCAUCUCAUAGCUCAAAUGAGAUUCGUAACCAGAAGAUUCAUCUCAUAGCUCAAGCGAGAUUGGGAGCCAGGAGACUCACCUCAUAACUCAAUUAAUGAAAUGAGAUUGGGAACCAGAGAUUCAUCUCAUAAAUUAAACAAGAUUGGGAGCCAGAAGACUUAUCUCAUAGCUCGGCGAGAUUGGGAGACAGAAGACUCAUAUCAUAGUACAAUGAUUUAAGAGCAAAUGAGAUUGAGAGCUCGAAGACUCAUCUCGUAGUUCAAGGAUUUCCUCAGCAACCCGAGAUUGAUUUUAAAGAGGUAUACUCUCUCAUGAUAAAUGUUAUUAAAUGCGUGGUCAACAAGUAUCUUACGGGGAUCUCGAUACAAAUAUUUAUAUGGAAGUUCCAGAAGGACUUCGAUUUCCCGAAGCAAUUAGUUCAAAACAUGGAACAUAAACUCAGUUGGGCUGAGACGUUCACUUUAAUUAUGACUAGAAAUAUUCCAGAAUAAUAUAGGAUAAUCGCCUAAGUGAACAAUUGCUCGGAAGAGAAUAGGUGAACAAUAAUUGGUUUGGUUCAUCCUAUUACUACAAUUUAUAUUAAGGAUUUGAACUUGAUUUGGACUACUGAAGAAGUCAUGUAAGAAAAACUCAAUUGUUGAAAAUUUGAGUUCAAGAUCAAAGAUCUAAAGAAGACUCUCGACCGACUUAAAAUUUAUCAUGUCAAUUAUAUUUAUGUCCAUCAAUCGAAUUACAUCGAGAAGAUGUUAUGGAUAAAGAGAAAUUAUCGAGUAACACCUAUGGGAGUUGGAAAGUGGAAUAGGUCCAAUGAUUCAUUCCGUCCCAUGGUGAAGGACGAUGAAGUGUUAGCACCAGAAGUGCCAUAUGUAAAAGCAAUAUAUGCAUUAUUAUGCUUAACUUCAUGUACUCGAUAUGAUUUACCUUUUCGGUAAAUUUAUUAGAUAGACUUAUCUCAACUUACCGACACGCCAUAUGCAUCAAUGAAUGAGGCGAAACUUGUGGUUUGUAUUAGCAUUGACUAGAAGUCAUAUCCACACAAAGCUUGUUCCCAUUCCAUGGUUUAGUAUUGGGAAAAUAGCUAUGUCUUGGGGUUCUAUGAAAUGUACCUCAGUUGUCACUAGAUCAAAACAAGCAUGAUGUUUGCUUCACGAGAUAGUGAGUGAAUGCACAUGGCCUGAAGCCAUGAUUAGGCAUGUUCGAGAUUCAUGUGAAUGAAGAUCCUACGGGAUUGUAUUUUACUGUAAUACAGUAUGCAUUGAGCAAAUGAAGAUCGGCUUCAUUAAAGUGACAACUCCAUGUACAUAGCUUUGAAGUUUUCUUCAAUCAGCAACAACAAUAGCCUAAACAAAUAAUGAUCCCGCAAAUCAAAAUUUGAGAUAACUGCUCCAACUUUAAGAAUAAGUUUGCCUAAAGUCAUCUUUUGAAAACAUGUUAAGGCUAUUGACUUGAGUAGAUUAUCCGAGUUAACUCCCUUGUACAUAUCAGGGGGAGUUAACUUGAGGGGGAGUACCGUGUAGGUACUCAGUAUCCAGAAGAUACCCGGAUGCCCUGUUGUACUCUUUUUCCUGUGUGCGAGGUUUAUUUUUCCUACGGGGUUUUCGUUACUCGCCAAGGUUUUAACGAGGCAACACAUGCUGAUUGGAAAGAUUGUGCGUUGUACUCUUUUUCCUAACCGAGGUUGUUUUUUCCCACUGGGUUUUUAUUACUCGGAAGGUUUUAACGAGGCAACAUGAAAAGCACAAUAGUGUUUUGAUAGGAAUCGCCAAGGGGGUGUGUUGUAAAUAAUAUGGAAAAGUGAGUCUUCCUAUCCUAACACAUGAGAGGUUGUAACCUCCAUAAACCACUAUAGAUUCUCAACUUCCCACUACCCCAUUAUCCCCACACAUUGUAGUGGUUGUAACUCCUAUGUAACUCCUUUGUAACUUCUGGUGGAUUACACCUAUAUAAAUGAGAAUAUCCCCUCCCCUAAAUACCCACAAUUAUCUCUCUACGGAUUGUUGUUCUUUGCAUUCUUUCUUUCUCUCAUUUCCUUUUUAUUUACAUUCUUAUGUAUAUCCACAAUCACAAACCAAAGAGCUAGAUAAAUAGGCCAUUUUACAACAAUAAUUAAAAUAUUUAAAAAAUAUAAGAAUUUAUUAAUUGCAAAAUUCCGGGGGUAUUUGGGUCUUUUUAUAUGAAGUCAACCCUCAAAUGAGUAAUGGGCCGAGUGUGCUAUUUAAGUAAUUUCACAGUGGGGUUUUUGCUAGUUUAUUUAUCAUAGGGGGUUUUUCGCUGUUUAGAGAUUACGUAGGGGUACUUUUGCAGUUUACUCCAAAGAUAAUUAUAUUAUAUCAAUACAUACAACUAUCAUUUUUUUUUUUAAUUUUACCUGUAAUAACUGUUGGGAAAAUUGGUUAAAAAUUGAGUCAUGAACAAUUUUUUAUCAAUGUUAUUGUACGGUCUAAUUGAGUAUAUAAAUGAAUUUUGGAUUAGAACCAAUUUUGUGGUGAAUGAAAAAAAAUACUAGUCCAAAAUAUAAGGAAAGUGGGAUUUGAGUUAUCCCACAUUGGAAAAGUAGAGAAGUACUGAGCUGUAUAUAUAUCAAAAUAUUGGGACGGGCCAAAAACAUUAGGUCAUGGGUUUUUAACCCAUUGGGCCCUUAUUACUCGAAGCCCAUCUCGAUUGGUCUGAUUGGUCUGAAUUGGUGCGGCCGAACCAAUGCAAACCAUUCGGCUCAACUCGAAAUGGUGCAACCACUCCCAAUUGGCUCAACUCGAAAUGGUGCAACCAUUCAAAACAAAAGGUACCUUUUUGCUCCAAAGGACACUACUUUUCGAACCUUAUAAAUAGACCCUAACUUUCCCAAAAUUCCUCACUUCAAUCCAAAACAAGCCUACUACAUAUUAAGCCUACCCUUCACAGAUUCUCUCGAAAAGUUCUACACAAAGUACAGUUCGUCGUACUUGGGAUUUGGAGUGCUCCUAUUCCAAGUUUUGCCGUUGUAUCUUGGGAGACGAUUUCCAUUUAAUCCGUUAGCACCGUUGCGGGGAAAUUUCGUCUUAAGGACAGAGACAACUCGCCUCGGCAAAAUUCUCGUUCAUAGCAGAUUUCCAACAAUUAAUUAAUUUGUUCAACCAAUUUACUAAAUUCACUACCCCUUUUAUGUAUCGGGAACAACAAUCUUAAGACGAAAUCUUUUUGAUUUAGUAAAUUGUGUUUUCUGCACACUUUGGUAAACGAGAUGGAGAAGAAGAUAGUCUGCCAAAAAUCAAGAAGUUACAAAAUACAAUUGGAGAAAGUUUAUUUUCGGACAGAACAUGAAGUCCACAUUCUUUCCCAUUUUCGAAGGUGUUAAAGUCCGAAUAUGGCAAAUUAACAUUUCACAGAAGUUGUAGAUAAUCAAGUUAGCUUUCCAGAACAUGUUAGAUCGUCACAAUCGGAGAUCGUACGAGGAAGUUAUGAUGAAAACACGAAAGGGUGGCAGAACUGCCAAUGCACCUUUUCAUGAAAAAUACAAACCGUUCGUGACCAAUGCAACUCGUCGCAUAUUAACGCAUCACCAAUGUCCAAUGCACGAAAUUUUGGUGCAAAUUUACAGCACACCUAUUCCGACUUCGAGGCUUAUUUUGAUCAUGAUCCGGUCCGAAUCUCAGAAAACAUAAAAGAUAAAAGUUGUAGAAAAGUUUGUUGGCUGUUCGGAUCAUAUUGAAUCAACAAAAUCGGACUUGGGAUGGAAGAGAUAUGAAUAAAUCAUUCAGCACUGCCAUAAUAUUGACACGAUUUGGUGCUACCCACAAAUUUUGAAUUGACGAACAUAUAAUUUAUCGGGUACGCUUUUUAAUUAUAAGAAUCUAUUUGUGAAAUAUAUUGAUAAUGCUAUAUGAUAUAAUGGUGGAUUAUUGCAUGACAGUUUAAUUUUCUAUGUGGAAGCAUGGUAAACCAUAUACAAUAUAUAUGCUUAAUGAAUAUUCACGAUGUUUGUGUAUGUACAUUAAUAAUAGAAAAAUUUUUAUCCUAAAUAAAAUAAAGUGAUAGCGUAUGUGCUAAUUAUUUGAAUAAGUUUAUCAUAAACCGCAUGAUAAGUGCUAUACUAAUGACAUUUCUCAUGGAAAUGCAAUAUUUAUUUGCAUAAAUUGCUUAUAGUUUGAUAUGGGAUUAACUUUCUCCCAAUUUGAUGUGGAACUGUCCGGUUGAUUGAUUUUCGAAUAUGUGAGUACGUGAUCUUAUUAACGUUUUUACUAUUGUCAUGAUCGAUUAGACUUGUCUCAUAUAUUAAGUAUGAGUUACUUAGUAAGAGGAAUAUUAUUAUACAUAUUAUUUUUUGCGUAAGCCAUACUAAUUCCUUAGAAUUGUGUUAUUGCAUUGACAUGCAUUGAUUACGUGCUAUAGAAUUUUUAUCGAUUCAUUAUAUUGGACAUGAAUUUAUUUAUGCCAUGAAAUAUUAUGUUCAAAUUUGAUGUUAUUAUAUACUCGUGCGUAUACUAUGUAUAUGUUGAUAUAAUAUGCUUGAUAUAUUGUUUCUUUCUAUGAUCAACUAGUAUGAAAGACGUGCUCACAUGUCAAAUAUUAUGUUUAUUAUAAUAUUGAUGUACAUAUGAAUCAUACUACGGUUUAAUUAAAAGCAUGAUUUGAAAUAAAAUUGAAAGAAAGAGAAGCUCAAUUCAUGAUAACACAUGAGUAGUUCUUGUCUCAAGAACAUAAAAGAAGAUCGAAUCGUUGGUUUGAUUUGAUUUGAUAUCACAUUUGCAAAAUAAUGAUCUACAAUGUGAAUGGAUGAGAUCGGAUUUUGAUUUUUCAAAGAUCCGAAAUAGUUGUUAACAACAAUGGAUGUUUUGUUGAAAUAAAAUUCGAGCAGUUUACUUAAGAGCUCGUUUUGUAGAAUUAAAUCGUUGGAUUUGACUGAAUUUUGAACAGCAUGUUUAGGACAUGCAAUCCUAAAUUAUGAAUAAUUAAGAUUAGAAUUUAUAUAUUCUAACUUUAAUGUUGAAUAGUGGAGAUCAACCACCAUUUGAAGAGAUUAAUAUUCUCUUGUUUAUUGACAAGAUUUAAGUACCUUGACGAGUUUCUCUUUUGAGGAAAAAGAAGAAAUCUGAUUAUCUUAAUUGUUGACAAGAUUUAAGUAUCUUGAGAAGAUUUUUCUUGUUGUGCUUUCUUGAGAGAAAGAAAAACAAUACUUUGUAAUUAAAUCUUAUUGGUGAUCCAAAAUAUUUUUCUAACUAAAGAAGAAAUGUAUUUUGUUACAUUGUAUCCUUAUUAAUAAAAUAAAAAUAAGGAUUUCAGAGCAUUUAAAUGUUAUGUGAAUGAAAGUUGGAAAGUGCCAACUUUGACAAAUGAAUGAAAAAUGAGAACCAAAACUUUUGGAAAAAGUUUAUGGAUAUUAUAUUGAUAAAUUCUAGAAUAUAUACUCUAGAAUUUGUGGUGGAAAUUAGAUAUCUCGAGCUAACCACAUUAAUAUUUAGAAAUGUGGGGGUCUUUAUCCCGAGCUAACCACAUAAAUAUUUAGAAAUGUGGGGGUGUUUAGGCAAAGGUAAAAAAAAGUACCUAAGUUAAUAUACAAUGCCUAGUAUAGUUAAGUGGAUAAAAUACUUAAGCAUAUUCAUUGAAUAUGCAAAUAAUGAUUGUGCAUAAGAUAGUCAUUCUUGAUGCAAAUUACAUUAUAUUUUUCUUGUAAAAUAAGAAAAUAAAUAAGUUCUAAAUAAGAGAACUAAUAAAUGUCUAAGUGGUAAAUCAUCAAAGUGAUGAAUAACCAAGUUAAAAUAUGUGUGAUUGGUAAAUCAUCAAAGUGAUGAACAACCAAGAUACAACAAGAUGACAAAGAAAAUCAAUAUGUUUGAUUUUGAUUUGAUUUUAUAAUUUAUGAGUUAUAAAAUGAACAAAGGACAAUUAUUGAAAUAUUGUCUACAUUGGAAGAAUGUACGUGGAAGUUAGUUUGUCUUCUUCCAAGUAGUAAACCAUUAAGGUUUCGAUGGACUAUUCAAAGGAAUGAUUAAGGGUGGUCCAAUAAAGCUAAAUUAUAUAGCUAUGUAAAAAUCUUGAUUAUUUAUAACAAUGUAAUAUCAAGCUAAAUUAAAUAGCUAUGGAAAUAUUCUAAAGUAAUAUUUGAUAAAAUUGUGUUUGUAAUAACGAGUGUGGCCAGUGUGUUUAUAUUAAAAGCACAUGGAAGUAUAUGUCUAUAGACGACAUUAUAAUCAUGAGAUAGUGAUCAUGAUACUAUUUUGAACGUUGAGAAAAUAUUGGAAAAGUAAAAAUAAAAUUUUGAUGUCAAAAGACGAGGGUCUAGACGAUGUAAUCUUACAGAUUAAAAUCACUAAGACAAAGAUAGUCUUAUUGAAAGUCUCAUGUUGAGACACUACUAGAAAAUUGAUCUAGUUAUCUAAAGACCAAGGGUUUACCUUGCCAAAAAUAAUGAUGAACAAUGGUUCAAUUACAAAUAUUUUUGGAUAGUUUGGCAGCAUAAUGAAUUGCAAACUAGUAAAUAUGUAAUUCCAAAAAUAAUAAUCAUUCAAUGAUAUUAUAAGGGUUCUUAGGUAAUCUAAGUAUAGCCUUUAAAUGGAUUACAUUAAAGAAAAUAUCUUAUUGUAUUAGGAAAGUACAUUGGAUAUAUGAGUCCACUAAGAUUAUGUAUCUUGGAAAUCCUCAAACAAAAUUGAAUAGCUCGAUUCAUGGUCGAAUUCGAAUGUAUAACUUGAGAUAAGGUUAUAAAAGAAGUUGAAUAAACUUCAUAAAAUUAUUGGAGGAUGUUCCGUGUUGGACUAAGUCGGUGUCUACAAUUAUGAAUAAAUUGUGAUAACCAAUCGGUUACGUUAAGGGCACAAACGACAUGUAUAAUGGCAAGUAUCGAUACACUCGUACACAUAAGACCAUUAGGCAAUUGAUCUCAAAAGAAAUAAUAUAACAUUGAUUAUGAAAAUCAAUGGUUAAUAGCGGAUCCGCGACUAAAAGUCAACUAAAGAGAUCAAACAUAUUGCCUGUCUAGGGGAGUGAGAUUAAAACCCAUAAAUUAAGGACAAUCUUGGUGGUAACCCAACCAUGCUGACUGGAGAUCCCAAGAACUGGUUCAAAAGGGACAACUAAGCUAAGAAAGUUCAGUGAUGCACUAAGGAGUGUAUAUUCCUAUGGAAUAAUAUAUUUCCAACUCAUUCCCGUGAUAGACAUUAGUGCUGCCUGCAGAGAGGGUAAAGGAUAAGCGAAAGCUUUUAAUGAUUCCAAAACCUUAUAACAAAAGGUGAGGUAUUGGCAGGAUACCUUUAAUAGGAGAUCACCUAUGUAAGUGUAUGAAGUGAGGGCCGCUUCAAAAAAAACUUGACAAACACUUAUGAAUCCAAGAUGUGUGUCCAUGGCCAAAACGGACACAAUCAUGAGAACUAAGGAAAUGUGAGAAUAGUAUUGUGUGGGUUGCAUUGUCUUGGUUUACACGAACGGCUGACAGUUCAAGACAUCGCGUUCACUACUCAGCCUAGUAAAUCCGAUGUAACUCCACUACGGAAGGUUCAAAGCUAUAUGCUACCUAUCCCGAUGCAAUACUAUUCGCGGGAACUCUAGAGAGAAUCGACGCCCUCGUUUUCAUUCAUGUGGGGGAUUGUUGGGAAAAUUGGUUAAAAAUUGAGUCAUGAACAAUUUUUUAUCAAUGUUAUUGUACGGUCUAAUUGAGUAUAUAAAUGAAUUUUGGAUUAGAACCAAUUUUGUGGUGAAUGAAAAAAAUACUAGUCCAAAAUAUAAGGAAAGUGGGAUUUGAGUUAUCCCACAUUGGAAAAGUAGAGAAGUACUGAGCUGUAUAUAUAUCAAAAUAUUGGGACGGGCCAAAAACAUUAGGUCAUGGGUUUUUAACCCAUUGGGCCCUUAUUACUCGAAGCCCAUCUCGAUUGGUCUGAUUGGUCUGAAUUGGUGCGGCCGAACCAAUGCAAACCAUUCGGCUCAACUCGAAAUGGUGCAACCACUCCCAAUUGGCUCAACUCGAAAUGGUGCAACCAUUCAAAACAAAAGGUACCUUUUUGCUCCAAAGGACACUACUUUUCGAACCUUAUAAAUAGACCCUAACUUUCCCAAAAUUCCUCACUUCAAUCCAAAACAAGCCUACUACAUAUUAAGCCUACCCUUCACAGAUUCUCUCGAAAAGUUCUACACAAAGUACAGUUCGUCGUACUUGGGAUUUGGAGUGCUCCUAUUCCAAGUUUUGCCGUUGUAUCUUGGGAGACGAUUUCCAUUUAAUCCGUUAGCACCGUUGCGGGGAAAUUUCGUCUUAAGGACAGAGACAACUCGCCUCGGCAAAAUUCUCGUUCAUAGCAGAUUUCCAACAAUUAAUUAAUUUGUUCAACCAAUUUACUAAAUUCACUACCCCUUUUAUGUAUCGGGAACAACAAUAACUACAUCAGUUAGGUUGCUAAAAAGCUGGAUUAAGACGUCUAGAUAGUAAAUGUUUCUUGUGUAUCUCAAUUCUCAAGUGAAAGAAUCAGAACUUUACAAGUUUUAGUUCCAAUCUUACAUACAGAUAAAAAAAGAUUAGUUGAAACCAUUUUAACUUGGUAUAAGGUUAUAACAAUAAGUGCAUUAAAGUGACAUCUAAAUACUACUAGCCAAGAAAAUAAUGAAACUCAGAUUUUUCGUAAAGGAAAUAAGACUCCAGCAAGGAGAAAAGAAAAAAAAAAUGAAAAAAAAAAAAAAAAAAAAAAAAAAAAAAAAAUCACAUAUCACAGAAUAUGGAAGAAAUGUGUUAAGCACAAAGUACAAACUAGUAGGAAUUUAACCAUGAAACUACAGUACACAUUUAAGUAUUUUGGUUUGGGGGUGAUUAUAUAUAAUGUACAAAAUUAAGUAUUCCAAAUAGUUGUUAAGGAAUGUGACAAAUACAUAUUAGUCCACUAUAAAAUUGUGCUUAAUCCAGACUACAUGGAACUGAAGAAAAGUGACCAUGCAUAAAAUUGUAUCAAUAGAUAAAUACAUGCAUAUUAUAAUUUAUAGCACGAAUUAAUAAAUUUAAACACUCAAUUACCAUAGCAUGAAUGUCUAGGUCAAAUUUCAAAUUGAUUUCGAGAAACAUAAUUUCUUGGGAAGAAAAGAACAUUUUAAACCGAAGGUUUAUACUGAAAAUCCCCUUUAUCAAUGUUAAAACAUAGAGAUUAAAAAAAAUCAAUUAUUUUCUAUAUCAAUACAACUAUAAGAUAAAUACAUCACAUUUUUACCCUUUUGCUAAAACAUGAAUGAGGACAAUCGUUGAUUUUCAUUACCUCGUCCUUCAACGAGCGAACCAGGCAUCGAUGAUGUGGUACUCCUUACGAUCAAUUUUUACUAGGUUCGUACUGUAAACUGUAAAUUCUUAGGAUCAUACUAGGUUGUACUAGUACUUAAAAUCAACGAUUAUAAUUAUUCACUAAUUAUUUUCUACGCACCAAAUUCAAUCGUUUAGGUCCGAGUAGUACAACCCCUCUCGGAACCUAGACAACCCCAUAUUAAAUCGGACCCUAGACAACCCCAUAUUAAAUAGAUUUAAAAUUGAUAAAAAAUAUAAAGGAUAAUAAAGUCAUUUGUAUAAAUUUAUUAAUUUUAUUCUUUAAAUCUGAUAUUUAAAUAGUAAGGGCUUUUAGGUCAAUACACAUAAAAAUUAAAAUUUGUAUUUUUUUUGACACGUGUCGUGUCAGCCAUUAACAUCCUACCUGAACAGCAAGUUCUAAAUAAUAUAUAUAUAUGAAUAUUACUAACUGUUUUAACGGUAUAAAAAAAAUAAAACAAGCAAAACAAAAAGUAUGAUUUAAUGAAAAAAACAUUAUUCAAGAAGAUAAAAUCCGAAAUUAAUCAUAAUAAUGAAGCGCCGCCUUGAUCUUUUUAACGGUGGAGCUGAUUAGGGUAUGCACGGUGGCGACGGACUCCAUAUUCAGUUGCGUUGUCAAUUGGCUGUGACAAAUUAAGAUCUGGAAAGCAACUGUGAGAAGCGAGCCACCGCUACCGGUGUUGGAACUGGUUGAAGCUCCGUUGGUGCCUCUGCUGCUAGCACGGCCAUCGGUAGAUAUCACAAAACCCGACGGCAGAAUCGGUAUUUUCGUUGCGUCGUCCCCAUUCACCACAGAGAGGAGAGCCUUUAAAUCCAUCGGGGCGUAGAUUAUGGCUGCCCCUAGAGAGUCGAUGCUACUCUCUUGCAGCACCACCAUCUUAUUUUCUUUGGGCACAAAAGGCUGCAGAUUUAAUAAAAAAAAUAUAUUUCAAUGAUAUUAAAGUGAAGUUAAAAAGAUAAUAAUAAUAAUAACAAAUUGUUAAAUAAACUUUAUUGUGCUAAUUGCGUGCUCGAUAAACUGUGUCGUGUCUACACUAACAAUGCACAAUAGUUCCAGUUUCGGUAGUGCAAAUGCAGUAGGAUGACAAUUUAUGAUAAAUUAACGACUUUAUUGUGCUAGCUGCGUGCUACAUAAAUUCUGCGUCGUAUUUGAACUAAUAGUGCACACGUAAAUAUUUAUUUCGAUUCCGGUUUUAGUGCAAAUGUAGGUCGAUAUCAAUUUAUAAUAAAUUAACAAUUAAUCAAAUUAUACGCUGUUCAAAAUCAAAUUACGAGUAAACGAACUAUGGCACCCCAGCUUUUAUCAAGGCACUAAUUAAUUUUAUUUUCAUUCUAUAGAUCACAUUGAUUGAGAAGCUUGUUGUACAUUUAUCGGCCUUCAUACCAAUUUCGAGCCCAGUAAACAAAUAAUUAAUUAAUUAAUUAAAUAAAUCGGUAAGUAACCUGGACGAUGGAGAUACGAUUUCCGGGAUGUGUCCCGGUUGAGAUAAGACAUCCCACUGCACAUAACAUAUAAACACAUUUUUAGUCUUUCUAUCUUAUUUCCAAUCCAUUAAGACAUCGUUUGGUUGCCAAGAUUGGAUUAGUCGGGACAAGAUUACAUAAUCUUAUAAAACAAAGUUGCAAUUUGAUAAUCGAGACAAAAGUCGGUAACUUAUUUUUUUUUACGUACCUGUGCUCUUCUUUUCUCGUCUUGGAAGAAGUUGAAGAGAUGCUCCUUCGAAAAGGGAAGCCAAAGCGAGGUAGCUGCGCUAACAAUGAAUCCAUCAGGUUGAUGAGGUCCGUUACUUUUCCGGAGCGAGACACAAACUCCGCUAUUUUGAUAUUCCGACGGAUUUGGAAAAUCGAGUUUAUCCGACAUGCACAAUACUUCGAAAAAACUCUCCACCAUUCUUCGGGAAAGAUUCAUUACGUUUCUCUUUCCUUCAAGUGACUCGAUAACUGAAUGACAAAUGAACGGAAAUAGUAAUUAACGGUUUUUUAACCACAAUUUCUUAAUAAUAAUAAUAAUAUACCUCCUUCGAGUUCGUUUGUUGGUGUGGCGAUUAGCCCAUUUGAGAAUGCAAAUCUCUCGCACAUUCGUUGAAGAGUAAUAAUCCAUCGUUUGGCUCCAUAUGCUUGAGAACCACAAACGAAGUCUCUGUACAGACGAUGAGUCGAUAAUUUGUCGUCCACUUGUACAUGUUCAAUCCAUGUAACCUAUUCAAGAAAAUUGAUAUUCAGUAUGUAGACAGUGUAAAAGAAUAGAGUUAAUAGCAUUCGGCACCCCGUAUUACAUCAAAUUGCUAAAAACACCCAUGAGUUCUGUCUUGAAACUCUAAAUCGACACAUAAUAUGAGAUAAAGAUGCACUUAAAAAGAAACAAAUGGGUUUUUAUAUAGAGAACUCACUGUUGAUUUUCCAUUUGAAAUAUCUUGAAUAAUACACCCUGAAGGAAACCUCCAAGAACGAGUGGGAACGGAAUCUUGGAGCUGUGUUAUGAAAUCGUAGGACACGUCCACCAACACCCAAGUGCUCGAAUUAAUUUGGCGGAAAUAUCGAAUGAAGAAAAAUUCCCGGGGAGCAACGAGUGGUGACAAAAUGUGCAUUUUUUGAUACAUCUGCGCACCAAAAUAAGUCAAAACAUUCAAUUUUUUAUCCAUUCAGAUAUCCCGAAAAAAACAAUGAUAACAAUAAUAAUAAGGAUUUUUUGAGGUCCUUACCAAAUGUAACAAACCACCAAAUAUUCCAGUAUCGAUUACUUCAAGGGUCGUCGCUUUCGUGACGAUGGUCGGAAAAAUUUCCUUCCAUUUGUUCUGCAAAUUAUUAGCAAAUAAAUUUUCACUUUUAAAAUAAAAUUAANNNNNNNNNNNNNNNNNNNNNNNNNNNNNNNNNNNNNNNNNNNNNNNNNNNNNNNNNNNNNNNNNNNNNNNNNNNNNNNNNNNNNNNNNNNNNNNNNNNNUCAGUCGAAAUUUUCACAAGGUACCCAUUAUAAAAAGGGUUUUUUGAGGGCCUUCCAAAAGUAACAAACCCCCCAAAUUUUCCAGUUUUGGUUUCUUCAAGGGUGGGUGCUUUUUGGGAGGUUGUUGGAAAAAAUUCCUUCCCUUUUUUUUGCCAAAUUUUUGGAAAAAAAUUUUUCCCUUUUUAAAUAAAAUUUAAAGGAAAAAAAAAAAAAAAAAAAAAAAAAAAAAAAAAAAAAAAAAAACUCCAAUGUGUAACAUAUAUACCACAUCAACAAGCAUUUCGAUUAAAUGUGUGGCAGACAUUGCCACCUCCCCCGAAUCUUUCGAAGAUUCAAACCGAGCACUUGAAGUGUUGACCUGAUUUGACUUGGGGAAAAUCAUAUCGUAACUAUCUCGACGUAAUGUACAUCUCCCAUGAUCCGAUGGAGCUUCGAUCCACAGUGGCUCGUUCACACGUAACAGCUCCAUAAGUUCGUUCAUGGCAGCGACAGCUGUCUCGAUAAUGACAGAUUUAUCCACAUGUGUCACACUUGUUGACCAAUGCUGCGACAUAUAUUGUUGACCAGGUGCACUAGUACUGGGCUCCGUUCCAACGGAAGGCAGAAUUGGAUUUCCCAUGUAAUUGGUCAAGAAGUUGACCGCUCGUUCGUG
This 148640-nucleotide long non-coding RNA is filed under the name Erythranthe guttata (spotted monkey flower). Its description in RNAcentral is "long non-coding RNA (EGUT_LNC000521)". The record is from RNAcentral. Lineage: Eukaryota; Viridiplantae; Streptophyta; Magnoliopsida; Lamiales; Phrymaceae.